AUACAUUCACAGAUUUUCAUUCUCUGCUACUGUUAUAUAUGAUUGCAUUGCAGGGACAUAGCAAUGGAGUACGUAGAGCCUGUUGUCGGCAUUGCAAAUUGUCUCGGAACUCCUGUUUGUAAAUAUUUGCAAUAUCACAGAAAGCUGAACGAUUAUGUGAGAAACUUCAAGAGGAUCAGAGAUGAAUUGAAUUGCAAAAUGGAAGAUAUAGAGCUGCAAUUGAAAGCAGAGCUUCUUCGUCCUCUGGGGAAGAUACCGAAGAAGGGAGUUGAAAAUUGGUUGAAGGAUGUGAAAGAGAUGAUUAGGGAAGCACAAGUUGUUGAAAACAAAGUCAGUAAUGGGAGAUAUCUUUUUCGUGCUUGCAACGGGAAGCUGAUUGAUGAAAAGUCUCGAGAAAUGCAAGAAUAUCUCGAUAAAGCUCCUAAAGCCUCUGAAGGUCUUGCCAUGGAUGGUCCAAGUGCUGGGUUGCCACUGGCCACAUCAGAACUAGUUGGAGAGGAAGCUGUCAGAAAUGAGAUUUGGGCAUGUUUGAUGCAGGAGGAGGUGAGCAAGAUUGGGGUUUGGGGGAUGGGCGGUGUGGGUAAAUCGACCAUCAUGAAGCACAUCCACAAUGAUCUAUUGAAAGAACAACGAUUUGAAAGGGUGGUCUGGGUUACUAUAUCAAAGGAGUUCAAUAUUGUGAAGUUACAAAAUGAUAUUGCAAGUGCAUUGAAUGGAAAGAUGCCCGAAGAAGCAAACAAGGUCAGACGAGCAGCAAUCUUGUCCGAACUUGUCAGAAAUGCUGAAGAACGCAGGAAAGCAUGUUCUAAUCCUAGAUGAUGUGUGGGAUAAAGUUUCUCUAGAGGAAGUUGGGAUCCCCGAGCCGAGUGACAGCAAUGGCUGCAAGUUGGUGUUGACAACCCGUUCGGAGCAUGUCGGUAAGUAUAUGGGUUGCACGGUGAUAAAAGUGAAGCCCCUUUCUGCACAACAGGCACUGACACUAUUCUUGAGUAAAGUUGGGCCUAACAUAGUGCAAAAUCAAACUUUAAUGCCAAUUUUGAGGCUCGUUGUCGAAGAAUGUGCGGGUCUGCCUCUUACAAUUGUCGUCGUAGCUAGUACAUUGAAAGGAGAAGAGGACCUUCUUAUUUGGAAAAACGCAUUCAAGGAAUUGAAAGAGAGAAUAGAAAAAGUGGAAGGAGUGGAAGCUAAAGUGAUAGAGCGUUUGAAAUUUAGCUUCGAUCACUUACAGGACGAGAAAGUGAAAUAUUGUUUCUUACAUUGCGCAUUAUUUCCUGAAGAUUUUGAAAUUUGGAAGGAUGUGUUAAUUGAGUGCUGGAUUGAAGAGGGAUUCAUAGAUGAUAUGGGUACAAGACAAGAAAUGAAAGGCAAGGGCCAUGUUAUUUUGAAGAAGUUGGAAGACAAUUGCUUGCUCGAAAAUGGCUCGAGUGGAAAAAUGAAAAUGCAUGAUGCAGUGAGAGACAUGGCAUUGUCGAUCACAAGAAUGAAUCCUCGAUAUAUGAUACAAGCAGGUUUGCAAUUAGAGGAGUUACCAAAAAAGGAGCAAUGGAGUCCGGAUAUUGAGAAAGUGUCACUUAUGUAUAACUCCAUAUCAGAAGUUUCCAUAGAUGUGCUGCCUACAAAAUGCCAACUGCUCACAACCUUGUUAUUGCAGAACAACCCUAUAAAGAAGAUCUCAAUUUCUUUCUUCACAAACAUGCCUUGUCUGAGUGUUCUCAAUUUGUCUUUUACAAAGAUCGAGAGUUUACCAAAUUCCAUCUCUGAAUUAAAGAACCUCACAACAUUGUUGCUUCGUGGUUGUUAUCAAUUAAGAGAUCUGCCAUGUCUUUCGAUGCUUCAAGAAUUGAAGAAGUUAGAUCUUUGUUGGACAAAAAUUGAGGAAGUCCCUGAAGGCAUGGAUAUGCUGAUAAAGCUAAGAUAUCUUGAUCUUGAAGUGUUCACUCUGAAAGAGAUACCCGCUGGACUUUUACCAAAACUCGUUCACCUUCAGCACUUGAGUUUUGCUGGGAACAAUGAAAAAACAAGUCUAAAAGCAAAGGAGAUGGAACCAUUGAAGAAGUUGGAGUGCUUAACCGGACAUUUCGAAGACAUCAAUGAAUUCAAUAAGUUCAUCUCCUCAAUGCAACAAAGUAAGAAAAAUCUCAUCAAGUACUAUUUACAAGUGGGCUCAUCUUAUAUGCAUGAUACAAGGGAUAAAACAGUAACAAUUGGAGGAGUCCAGAAUUGGGAAGGUGAUUUAAUUAUGCACCCAAUUGAAAUUCAAGAGUUGAAUAUUGUAAAGUGCCACUAUUUGAGAUGCUUAGUCGAUGAUAACUCUUCCUUCAAAAAUGCAAUUGACUUGAGGAUUUAUGAUUGUAAAGGGAUAGAGUGUGUUGUUUCCUUGUCCUCUUUUGCCUCUUCUUCCAUUCAUCCAUUUCAGAGCCUCGAGAUGUUGGAUCUUCAACAUCUGCCAAAGUUGAGUGCCCUUAUUAUGAAUGAUGCAGGAAUUGGUUCAGCAACUACAUCAACAUUGGCUCCGUCUACCACCUUUUCCCAUCUUAAGGAAAUUACGAUAAACAGCUGCUCAAGUAUGAAGAUGUUGCUUCCACAUUGGUUGCUUCCAAACCUCCAAAACUUGGAAAAAAUACACGUGGAGGCUUGUAGUCAGCUAGUAGAAAUAUUGGGAGCAGCAACAUCAGAAGUUAAAGAAAAAGGGAGUGAUGCAUUAAUCAAAUUCCAUCUUCCCAAAUUGAGAGAGUUGGAAUUGUGGAGAUUACCAAAUGUGAAGAGCAUAUGCAGCAAAAGUGGAGUGAUGGUUUGUGAUUCUCUCCAACUUAUCCAAGUGUUUGGAGAUUGUGAUAAACUGAAGAGGAUUCCUCCAUUUGUUCCCCUUGUUGGCAAUGGGCAGCCAUUUGCAUAUGCUCCACCUUCUCUUAUCAUCAGGUCAAGCACAGAAUGGUGGGAAUGGUUAGAGUGGGAUGACGAUCCAAACUUUAAAAAUGUUCUUCAACCCCUUUGGAAGGAUGAAAGGUAUGAACCAUUUAUAGUUUAGUUUAUUUUUUAUUUUUAUAAAUCUAAUUUCUCCAUAUUAAUAAAAUUUGAUGUAUAUUUUGUGAUGUUGAAGAGAAAGAUAAAGGCGUGGGUGGGAAAGAAGUCUUGAGUGGGUACAACUCGAAUUCAAUUUAAAUAAUAUAAAAUAUUUUUUUAAAAUUAAAUUUAAUAAGUAUUUUUAAAAUAUUUUUGCACAGUAAAGUAGAAUUUUGGGAUCAACCAAGUUAUCCCGAAAACGGGCCUGGGCUUGAAAAAGUAUUAAAACUUAAAUAGUAUUAAAAAAUAUUUUACACGAAAUGAUAAUGUGCGUUAAUUAAAAUAUAUUUUAUUUUUAUUAAUAUUUAAAUAAAAUAUAAACAUAUAUUAAUCAAAAUGAUUUAAGGUGAGGCAAAACUAUGAUCUUGGUUUAGGAAAGUAUUGUAAAAAGACAUUAUAUUCUUUAAUUUUCAAUACAUACAAUGUAGAGAAAUUUUGGAGGGUUUAAAAACAAUUAUCCCUCAUUUUCUCUCACUUUAUUUANNNNNNNNNNNNNNNNNNNNNNNNNNNNNNNNNNNNNNNNNNNNNNNNNNNNNNNNNNNNNNNNNNNNNNNNNNNNNNNNNNNNNNNNNNNNNNNNNNNNUUUUCUAAAAUUUUAAAAAUAAUUUCAAAUUUUUACCAUUUUAUAUAUUAUGAAGAUUAAAUUGACUGAAAGUAGAAAAUUUGAGGGCUAAAAUUGUUAUUAUACUAAUUAAAAAACUGUCACUUAAUAGUCUAGUGAUAAAAAAAAAUACAAUUUUGAAGACAUUAAUAUCGAAUUUACGUUACCUUUGUGGAACUUAAAAACGAAAGUUGCCCCAAAGACCAUAAAAAUUGACUCAUAAUAUUGUUUGUUUUAUUUGAUUGUUGUUUCCAUAACUGUUACUGUGCGGAGAUAAAAAUAAAUUUAUGAGAAUUUAAAAAAGGUUCCAAGGUGUGUAUCAAUGUCACUAUUUUAAAGUUUUAUUUGUCCCCACCUUUUUAUUGUUUCUGUGCAAAAGAGUUAUCUGCAAAUUGACCUCGAGGAUAUAAUGAAUCCUAAUGAUUGUCGACAUUUUGCACUGACAGAAACAAUUCACUGAGCAUUGAAUGGACCAUAGCAAGAAUACCCAAUUCUAUAAAGAACUUCUGCAAUAAUUUUUUAUAAAACAAUAUAGGAAUAUUAGAAGAUGGAGAAUAGAAUUCAAUAACAAAUUAAAAAUAGAACAAAACUAAAAAAAAAAAAAAAGAUUAGAUCAUUACACGUUUCCUCAAUAUUUCUUGAAAUCAAAUCAUUACUAUUAUCAAGUUGAGUUUCAUGCUCUUAAACAACAUCUAUAACUGGUAUUAUAGAGUGUUAUAAAAUUGACCCUAAUCCCAUUUUUUUAGUUAGAAGAAUACAAAAUAUACCACAAAAUUUUUUCAAACUCAGCUCAAAAUUUCUUUACCGAUAAAUUAUUUUUCAAAACCCAAAUUGUAAAAAUAUAUUAUAUUCAGAAUUUUAUCUUUUCUUAUAAUGUGAAAGUUAUGUCAAGAAACAAAAGAGGUAAAAAAACGGAGUUCAAAUAAUUUUACUUAAUUUUUUUCUUUUCUAUGUUUUUUUAAAAGAAUGGGUAUUGAAUAUUUUGAUACAGAUAAUAUGGAGAAAUUUUGGAGGGUUUAAAAAUAAUUACCCCUCAUUUUCUCUCACUGUAUUUAUUUUUGAAUUUUUUAUCUACUUUUAAUUUUAUAUUGUUUUAAAAUUUUUAAUAUUAUCAAGAUCAAACUGUUUGAGAGUAUAAAAAUUGAGGACCAAAAUUGUAAUUGUGAACACAACAAAAAAUUUCUAUAAUUUAGUGACUAAUGUAAAAUUUUUUUUUGGUACAAUGAUCAUUCCAACUCCAUCUAUUUCUAAAGAAGGCAAACACUCGACCAAUAAACCACAACUUGUCCAGAUAUGUAGCUUACCCAAGAAUUUAUAUAUAUUUAUUUUAACUUGAAUAGAUUUAUUUAUAUAUAUAAAAAAUUGAAUAGAUUCAUUCACAUCUUACAAAUCCAUAUGUAAAGAAUUGUCCUGAGUUGAAUCCAAAAUUGAAUACCAACAAGAACAACACCAAUAACUAUACCCUGCUUUUCCCAUACUCUCUCAUUAGUUAUUAUUAUCUGUUACAAUUGAGCACCAAGAUCACUGCAAUACUUGUUGGUGUUGUCCAGAAUUAAUGCGAAGGACAUUUCCAUGGAUUUUAGACAAUCAUAUCUAUCUUUGAAAAUUUGAGAGCAGAUCAAAGGUUUUAUAACCAACUGAUAGAUACAACUGUUGAGAAAAUUCAGUAUCAAAAAGCCAACUAAUAAUGGCAGACACCAAAGAGAAAAGCUAAAAGAAAAAAGAUGGGAUUUCUUACUAAUAAUUUUGCCUUUUUUUAUCUUCACUUCUUCUUUUGACUAUUGUACCCACAACGUUCUUUCUUCUUCACUGUUUUUAAUUUCUUUUGAUGUCCAUCACUAAUUUUCAAGCAUCCAAUCAAGUUAAUUUUCUUUCAUUUGCUUAAUCCAUGACAUGCUUUUCAUUGCUUAAUUCAUGAUUAUGCAAUGAUUGUUUUUUAUUAACUGCUUCAGGUAUAGCAGCUUGCUUUGUAAGAUAGUCAAGGGAGUGAACUUCACUGCUUUAUUUUCAGUUCUAAUCUCUCAACACUUUUCAGCCAGUUGGUCAGGUAAUUUUCUGCUUCCCAUUUUUUGAUCCUCAAAUAUGCAAUUCAGCUCAUUUGAAAAUUUGUUUGCUUAUUAUCAACUCAUGACAUGAUUUCCUUUGCUUUUACAUAACAAGAAAGAUGAAUAAUUGUAGUAAGAGCUGAAGCUAUGAUUUCCUCUACUGAUUAUCAACAGUUUUAGAUUUCAAGACUGAAUGAUCAGCAGACAUAAUCUACUUUAGAUACAAACUAAUACCAAAAGAGCUACCCAGAAGCAAUAUAAUUUUGAAAUCUCAAACUGUUGAACAUUUUACCUCUUAAUAUUCUGUUGCACACUUGAAUCUAGCAUUUUCUAUACAUUGAGAAAUUAAUUUUGGAUAUACAAAUUUCAUCAUGUUUCUAUCUGCCACCCAUCCAUAGCUCCAUCUAAUAAAUGCCAUUGCUUGAAACUUGCAUUCAUGUUUCCUUUUCAUGCUUACACUGACAUUCACAGAUUUCCAUUAUCUGCUACUGUUAUAUAUGAUUGCGUUGCAGGAACAUAGCAAUGGAGUACGUAGAGCCUAUUCUUGGCAUUGCAAAGUGUCUUGGACCUCCUGUUUGUAAAUACUUGAAAUAUCACAGUAAGCUGAAUGAUUAUGUGAGAAACUUCAAGAGGAUCAGAGAUGAAUUGAAUUGUAAUAUGGAAGACAUAGAUGUUAAAAUGAGGCAACAUAGCAGCAACAUGCAAGCAACCAAGCAGCACAACAUCAGCAUGCAAGUAACCGAGCAACUCAGCAGCAGCAGGCUAAUGUCCAUGGUGUAAUUCGACUGUAGAGCUUUUGCAUAGUUGACUUUUUGCUAGUUUGGUUGAAAUCAUUUUUUGUUUGAUCAGCUAAGGUUUAAUCAUGUGUUUAGCUGAUUUAGUAGUCAUUUAGGUUGUCAUUAAGUUGAUUUAACAGCUUAGAUACUUGCACAAGCUAGCUUUGUCUUUAACCAAUGUAAUUUGAACUACUUAUGUAUGUGGUUUUGUUACUUAUUCAAGUAAUGAAGUUAAUCUUCAUCAUCCGGUAUUCGUUUUUGCUUCUGUUUUUUAUAUUUCAAACACAAAAACUUUGUUUUUGAUACUUAGUUAUUGAUCUAAAACUCAACAAUAGAGAUGCAAUUGAAAGCAGAGCUUCUUUCUCCUAGGGGGAAGAUACCAAAGCAGGGAGUUGAAAAUUGGUUGAAAGAUGCGAAAGAGAUGAUUGCGGAAGCACAGGAUGUGGAAAAUAAAGUCAGAAAUGGGAGAUAUCUCUGUCGUGCUUGGAACGGAAAGCUGGUUGAUGAAAAGACUCGAGAAAUGAAGGAAUUUCUUGAUAAAGCUCCUAAUGCCUCUGAAGCUCUUGCCAUGGAUGGUCCAAGUGGUGGGUUGCCACUGCCAACAUCAGAACUAGUUGGGGAGGGAGCUGCCAGAAAAGAGAUUUGGGCAUGCUUGAUGCAAGAGGAGGUAAAAAAGAUUGGGGUUUGGGGGAUGGGCGAUGUGGGUAAAACCACUAUCAUGAAGCACAUCCACAAUGAUCUUUUGAAAGAACAAAGAUUCGAAAGAGUAAUCUGGGUUACCAUAUCAAAGGAGUUCAAUGUAAUGAAGGUACAAGAUGAUAUUGCAAGUGCUUUGAAGUUGAAGGAAGAUUUGGCCAUAGAAGGAGUGUUGGUGUUAAGAGGAAACAGCAAGCUGAUUUGAGCUUGCUUGGGCAGCAAGUGUCGAGCCUUGCUGAAGAAACAAUCGAAGAGGAAAGAAAAAUAUGCAAUGGAAAACAGAAAAGAAAGAGAUAAAUUUGAAUGAAAAAUGAGCUGAAACUUUCAUUAACAACAAAAUGAGGUAUUAAACCAUUACAUAUAUUAGUCAACUUGGAAAGUAAAACUUGCAAACAAGUAAACACCUAAUCAGCCACCUAACUCCACUAAUUUACAUUGAAACUUGCAAGAUUAACUUGCUUACAUAGCUUUGUUGAUUUUCAGUCAAUCAACAUCAAAACAUUUACCUACUAAGUUCAAAAUGAACUAGAUUACAAAAGAAUUACAUGAGAACUAAAUGUAGUAAGUAAACUAGAAACUUCUAGCUUCAGUUGCUGCACAGCAAGGCUCGAAUGCCUGCUACGUUUUCUUCUUGCAUGGCCACCUUUGCAUGGGAAGCUGAUUGCAUGGGAACUAACUUUAACACUCCUCCUUAGUUUCUAUGCUGNNNNNNNNNNNNNNNNNNNNNNNNNNNNNNNNNNNNNNNNNNNNNNNNNNNNNNNNNNNNNNNNNNNNNNNNNNNNNNNNNNNNNNNNNNNNNNNNNNNNUAACACCUAGCUUUCCUUUUAAUUUUAUAAACCUUGACACAUUGAGUGCCUUGGUAAAGAUGUCUGCAAUUUGCUCCUCCGAAUUGCAAUGAACCAGCUCGAUUUCAUGAGCUUGUUCCAUCUCCCUUAUAACAUGUAGCUUGAUAUUGAAGUGCUUGGUUCUACCAUGGAAGAUGGGAUUCUUUGCAAUUGCAACAGCAGAUUUGUUGUCACAGUAAAUCUCUGUUGCUUCUUCUUGGUUUUGGUUUAAAUCAGCCAAGAUUUUUCUAAGCCAUAUGGCUUGAUUCACAGCAGAUGCAGCAGCAACAUAUUCAGCUUCUGCUGUUGAUUGUGCCACCAAACUCUGUUUCUUAGAACUCUAGCAAAAUAUGCCUGAGCCAAGGCUAAAUGCAUAUCCAGAUGUGCUCCUCAUGUCAUCACUCGAUCCAGCCCAAUCACUAUCGACAUAGCCUAUUAACUUCAUGUUUUCAGCUCUUUUGAGCAUCACACCAUGGUUAAUGGUGCCUUUGAUGUACCUAAGUACUCGUUUAGCUGCUUGAAAAUGCAGAUUGUUGCAGCAAUUCAUGUAUCUGGAUAGCACACUAACUGCAAACAUAAUGUCGGGCCUUGUUGCAGUCAAAUACAAUAGACUACCAAUGAGACUCUUGUACAUAGUCUCACAAACUGGUUCACCAGUUUCCUGCCUUGAUAGCUUCAUUCCAACAGCCAUUGGUGUGCUUGUUGGCUUGUAGUUCUUCAUUGAGAACUUGUUUAAGACUUUCAUAGCAAAGGAACUCUGGCUGAGAAAGAUUCCAUUUGCUGUUUGCUUUACUUCCAUCCCUAGGAAGUAAUUCAUUCUGCCUAGAUCAGACAUUUCAAACAUCUUCAUCAUUUUCCUCUUAAAAUCAUGCAGCAUGUUCUUGUCUCCUCCAGUUACCAACAAAUCAUCAACAUAAAGUGACAGGAUAAGCUUAGUUUCAGCUUGAUUUUUCUUCACGUACAAUGUUGGUUCACUAGGGCUUCUCUCGAACUCCAAACUGAGCAAGUAAGAAUCAAUUCGAGCGUACCAGGCUCGAGGAGCCUGCUUCAGGCCAUACAAGCCCUUUUUCAGCCUAUACACCAUGUGUUCCUUGCUAGUGACUACAAAUCCUUGAGGCUGUUCGAUGUAGAUCUCUUCUUCUAGGAAACCAUUGAGAAAUGCAGACUUCACAUCAAGUUGAUGAAUGGUCCACUGAUGUUGAGCAGCCAAGGCAACUAUCAUUCUGACUGUGUCAAGCCUGGCUACUGGUGCAAAAGUCUCCAGGUAGUCCAAACCAUACCUUUGGCUAAAUCCUUUGACAACAAGCCUAGCUUUUAGCUUGUUCAAACUGCCAUCUGCAUUCUGUUUUGCUCGAUAGACCCAUUUUACUCUAAUGAUCUUCUUUCCAGCAGGUUUAUCAACUAGCUCCCAUGUCUGGUUCUUCUCAAUCAUGUUGAUUUCAUCAGCCAUAGCCAGUUUCCAACCUUCAUCUGCUUCAGCCUCUUCAAAACUACUAGGUUCAGCUAUAGCAACCUGUGCCAAUUCAUAAAUUUCAUCCAAAGACCUUGUGCCUCUUACAGGCACAUCAUCAACAUCCAUCUCAAGACCAAACUGCUCGAGUUCAGCUUGAUCAGGCACCAGGUCUUCUGAAGCAACUUCUGGUUCACUCUUUUCCCAAUUCCAGCAAGCUUUUUCAUCAAAGAUGACAUCUCUGCUCACCUGGACUUUGCUUGUCAAGGGAUCAAGAACCCUGUAGCCCUUCUUAACUGAGCUAUAGCCUAUUAGGACACCUGGUUGAGCCCUUUCAGAGAGCUUGUCUCUUCUUGCUGCUGGUAUUUGUGCAUAACAUAGACAACCAAACACUUUUAGGUGUGCCAAGGAAGGCUUGAAUCCAAACCAAGCCUCGAAAGGUGUCUUGGAUGUAAGAGCUUUGGUAGGAAGCCUAUUCUGAAGGUAGACAGCAGUGUUUACUGCCUCAGCCCACAUGGUCUUGGGCAGUUUCUUCUCAAACAGGAGACAUCUGGCCAUAUCCAUCAGACUUCUGUUCUUUCUUUCAGAUACUCCAUUUUGCUGAGGUGUGUAGACAUUUGUAAGCUGGUGUUUGAUGCCAGAAUCAUUGCAAAUGGCUUGGAACUGAGCUGAAGUGUACUCAGUGCCAUUGUCUGACCUUAUUGAUUUCAGCUUGCAACCUGUUUCUGUUUCUACAGCAGUUUUAAACUUCACAAACACUUGAGCUACCUCAGACUUGUGUUUCAAGAGGAAAAUCCAGCAAAACCUUGUAAAAUCAUCAAUGAAGAGGAUGAAAUACCUGUUAUUGCUAAGUGAUUCAGUCCUCAUAGGUCCACAUACAUCAGAGUGCACCAGCUACAAUCUUUCAGUGGCUCUCCAUGCUGAGUUUGUUGGGAAUGGUAGUCUUGUCUGUUUUCCUAUCUGGCACACUUCACACACAUCAUCAUGCUCCUCUGAGUUGGUGAAGUUAUCUGCCAAGCCUUCUUUGGCCAAUCGAGCCAUUGACCUGAAGUUGGCAUGCCCAAGCCUUUGAUGCCAGAGCUUGGAAUCAUCUGUGGAGGCUGUGUAUGCUGACUUUGAGUCAUUUGGCCAAUGAACCUCAAAGCAUUUAUCAGUCAUUGUGACUGUCAUAAGGCUUGAUCCACUGGGAUCAGCAAUGUGGCAAUGUUUGUCUUUAAACACAACUGAAUAACCCUUCUCAAGCAGUUGAGCUAUGCUGAGAAGGUUUCUGUCAAUCUCAGGUACCAAUAGGACAUUCGAGAUGACUUUGUUGCCUGUAGAGGUGCAUAUCAGCACUUUUCCUCUUCCUUCAGCUUUUAUAAACUGACCAUUUCCAACCUUAACCUUGGUUUUACAGCUUCUGUCCAAGGUUUUGAACAAAGAUGCAUCUGGUGACAUGUGGUUGGUGCAGCCACUGUCCAAUAGCCACCCUUUUAAGCAUUUCUUCUCAGCAGCUAAGCAUGACACAGCAAAGACCUGCUCUUCUUGGUCACUACUGUCUUCAGCCACUCGAGCUUCAACCUUUGGCUGCUGAAAUUGGUUCUGCCUUGGCUUGGUUCUGUUUUUGCAAACUCUUUCAACAUGGCCUUUCUUCUUGCAGUGUUGACAUAUUGCAUCUGGCCUAAACCAGCAUCUAUCCUCUGGAUGUCCAGGUUUCUUACAAUGUCUGCAGGGCUGAUCAUUGCUCCUUGCAGCAUCAGGCUUAGGCCUGCUUUUCUAAGUUUUUUUGCCUCUUUGAGCAUUGGUGCUCGAGGUCUCUCUUGUCUUGGCUUGAAAUGCACCUUCCUGGUGGUCUUCAGCUCUGCUAGCUCUCCUUUGUUCCUGAGCAUAAAAGGUGUUGAUAAGCUCAGUCAAAGAGGUGCUAGCAAGGUCUCUUGAGUCCUCUAAGGAGGAUAUCUUUGCCUCAUAUCUCUCAGGCAAAGUGGAGAGGACUUUCUCCACUAUUCUUGCCUCAUCAAAGUGCUCACCUAGGAGCCUUAUGCUGUUAACCACUGCCAUGAUUCUAUCUGCAUACUGCUUCACUGUUUCUUCUUCCCUCAUCUUCAGAUUCUCGAAAUCCCUUCUCAAAUUCAACAGCUGCUGUUGCCUUGUCCUCUCUGUACCUUGAAACUCCUCUUUGAGCUUAUCCCAAGCCUGUUUUGGAGUCUCAUAGGCCAUAAUUCUGGUGAAGAUGACAUCUGACACACAAUUCUGAAUGCAUGACAUAGCUUUAUGCCUUUUGGUCCUCUCAUCAGCAUGUUGCCUAAUCUGAGCUACUGUGGGAUUAGCCCUCAGUGGUGCUGGCUCAGCAUUUGUGUUGACAACUUCCCACAGAUCAAAGGCCUGCAGGUAAGUCUUCAUCUUUACCAACCAUAUGUGGAAGCCUUCUCCAUUGAAGACUGGUGGGGCUGCUGGUGAAAAUCCUGAAGAAGCCAUUCAGAUUCCUUGGUUUAAAGCAACAGGUCCACUAAGACAAAAGCUCUAGAUACCAAUUGUUGGUGUUAAGAGGAAACAGCAAGCUGAUUUGAGCUUGCUUGGGCAGCAAGUGUCGAGCCUUGCUGAAGAAACAAUCGAAGAGGAAAGAAAAAUAUGCAAUGGAAAACAGAAAAGAAAGAGAUAAAUUUGAAUGAAAAAUGAGCUGAAACUUUCAUUAACAACAAAAUGAGGUAUUAAACCAUUACAUAUAUUAGUCAACUUGGAAAGUAAAACUUGCAAACAAGUAAACACCUAAUCAGCCACCUAACUCCACUAAUUUACAUUGAAACUUGCAAGAUUAACUUGCUUACAUAGCUUUGUUGAUUUUCAGUCAAUCAACAUCAAAACAUUUACCUACUAAGUUCAAAAUGAACUAGAUUACAAAAGAAUUACAUGAGAACUAAAUGUAGUAAGUAAACUAGAAACUUCUAGCUUCAGUUGCUGCACAGCAAGGCUCGAAUGCCUGCUACGUUUUCUUCUUGCAUGGCCACCUUUGCAUGGGAAGCUGAUUGCAUGGGAACUAACUUUAACAAGGAGACAAGCUCAGACGAGCUGCAAUCUUGUCAGAAAUGCUGAAGAAAGUAGGAAAGCAUGUUCUAAACCUAGAUGAUGUGUGGGAUGAAGCCUCUCUAGAAGAAUUUGGGAUCCCUGACCCGAGUGAUAGCAAUGGCUGCAAGUUGGUGUUGACAACCCGUUCGGAGCAUGUCUGUAAGUAUAAGGGUUGCACGGUGAUAAAAGUGAAGCCCCUUUCAGCACAACAGGCAUUGACACUGUUCUUGAGUAAAGUUGGGCCUAACAUAGUGCAAAAUCAAACUUCAAUGCCAAUUUUGAGGCUCGUUGUCGAAGAAUGUGCGGGUCUGCCUCUCACAAUUAUCGUCGUGGCUAGUACAUUGAAAGGAGAAGAGGACCCUCUUAUUUGGAAAAAUGCACUCAGGGAAUUGAAAGAGAGAAUAGAAAAAGUGGAAGGAGUGGAAACUAAAGUGAUAGAGCGUUUGAAAUUUAGCUUCGAUCACUUAAAGGACGAGAAAGUGAAAUAUUGUUUCUUACAUUGCGCAUUAUUUCCUGAAGAUUUUGAAAUUUGGAAGGAUGUGUUAAUUGAGUGCUGGAUUGAAGAGGGAUUCAUAGAUGAUAUGGUACAAGACAAGAAAUGAAAGGCUAGGGCCAUGUUAUUUUGAAGAAGUUGGAAGAUAAUUGCUUGUUGGAAAAUGUCUCGAGUUGGAAAAUGAAGAUGCAUGAUGCAGUGAGAGAGAUGGCAUUGUCGAUCACAAGAAUGAAUCCUCGAUAUAUGAUACAAGCAGGUUUGCAAUUAGAAGAGUUACCAGAAAAGGAGCAAUGGAGUCCGGAUAUUGAGAAAGUGUCACUUAUGUAUAACUCCAUAUCAAAAGUUUCCAUAGAUGUGCUGCCUACAAAAUACCAACUGUCACAACCUUGUUAUUGCGGGACAACCCUAUAAAGAAGAUCUCAAUUUCUUACUUCACAAACAUGCCUUGUCCUAGUGUUCUCAAUUUGUCUUUUACAAAGGUUGAGAGUUUACCAAAUUCCAACUAAAGAACCUCACAACAUUGUUGCUUUAAAUAUUAUUUAAAAACUAAUGUAUCAUCCAUAACGAAUCAUACAUCAUUAACACAUAUUAGGGCAUGGGAAAGCUUUUAAAAAAAUGAACUCAAAUUAUACUGCUCUACANNNNNNNNNNNNNNNNNNNNNNNNNNNNNNNNNNNNNNNNNNNNNNNNNNNNNNNNNNNNNNNNNNNNNNNNNNNNNNNNNNNNNNNNNNNNNNNNNNNNNNNNNNNNNNNNNNNNNNNNNNNNNNNNNNNNNNNNNNNNNNNNNNNNNNNNNNNNNNNNNNNNNNNNNNNNNNNNNNNNNNNNNNNNNNNNNNNNNNNNNNNNNNNNNNNNNNNNNNNNNNNNNNNNNNNNNNNNNNNNNNNNNNNNNNNNNNNNNNNNNNNNNNNNNNNNNNNNNNNNNNNNNNNNNNNNNNNNNNNNNNNNNNNNNNNNNNNNNNNNNNNNNNNNNNNNNNNNNNNNNNNNNNNNNNNNNNNNNNNNNNNNNNNNNNNNNNNNNNNNNNNNNNNNNNNNNNNNNNNNNNNNNNNNNNNNNNNNNNNNNNNNNNNNNNNNNNNNNNNNNNNNNNNNNNNNNNNNNNNNNNNNNNNNNNNNNNNNNNNNNNNNNNNNNNNNNNNNNNNNNNNNNNNNNNNNNNNNNNNNNNNNNNNNNNNNNNNNNNNNNNNNNNNNNNNNNNNNNNNNNNNNNNNNNNNNNNNNNNNNNNNNNNNNNNNNNNNNNNNNNNNNNNNNNNNNNNNNNNNNNNNNNNNNNNNNNNNNNNNNNNNNNNNNNNNNNNNNNNNNNNNNNNNNNNNNNNNNNNNNNNNNNNNNNNNNNNNNNNNNNNNNNNNNNNNNNNNNNNNNNNNNNNNNNNNNAGCAUUCGCGGAGGUUUUUGAAAAACGCCGCUAAAGCCCCGAAGACUAAAAGUACUAAUAAUUACCGUCUGUCUAUUAUUUAAACGACAAAUUGGAGUGAUUGAUUAAAGCUAAAAUUAACUAAAUUAAUUAACUAAAGAACACAACAAAGAACAUAUUAGAAAAAUAAAUCCAAAUCACACAAUUUCUUCACUUUGUAUCUUAAUACGGAGAAAUCCCUAAAUUAUGCUAAUAUCUCUCUUCAAGACUAAGAGCAACUGAUUCUAGAUUGAUUAAUUGAAAUUUCUUUCUAAUUAAAACCCCUAUUAUCACAUUAACUCAAUCUAUAGAUCCUUCUAUUAGAUUUGACUCUAAUCCGGUAGAUNNNNNNNNNNNNNNNNNNNNNNNNNNNNNNNNNNNNNNNNNNNNNNNNNNNNNNNNNNNNNNNNNNNNNNNNNNNNNNNNNNNNNNNNNNNNNNNNNNNNAUACUAUAUAUAUAUAUAUAUAUAUAUAUAUAUAUAUAUAUAUAUAUAUAUAUAUUUAUUUAUUUAUACCUAAUACAUGCCAUUUACUAGUAUAUUAGACAUUCUUAUACCCUGCUUUCCCAUACAUUCCCAUUAUUAUGAUGAUGAUGACGAUGUUACAAUUAAGCACCAAGAUGACUGCAAAACUUGUUAGUAUUGUCCAGGAUGCAUGGAAAGGACAUUUCCAUGGAUUUUAGACCUCAUAUCUAUCUUUCAAAUUUUGAGAGCAGAUUCAAGGUUUUAUCAAGUAGAAAUGUCGGUAUCAAAUACCCAAAAUGCCAACUAAUAAUGGCAGACAGCAAAGCAAAAAGCUAAAAGAAAAUGUGGGAUUUCUUACUAAUAAUCCCGCCUUUGUGGAACCCACCACAGAAGUGAAGGCCUCAUUAUUUUGCCUGCUUUUAUCUUCACUUUCUUCCCUUUUUUGCUAUUCUAUCCACAACAUUCUUUCUUCUUCACUGUUUUUAUCAAGCAUCCAGUCAAGGUAAUUUUCUUUCAUUUGCUUAAUCCAUGACAUGCUUUUCAUUGCUUAGUUCAUGACUAUGCAAUGAUUGUUUUUUAUUAUCUCUGCUUCAGUUAUAGCAGUUUGCUUUGUAAGAUAGUCAAGGGAGUGAACUUCACUGCUUCAUUUUCAGUUCUAACCUCUCAACACCUUUCAGCCAGUAGGUCAGGCAAUUUCUGCUUCCCAUUCUUUGAUCCUUAAAUAUGCAAUUCAGCUCAUUUGAAAAUUGGUUUGCUUAUUAUCAANNNNNNNNNNNNNNNNNNNNNNNNNNNNNNNNNNNNNNNNNNNNNNNNNNNNNNNNNNNNNNNNNNNNNNNNNNNNNNNNNNNNNNNNNNNNNNNNNNNNCCUCUAAUUUAAGCACAUAAAACAUGGAUCAAUAGUCUAGAAAUAUUAAACCAUGAAUUAAGAACACAUAAUUGAGAACAAGAUUUAAGUAUUUAUUGCAUAAAAAUAGAAAUCAAAUAAUAGAAUUCAUCCUAAGGUUCAUCUCCCUAGGUAUUUGGAAAAAAUUAGUUCAUAUAGUAAAUAAAAGCAUCUCAAAGAUAGUAUAACUAUAAGAAAUAAAGAAACUCAUAACAAACUUCAAAGAAAUCAAAAGGAGAACUUCAGUUUUGAUGGAAAUAUGCUUCAAAGUCGGCUUCAAUGGUAUUUUUCGAGUUGUUUUCUUCAAUAUUAUAUGACGACUCACUCCCCUCUUCUUAUCUUUUUCAUAUAUGUCUUAGAAUGCUCGAAAAAUUUAAAAAUUACGAUUUUCUGUGUGUUUAGAGUGCAAUUUGUGCUUUCCACACGGUUUGGCACAUUGUUGUGUGGCAACUCGUAUGGCUCACUUGGCUGUGGAAUGGCUCAGCCCGUGUGGCUCAUGAAACUUAAAAAUUAAAAAUUAAAAAUAAAAAAGUUAGAUCAUUACAUGCUUCAUCAAUGGUUCUCGAAACCAAAUUAGUAAUAUUAUUGAGUUUCAUGUCCUUAAAGAACAUCUAAAAUUGAUAUUGCAGAGGCUUAUGAAAUUGACCUUGAUGCCAUUUUUUUUUUAGCCUAAAGCUAUUAUGUUUCAAACUCAAUUCAAUUUUUCAUUACAUUUAAAUUAUAUUUUGAAACUCAAAUUGUAAAAAGAAAUCAUAUUCAGAAUUUUAUCUUUUCUUGUAAGGUAAAAAUUAUGUCAAGAAACAGAAGAGGUAAAAAACAGAAAACAAAUAAAUCAGCUUAAUGUUUGUUUUCUAUAUUUGUUUUUAAAGAACGAGUAUUGGAUAUUUCGAUAUACAUAAUAUAGAGAAUUUCUGUAGGGUUUAAAAAUAAUUAUCCCUCAUUUUCUCUCACUUUAUUUAUUUUUGAAAUUUUUAUUAAUUUUUAUUUUAUUUUUAAUUUUAUAAUGUUCUAAAAUUUUAAAAAUAAUUUAUUUUUUUACCAUUUUAUAUAUUAUCAAAAUUAAAUUGAGUAAAAAUAUAAACCUUAAAAAAGACUAAAAUAACAAUUAUAUUAAUUAAAAGAAUGGUAACAAUGGAGUAUGUAAGAAAUUGUCCAAGAGUUAAAUCCAAAAUGUAAAUUCAACAACACAAGUUAUUUACUACAACACCAAUAACUAUANNNNNNNNNNNNNNNNNNNNNNNNNNNNNNNNNNNNNNNNNNNNNNNNNNNNNNNNNNNNNNNNNNNNNNNNNNNNNNNNNNNNNNNNNNNNNNNNNNNNGCUCCUAAUGCCUCUGAAGGUCUUGCCAUGGAUGGUCCAAGUGCUGGGUUGCUACUGCCAACAUCAGAACUAGUUGGAGAAGAAGCUGUCAGAAAUGAGAUUUGGGAAUGUUUGAUGCAGGAGGAGGUAAGCAAGAUUGGGGUUCGGGGGAUGGGCAUAAAAAAUUAUUAAAAUAGAUCAUUGCUAAUUCUCUCUUUUCUUAAUCGGUAAGUUUCUCUCUUCAAAUCCUUUUAUUUCUUUAUUGAAUCCAUCGCAUAUCAUUUGCAAACCGAUUUCUGUACAGUUUGUUUGUUCAAUUUUUCUUUUUCCAGUUUUUUUCUUGAUUUAGAUGGAAGAUUCUUUUGUCGCAUUUGAAGAGUUUCUAAAAAUUUUAGGGUUUUCCUAAAUCUAACUUUCUUGACACCACGUGCGCGUAUAAAUUUCUUUCGUGGAGAUUAUUUAUCAUGUUUGUGUGUUUGGUCUCUUGAGGUUGAGCUGUUUUUAUUUUCAAAAAUAAAUAUUUAUUUUCUUUUGCAUUUAUUUCUAAUAUCACCAUAAAUUGUCUAGGGUUGUGGAUUUUGGGGAUUUUGGGUUUUGGGUGAUCUAAUUUGGGGAUUUUGAGUAAGGGUUUUGAUUUUGGGGAUUUUGAUUUUAGGAAUUUUUAUUUAGGGUUUUUAAUUUUGAAGAUUUUGGGGAUUUCUCACACCGCCCUCCUCAUCAGCUUCAAAGCCAACAAAUCUACAUCUAAGCUCAUGCAAAAAGUCACCAGAACCCAUGCUUGAAACCUCAGGUCACUUCCGCCAUGCGGAUUGCAUCAAACUGAUCGAUGACUCUAUCAAAGAGCUCCAAAAAUCUAUAUGUAAAUUUUUUUCAUAUCAGAUGCUCCAACUUUGUGCCCAUGAGUCAUGAGUGAUCUUCAAACCUAGGUUAAUGCUGCCCUAACGGAUGAAGAUACUUGCAUGGAUGGAUUCUCAAGCAGGGCCAUGAAUGGGUAUGCAAAGAUGAUGGUGAGGAAACGAAUUAUUAAGAUCACACGUUUGACGAGCAAUGUUUUGGCUCUCAUUAAUAACUAUGCUUCAUCUCAGAUCCUUCAUUGAUUUUCUUGAGAAAACUUUGAUGGCAAGGAAAGUAUUGUGUUUCAUGGAUUUAUGUUCAAUAUAGGAUUUUAUGUUUUGGCUCUCAUUAAUAACUAUGGUUCAUCUCAACUCUAUGUUUGUGGUUCUUGAUUUUUGCAAUUGUAUCAAUUUGAAUAUGAAAUUUGUGUUCGUGUAUGUUUAGGGUUUUUAUUAUUUUUUUAAUAAUUUUAAAAUCAUUUGCUGACGUGGUAUAUAAAAGAAAAUAAUGUUAUGUUAGUAUUUAAAUUCAUUUGGACUGUCAUGUCAGAGGUUAAUGUUGACCAUUAGACAACUAACGGCCACAUCAGCCUCUAUGUUAAAAAUAAACCAAUUUGUUAGAAAUUUAAAUUUUGCACUAUAAAAUUAAUUUUUAAAAUUAACUAUUCAAUUUGUAAUUGAUUUUAUUAAAUUAAAAUAUUCACUAAUGUUUGAAAAUGUUCUCCAUGUUAAUUAUACACUUGAUUGUUUUUUUUUUAAAUUAUUUAAGAAUUCAGUUAAAUGGUAAUCAAUUUAUAUUAAAAUAUCAGUUUUAUUGGUUGUAUUAUUUCAUUAGUGUUCUUAUAAUAUUAUUUCAUUUUUAUUUAUAGACACCAACUUCAAAAUCAAAAGAGGAUUAAUUCACUAGAAGAUAUGGCUCAUACUGUAAACAAUAAAUAAGAUAUUAUAAAUUGAUAUCAUUAAAAUUUAAAUAAUAUACAAAGAGUAGCAAAAUAAAUUGAAAACAUAUUAUAUGAUCUAAAUGAACUAUAAUAAAAGGAUUAUAUAUUUCCUAUCAAUCCUACUAUAUUGUCUUUUAUAAAUAAUUUCCUAUCAAGCAAGUUGACAGCUAAAGGGUGCAAAUUUGACUUUGCUAAAUUCUCUAGCAUCAAAGAGGCAAGAUAUAUUGCAAACAAGACAUAAACCAAUAUCAACAUGGUGAUUCCAAAAUUCAAAACACACUAAACCCCUACUUUUGUAUGAUAGAGAAAAUAUGAUGUACAAAUUUAUAGUCAUGGAAUGUAUUAGGUGCAUUGAAGAUAAUUCAGUGUUAGAAUCAAAGAAAUUUAUCGUUAUUUUUGUGAAUUGUAAAAUUGUGCAUCAACUGGGAAAAAUGUUUGUCUUCCAUUACAAGAAUUUCUUUAAAGUUAAUAGUUUGAGAGAUAAUUUUAAGGAGGAAUUGGAAGGCAUUGCUAUAAAGAGAAUCUGAAGAAAGUAAUUUCGUUUUGAGUUUCAAGUGAAAGGAAUGAAAGAAAGGUUGCUUAAAUAAAUACAGGAUUGGAUAUUGAGUUGUUUUGAAUAGUUGGAGCGAAGGACACAUGGACCAUAUGAAAUUCAAGUCUACCAAAGUAAUGCAAAUCAGAUUCCUCUUUGGAAAUGACAACUUUUCAAAACAUUGUCAAUCUACCUUGAAAGGUGGCAUCUGUGAAAGAAUCAAUCAUGAAAUAUUAAAAUUAUACUAAAACGACUACAAAGAUUUAUUUCCCCUAUAAAUAAAUGUUUUCUUUUCUUCCUUAAAAAUUAACAUGAUUUUAUCUUAAUAUACAUAUAUAUAUAUAUAUAUAUAUAUAUAUAUAUUUACGUCUCAAAAUAGCCUUCUAAAAUAUUUAUUUUAAAAAAUAAUUUAUAUAAUACAUAUAACAAUUAAUUAUAAACUUAUUUUGAUAUGAUGUCAAAAUUAAAUAUUAUAAUGGUCCUUUAUCACAUUCAACACUAACUUUUAUUUUAUAAUUUUUAAAAAAAGUUAAACUAAUAACAUAAAAAAUUUAAACUAAAGUUUUUAAAAGAAUUUAGGUUAAACUACACCAUUAGUCACUCAAAAAAGGUCCAAUUUUCAUUUUGGUCACUUAACUAAAAUAAGAUACAAUUUGGUCACUAAUGUUUCUAGAAAAAUAUUUUGGUCACCUGACUGUUAAGUUGCGCUUACUUUGGCUGGUAUGAUAACAAUUUUUGUCACAUCCCAGAAACCAAGUUAGUAGAAAUUGGGUUAGUGAAACCAAGAGUGGUCACGUUCUGUUUUUGAGUUAAGAUUGUGAAAAUUAUGUUAAGUAAAUUUAUUUGGUUUAGUGGUUAAGUGCUUUGGAUGUGUCUAAGGUCUUGCGUUCAAUUUUUUUCCCUUAAAUUUUCAUUAUUUUUGUCCUAACUUCCAUCUCUGAACAUCUAGCUUAUAUAUUAUUUUUUCUCAAUUGAUGAUAAGAAUGAGUUUACUAGUUUAGUGGUAAGGCUUUAGUUUACUUAGAGGUCUUGUGUUUGAAUCUUAUGUAUGUAAAGUUGAAUUAUUUUUGUUUUUAAACUCUGAGAAAUUUUUUUUAUAAGGAUAACUAAUCAAAUUGAGUGGGGAAAAUUUCCCCAAAAUUCUCCUCAUUCUGUUGCUCACUUCUUCCCACAUUGUUCACUUUUUCUUGUCCCUUUUCUUUUUACAUUUGAUUUCUUCCUCUUUUUUUUUUUUUUGCUUUAGUAGUUUUGCUACCUUCCUUUCUCAUCUUUGCUCUACUAUUUUUCUUUUGUGUUAUUCUAUUGGUACGCUGUUGAAUCUCUGUUAUUCCUUCGGGUAAGUGUUGGUUACUUGUUUUAUAUAAAUGUGGUGUUGGGUUAAUCUUUCAAGUGAUUGAUGGUUUCAAUUUUGAUCUUUGCAAUGUGUUGUUAGGAGAAGAUCGACAGACUCUUGAAUUGUCUCUAGCGAUUUAAGUGCGGGAAAGGGCUGUUGUUUUUGCAAGGGUAAGUGAUUAAAGUUUUCAAUUGGAGGUUGAUUCGGUUGCUUAGGCUAACUGUUUAGCAUUUGCGAUUGAAUUAGUGACUUGGAUUUAGCAUAUUACUAAUAAUUCUUACGUUAUAAAAUGUCAGUUUAGGUACUGAAAUCCUCGUAGUGGUGUUAGCAUCGAAAAUCAACUAGGUGUGUAACGAAAAUAUCAAAAAUAACAAACGACACGAUGUUGAAAAACCCACUAUCGACGUCACACAACCAUGUGCCAGGUUAUGUGGGUCAUACGGGCUGGGUUAUUUGGGCCGUGUGGGCUACAUGGGUGUGUGUUAGGCUAUGUGCUAGGCCAUGUAGGCCACACGGGUUGGGCAGUUACGUCAUGUGGGCCCAUUUUUUGUAAAAUUCUGUCAAGGUUGUAUUUGAAGUGCGAUUUGAAAUUAGUCACUUUGUAGGUUCCGAAAUGUGUUAUGUAUGCAUUCUGGAUACGAAAUUUGAUAUUUUGUUUCUAUUAAUGUGGUUUUUCAAGCAUAUUAUUCAAUAUUGACAUUGUACAUGUAACAUUCAAGAGCAUGUCUGUGGUAUAGUUUAUGCUUCUGAUCUGUAAUUUGAGAAUCUAUUUAAGCAUGAUCCAUUUAUGUGCAUCUGAGUAUGUAAAAUGUUUUGACAUGUGCAUUGGGGUGGAAUGAUGAUGUGGUGGAGGAAGUGUUUUGGCAGUUUAACUGCAUGCUGAUAUUUAUAAGCCAUCGUUGUUGGGCAACUCGGGAUAACUUAAUUUGUGGUUUAACCACAUAUCUAAUAUGGGUGGCUUAACUAGACUUAUUGAUUUUGGCAGAAUACCGUAUUAUUUUUGGCAGCAUGAUUGCCUAUUCUAAAAAGUGAUAUAUGCUCACUUAUUGGUGUGACGGAUGGAUGGGCUCCUUAUAACACCCCUUACCCGAGACCAUUGUUGGAAUCGAGCACGAAGCGUUACCUAACUUAACUUACUAAUUCAGAGCAUAAAAAUUUUCUUUUAAAAUUAAUUCAAUCACAUUUAAUCAAUAUGUUCCUAAAAAGGAUCCUCGAGACCCUAAAACAUGCAAUGAAAUCGAUUCGGGUCCAAACCAGGAACAUUUAAAAUUUUUCGAUUACUUAAACAAGUCAAAAUGAUUUAUUUCACUAUCCACAAUAAAAUGUCCACCUGCAUAAUAGUCACUAAAUUUUUUAUAACUCGAGUUACGAAACUCGAAUUUAGAUCCGUCAAUUUUCCCUGAAACUAGACUCAUAUAUCUUCUUUACUUACUCUCUUACUCGUUUACUUACUUGCCUGCUUAAACAAUUCAUGUUUAUAACUUACUCAUUCCUUGCUGAAAUUUCUUUUCUCAACUGAUAACUGAGAUACUCUUAAUCUUAUUAACUCACCUGAACUUGUCUAUUAGGCUUUUACCUGAACUUUCAUGUAACAUCGUCUAUUUACUAGCCCGUUGAAUCACUUGGAAUACUAAGGAUACUCGGGUCUCCUGUCUGAAUAUUAUAGCCAAAGCUAUGUCCCAGACAUAGUCUUCCAUGAGAUGUUUCUUGUAUUGCCAAUGCCAUAUCCCAGAUAUGGUCUUACAUGAGAGUUCUCAUAUAGGUGCCAUUGACAUCUCCCAGACAUGGUCUUAUGGGGGACCUCUCAUCUUAGUGCCAAUGCAAUGUCCCAUCAAGGUCUUAAAUGGGACCUCUCAUCUUGGUGCCAACGCCAUGUCCCAGACAUGGUCUUACAUGGGAUCUCAUUCCCCAAAUGUCAUGACAUUUGUAUCCAUUACAUUCCCAAUGUUUCAACGGGGCUUUUAUCACUAAUUCUCUGUCAUCUAAUACUUGAGUCAACAUUAGAUAUUUUCAUGAAAUAAAUACAUAAUUGCUGAAAAAUAACAGCAUUAAUAAUUAUUAUUAAAAUAUUGCAUUUAUUUACCGUAAACUUACAUCGGUACAAAAUAUGAUCAAAUCUAGCACUUUAGUCCUCAACAUUUUUCUUUCCCCGAUCUAACUCCAAAUUUAGUUCUUCUUGAUCUAUAAUAGCAAAUUUAGCUUAUUUAAUACUCACAUUCAUCAAAACAGUCCUUGACUUGAACUUUAACAAAAUUAAGUUUUUCCUUAAACUUUUGCAUAUUUACACUUUUGUCCCAAAGCUCGGAAAUUAAACUUCAUCCCUUAUUCUUAUGUUUUAUGACAUGCUGAACAUUUUUCCCUUCUAUGGAAAUAUCAAAUUCUCAAUCUAACACUUACUUAUGAACAUUAGGUAUUUUUACCGAUUAUGUCAAUUUACUCGUUUUUACUUAAAAUCGGCUAGCAAAAGUUGUUUAACAUAGUUCCAAGCUUCAUACUCUACCAUAAAACAUCAACAUAAACAAAUUUCACCUAUGGUUAUUUUUCCAAAUAUGAACCCUAGGUUAAAUUAUUGCUAGAAUAAGCUAAAUCAAGUUACCGGAACUCUAAAAACGUAAAGAACAUUAAAAACGGGGCUAGAACGAACUUACAAGCGAGCUUGGAAGCUUGAAAAAAACCCUAUUCAUGGUUUCCCCUUGUGAAAUUCGGCCAUGGGGUUGAAGAUGGACAAAAAAUUGGCUUUUAAUUUUGUUUUUAAUUCAUUUUAAUAACAAAAUGACCAAAAUGCCCUUAAUGAAAAACUUUGGAAACAUGUCUAACCAUGUCCAUUUUUGUCCACCAACUUAACCAAUGGUCUAAUUACCAUAUAAGGACCUCCAAUUGAAAAUUUCAUAACAAUUGGACACCUCUAACAUGUAGAACUCAACUUUUGCACUUUUUACAAUUUAGUCUUUUUGAAUAAAUUGGGUGCCCAAAUGUCAAACUUUUCAAACGAAAUUUUCACAAAAUCAUUUCGUGAAAUCGUAGACCAUAAAAAUAUAAUAAAAAUAAAUUUUCUCAUGUUAAAUUUGUGGUCCCGAAAUCACUAUUUCGACUAGGCCCAAAAUCGGGAUGUUACACUCUUAUAGUCCUAUUUGGUGUGUAUUAGUGGGACAGAAAUGGUGUGUAGUGGAUGGAGGUAGGAUCUAUUUCUAUGUCUGUAUUUGCAUCUGUAUUUGUAUAUGCAUCUGAUUUUGUAUAUGAGAUUGCAUCUCUAUCUAAAACUGAAAUUAUUUAUGUAAUUGAAUUGUAUCUAUUUCUGUAACUAUUACUGUAUUUGAGUCUAUUCUGCCUGUUUGGGUUGAGUUACACACUAAGCCUAUAAGCUCACCCAAGUUCUUUGUGUAACACCCCUAGCCCGUAUCCGUCACCGAAUUAGGGUUAUGAGGCAUUACUGUACGAAUCACAAUUCAGAACAGAGUUUUGCUACAUUUAUUGCUUCUUAAUUUAAACUCAUCAGAACACUUAUUCCAUUCGAUUUUAAACUUAAAAUUUCUAUACUAAUAUCAUAAUUAUAUUUAAGAUUAUUCGAUUAUAUAUAUACAUGUGUCAUUACGCAACAUAUACCAACAUACAUGAUAACAAAUUUUUCAUAAGCUAAUCCUCAAACAUAACCUUUUUAUAGUCUAAGCAUAUUCACAUAUUAAAAUCGAUCAUCAUCCAUACAAAAAUACAACUUUGAUUAACCAUUAUGGCCGAAUAUACUAAUGAUUAGCAUCAACCAUGAUGUGCAUUUAAGUUCAAACAAUAUGAACCAUAUCACAUAAUUAAGUAUCACUCAUUUAAGUAGCAUUGCACACAUUUAAAAUAACAUGAUUUAAAAUUGAACAUAUUUCUCCAUCAAUUAUAAAACCAUGCGCAUAUGACCUUGUUAUCUUAAGUAAAUUUGGGCACAAAUAACAAUUAAGAUUACACAUCAUUCGCAUGCCAAUAUAUAUGCAUUAGAUCGUGCCAAAAAUUUCAUUCAUACCACAAGCUAAGUUAUUCCACAAUUAGACAAUCAUUAUAACCUAUAAUACAUAAUAUAUUUAUUUAAAUGUUAUAAAUCAAAUAUCAUGCUUAUCAUUUUAGCAUCAUAUCCUUAGCCUUAUAAACAUAUUCAUUUUAAUUAUCAACUAAAACAAUCAUAUGACAUAUUCAUAUUUAUCUUUUACCAACCAUACCUAAUUAACCAAUCAUUCAAGCAUGAUAUAUAUGCAUACAUUACCAAUACAAACCGAAUCAAAAUAACCUAUACACAUUCGAACUAUAAUCAUCCUUUUACCCCACUACUAAGCCGAAUUAUAAAUAUACAUCAAACAUUACAAACAUUUAUAUAUUCGGUAUUAAUCUUGCUAAUUUAAUCUAUAAGCAUAUACUAAGUGCACACACAUAUAUGACAUGCAUAAUACUUAAUUCAUAUAUUAAAAUUUUAUAUAUAUCAUUUCUCAUUUUCCAACUCAAAUUCAUGUACUCAUUUAUAGCAUAAAAUACACUUCAAAAACAGACCUAAAUCAUGACUGAAAAUAUAUAUAUUACUUUUGGUACAAGCUUAAUCCAUGACUUAGUUCAAUCGAUCAUUAACAAAACAUAUUAAACAAGUCACACAUAAUCAUACCAUGACCGAAUCUAAAUAACUUAAGAAUCAAAGAAUCUAUUAUAAUCAUAGGCAUAGAAACUAAGCUUAAUCAAAAGAAAUAAGCCAUUUUUGCAUGGCUUAAUAUUAUAACCCAAAAAUCUAGCAUUUCAGCUAUGCUAUACAUGCCAUAAGAUCGAAUUUAAUCUUAACAAAAUACCAAAAGGAGUCGAUAGUGUGAUAGCCUUCUUCGGUGAUCCCUGAGCUCGUAACAAACUUCCAAAAUCUAUAAAACGAAGAGUAAACAUGCACACAGUAAGCUUCCACAGCUUAGUAAGUCAUAAACGAACAUUAAUCAUAUGAACAUUAACACUAAAUCAAAUAGCCAAGUCAAUCCAAACCUUAGUUAAAUAUACAUAUAUCACACUCACAAGUUUAUAUGUUACCCAAAAUAAAUUGGCAGUUAUCAUCAUAUAACUAAAUGCACAAAUACUCAUAAACAUAUAUAAUUAUCACUUUUAAAUAUUGCAACGAUAUCAUUAUGCCAAAUCACUUAUAAUAUUACAAAUACACCAAUAGACCGAAUCACUUAUAUGCUCAAUUAUGCUAACACAUAAUUCAUAUCUUACAUAGCUAUAAAUCAUCAAUUCAAAUAUACAACUUACCUUAAUUUCAUAACAUAGUAUGAAUACAUACUUGAACCUUUUAAUUUGAUUUCACAUUCUAUCUUUACUUCACAUUGCCCCAUGAACCAUUUGGAACAAAAAGGAUACGCGGAUAUUCAGAAGGCUCGCACAAUGCCAACGUCCUAGACAUGGUCUUACAUGUAAUCACAUACCGAUGCAACUGUCCCAGACGUCGUCUUACAUGUAAACACAAGUCGAUGCCAACGUCCCAGACGUGGUCUUACACGAAAACACAUAUCGAAAAUCCUAUGUCAUGACAUAAGUAUCCUAUCUAUUCCUAGGGUUCGUACGGGACUUCCAGACAUUGAUUAUCGAUCAAAUCAAACUCAAAAUAAAUCCCUCUUCCAAGAUCAUAUUCGGCCAAUCAUUUAAUAAACCAAAUAAUUAAUUUAUCACAUAUUAUUUACAUAUUCAUUAAUUUAACAACAUUUAAAAGCUUAUUGACUUACCUCGGAUGUUGUCGUACGAUAUAAUUGACUAUUCGAUUACUUUCGAUUACCCCCGAUCUAAUUUCAUUUUCUUUCGUUCUUGAUCUAAAUAAAUUCAAAUUUAACUAAUUUAAUUACACAUUCAUUCAAUUUAAUCCAAAAACACAUAAAUGAGAAAAUUACCAUUUUGCCCCUGACAUUUUACACUUUUUUGUAAUUUAGUCCCUAUUGCAUAAAACACAAAAUACACAAAAUUUGCAUAUACCAUAGCUAGGCCGAAUCUUCUUAUAGUCCCUCUAAGUCCACACAUUUUAUUCAUUUCACAUUUUAAUCUCUAAAAAUAUUGUUUUUGCAAUUUAGCCCUAAUUACUCAAUUUCAUCAAAAAUUCCAAUACAAAACAUAUUAAUCUAAAACAUAUCUUUCAUUAUUCAUCAUCAAAUAUCACAUAACACAAAUGUUCAUCAAUGGCACAACUCAAAAUAUUCAUCAAAAUAAAAAAAAUCAAACAUGGACCGGAAAGUAUUCGAAGCAACGAUCUUAAAAACGUAAAAAUUAUCAAAAACCAAACAGAGAACUAACCUUAAUCAAGCUUCAAAAUGGCCGAAUAUUGCUUGGCUUCUUUUCUUUUUCUUUUGCAUGAAUUCGGCUAAGGAAGAUGAUAAUAACCUUAAUUUUUUUUAUGUUUUUAUCUAACAUAUAUUAUAAUAUAUUUUUAAUUUACUAAUAUAACCUUAUAUAAAUAAAUAUAACUUAUAUAUAUUUUAAGGUUAACAUUGUCCUUAGCUGUCCACUAAUACUAGCUAUGGCAUAAUUUCAACAUAAGUGCGUCAUAUUAUAAAGACAAGUUCAAUUAGGCAAUCACACAUUUAACUAUCAAAUUUUUAUUUUACGCGAUUAAGCCAUUUUCUUUAAUCAAUCAUUCAAACAAUAAAAUUUAAACACGAAAAUUUCACACAAUCAAAUUCACACAUUAUAAACGCACAAAAUAAUAUUAAAAUAUUUUUUGACUCAGAUUUGUGGUUCCAAAACUACUAUUCCGAUUAGGGUCAAAAUCGGGCUGUUACACUUUGACUUCUCAGGUAAUCAGCAUACUUAGGACCAAACGACGUGCAGAAGCUCAUAUUGGAUUCUCAGUUAUUUAAUUAUGAUGGUUCAUGUUUUUAAAUUAUUCUGGACUUUCUAGAUUUUUUGGACGGUUGUAAAUCUGUUUCUGUAUUUUGCUUUACAUUUUGGUUUGCUUAGUUAAAUUUAGUAAUUAUUACUUAAAACUACAAAGUUUUGUGUUUUGCAAAUUAAGUCACGAUUUUCGAAAUUUAAUACUCUGAAAUUUCCGCUGCAAAAUAAAGUAAUCAUUUAAGUGUUUUUCUAUAAUAAAUUAAAUAGUUUCAAUGAGUGUUUUCUUAAAAACUGCAAAGUGAUUUGUCAGAAUUAAUAUUGUCAAAACAUACGAUUUCAAAUUCAAUUUCUAGGUUUUUUAAAUAAGCUAAUGUAAUUCCUCCAAAUUUGGCCAUAACAUCUAGGUCUUGUUUGGGAUGUUACAAUUUUAGUCCUUAAUUUUUAUAUUUUUAUCAAAUUGACCCUUAUUUUAUAUAAAAAAUUAUAAAAAAAACUCAAAAUCAUUUAUAAAAUAGAAAAUGUAUAUAAAAUUCUAGAAAAAUAAAAUCUUGAAUAUGUUGUUGAAGAACUAAAUUGUAUGAGAAAUAAAGAAAAGUAUCAUUCAAUAGAAUCCAAUAACAAACUUGGCACAUAACAAAAUAAAAAGUUAGAUCAUUACAUACUUCCUCAAUGUGUCUCGAAACCAAAUUAGUAGAAUUAUCUAGUUGAGUUUCAUGCUCUUGAAGAACAUUUAGAACCAGUAUUACAGAGGCUUAUGAAAUCAACCCGGAAGUCAUUUUUUUAGUCAAAAGAUUAAAAAAUAUCCCACAAAUUUUUUUUCAAACUCAAUUCAAGAUUUAAUUAUAUUUAAAUUAUUUUCCAUAACCCAAAUUGUAAAAACAAAUUAUGUUUCUUCUUCCAUGGUCGAGUUGGGCUUGGACAAGGUUUUUAUGUCUUGAGCCGUUACAACUUGACUUCAAUUUAAAUAAUAAAAGUUAUUUUUAAAAUUCAAAUUUAAUUAAUAAUAUAAAAAUGUUUUUUUAAUAUUUUAUUAUUUUCUAAACUCGCAAAUGGACUUUUUGGAUUGACCAAGCAAAGCUAGAAAUGGGUUAGGCUAGAAAAAAUAUUAGAUUAUUUAUAAGAGUAUAUCAAGGAGUCUAAUAAUUACAAUUUUUUUGGAAGGUCUUAAUAACACUAGAAAUCUUAUCACAUGCGUAUGCAUGUAGAAAUCACGUAUGUAUAACACAGACUGUGUUUAAAAAUAACAUACAAUGAAUACUGAAAAGUAUAAUUUGGAACUAAUUAAUAAUAACACGUGAAAUAUGUAUGAUAUUAAAAUAAAAUUAGAUUAAAUUGAGAGUAAAACAAAAUCUAAACACAAAAACACAUCAUAUUAAUAAUACUAAAUAAAUACAAAUGUUUAUCAUUGUUUUGUCUUCAAUCCCGAGUUGGUGAUGCUAAAUCAAUAACAUUAUUUACAUACACAAAUAUAUAAAAACUUAGAACACAAAUGUUUAUCUGUUAUAAAGCAUGUAUGACAUGGACAUUUCUGACAUUUGUUAAUUUUGCAAGUGCAUUAGGAUGAGAUUUGUGUUUACGGAGGAUGUGUGGGAGUUUAAUUCAUUUGCCAUAUUUAGUGGCUCAACCGCACGUAUUUUUGCAUUUGGCGAUGAAUCACCUAAUGAUUUGGCAGUUAGACUGCGAAUAUUUUGAAAUGUUUCAUACUGGCACUAAGCGGUGUGUAGGGUCUGAUAGGUAUUUAAUACCCUAUAUGGUGUGUAGAAAUGGUCGAAGAUGGUGUGUAACGGAUCGGUUUAGGAUUGUAAUCUACACCUGAUAUGUUCUGAUUCUGUUUCUGUAUACGAUAUAUGUCUAAUUGACUUCCGAAAGCAUGUUUGAAAAUUAUAUCUUAUAUUUUUACUCUUAUAAGUUACACAUUGAGUUUGUAAGCUCACUCUCAAUUUCUCUUAUUCUUAGGUAAUCCUUAGACUUAGAUGGGUCGAUGCAACUGGAGUUCGAUUAAUUAUCUACUUGUUAUAUUUGUUAUUUUAAUAUGGUUUAUUCUGUUUUUGUUUUGGACUAUUUUUAAGUUUAGGUUUAGUUUCGUUUUAUUUAUUUAAACAUUUUUAAUUGGUUUAAAUUUGAUCUACAAAAUGUUAAAUUAUAUAGCAACAAAUCGUGUUUUCAAAAUCGGACUCAACUAAGAAUUUUCGCUGCAAACGUAAGUGUUUUAUGAAUAAAUAAUCGACAAAUUUAUCGAAAUGGUUAAGAACGAUAUUUUCCUCAAAUAAAAUCAAAUUUUACUUAAUAAGAGCUAGCAUUGUUUUAUAAGUUGAACAGAUUCUGGGUUUUUAAAUAAAUUGUAGUAAUAUCUCCAGAUCUGGCUAUAACGUCUAGGCCAGGUUUGGGGUGUUACAGAGCCUAUAAGCUCACCCAAUGUUUCUAACUUCUCAAUUAAUCAACAUAUUUAGGACCAGACGACGUGCAAGAGAUCAGAUUGAGUUCUCAAUUAUUUAAGUAUGAUGGUUCAUGUUUUUAAAUUAUUCUGGACAUUCUGAUUUUUUGGGGGGGGUUUGUAAAUCUUUUUUCAGAUUUUGCUUUGCUUAGUUGGAUUUAGUAAUUAUUACUUAAAACUGCAAGAUUUUGUGUUUUACAAAUUAAGUCAUGGUUUUCAAAUUUUAGUACUCUAAAAUUUCCACUACAAAAUAAAGUAAUCACUUAAAUGUUUUUCUAUAACAAAAUAAAUAGUUUUAAUGAUUGUUUUCUUAAAAACUGAAAAGUGAUUUUCUAGAAUUAAUAUUAUCAAAACACACAAUUUCAAAUUUAUUUUCUGGGUUUUUAAACAAGUUAAUCUAAUUUCUCCAGAUUUGACCAUAACGUAUAAACCAAGUUUGUGGCGUUACAAUUUUUGUCCUCAAUUUAUAUAUAUAUUUAUCAAUCUAACCCUGAUUUUAUAUAAAAAAAUUAAAAUCAUUUAUAAAAUAGAAAAAUGUGUAUAAAAUUCUAGAAAAAUAAAAUCUUGAAUAUGUUGUUGAAGAACUAAAAUGUAUGAGAAAUAAAGAAAAUAUCAUUCAAUAGAAUCCAAUAACAAUAAAGAAACAAAACGAAAUAAAAAAGUUCAGUUUCAUGCUCUUGAAGAACGUCUAGGACUAAUAUUAUAGAGACUUAUAAAAUCGACCCGGCUGUCAUUUUUUUGGUCAAAAGAUUACAAAAUAUACCACAAAUUUUUUUUCAAACUCAGUUCAAAUUUUAAUUACAUUUAAAUUAUUUUUCAAAACCGAAAUUGUAAGAACAAAAUGUGUUUCUUCUUCCAUGGUUGGUUGAGUUGAGCUUAGACAAGGUUUUUAUGUCACGAGCUGUUCGAACUCCAAUUCAAUUUAAAUAAUAAAAAUCUUUUUAAAUAUUAAAUUUAAUUAAGAGUAUAAAAAUAUUUUUGAACAUUUUAUUAUUUUUUGAACUCUCAAAUGGACUUUUCAAAGUAGACGGAUUUCUUAUUCGUCUUUUUAUACAUGUAAUUAUUAAUUAUUUUCUCUUUCUUCUUCUCCUUCACACACUUUCCCAUUAAUUCCUAUCACAAUUUUGCUUAUUUCUAUUUUCACCUUUUUCUUCACUCUUUUUAUUUUCUUUUCAUCUCCAAGGUCUAUCACUAAUUUUCAAGCAUCCAGUCAAGGUAAUUUCCUUUCAUUUGCUUCAUUCAUGACUAUACAAUGAUUGUUUUUUUAUUAUCAGCUACUGUUAUAGCAGCUUGCUUUGUAAGAUGGUCAAGAUAAUAAGAUCUGCGGCAAUGGUUUCCUCUAGUGAUUAUCAACAGUUUUAGAUUUUAAGACAGGAUGAUCAGCAGACAUAAUCUACUAUAGAUACAGAUUAAUACGAAAAGAGCUAUGCUUUGUAAGAUAGUCAAGGUAAUAAGAUCUGAAGCAAUGAUUUCCUCUACUGAUUAUCAAUUUUAAGACAGGAUGAUCAGCAGACAUAGUAUACUAUAGAUACAAAUUAACUCGAAAAGAGCUACCCAGAAGCAAUAUAAUGUUGAAAUCUCAUGCUGAUGAACAUUUUACCUCUUCAUAUUCUGUAAUGAACUCUUGCACACUUGAAUCUAGCAUGUUGUAUAGUUUGAGGGGUUGAUUCUGGAUAUACAAUGGUGACCAGGAUUUCAUCAUGUUUCUGUCUGCCACCCAUCCAUAGCUCCAUCUAAUAGACGCCAUUGCUUGAAACUUGCAUUCAUAAUUUCCUUUUCACGCUUACACCGACAUAUCAAUACUUCAUAAAAUAUCCAACUCAUUCACAGAUUUUCAUUCUCUGCUACUGUUAUAUAUGAUUGCAUUACAGGGACAUAGCAAUGGAGUACGUAGAGCCUGUUGUAGGCAUUGCAAAUUGUCUCGGAACUCCUGUUUGUAAAUAUUUGCAAUAUCACAGAAAGCUGAACGAUUAUGUGAGAAACUUCAAGAGGAUCAGAGAUGAAUUGAAUUGCAAAAUGGAAGAUAUAGAGCUGCAAUUGAAAGCAGAGCUUCUUCGUCCUUUGGGGAAGAUACCAAAGAAGGGAGUUGAAAAUUGGUUGAAAGAUGUGAAAGAGAUGAUUGCGGAAGCACAGGAUGUGGAAAAUAAAGUCAGGAACGGAAGAUAUCUCUGUCGUGCUUGCAACGGGAAGCUGGUUGAUGAAAAGACUCUAGAAAUGAAGGGAUUUCUUGAUAAAGCUCCUAAUGCCUCUGAAGGUCUUGCCAUGGAUGGUCCAAGAGCUGGGUUGCCACUGCCAACAUCAGAACUAGUUGGAGAGGAAGCUCUCAGAAAUUUGAUUUGGGGAUGUUUGAUGCAGGAGGAGGUGAGCAAGAUUGGGGUUUGGGGGAUGGGCGGUGUGGGUAAAACCACUAUCAUGAAGCACAUCCACAAUGAUCUUUUGAAACAACAAAGAUUCGAAAGGGUAAUCUGGGUUACCAUAUCAAAGGAGUUCAAUGUAAUGAAGGUACAAGAUAAUAUUGCAAGUGCGUUGGAGUCGAAGGAAUAUUUAGACAAAGAAGAGGACAAGCUCAGACGAGCUGCAAUCUUGUCAGAAAUGCUGAAGAACGCAGGAAAGCAUGUUCUAAUCCUAGAUGAUGUGUGGGAUAAAGUCUCUCUAGAGGAAGUUGGGAUCCCCGAGCCAAGUGGCAGCAAUGGCUGCAAGUUGGUGUUGACAAGCCGUUCGGAGCAUGUCUGUAAGUAUAUGGGUUGUAAGGUGAUAAAAGUGAAGCCCCUUUCAGAAGAAGAGGCAUUGAUACUAUUCUUGAAUAAAGUUGGACCUAACAUAGUUCAAAGUCCAACUAUAAUGCCUACUUUGAAGCUUGUUGUCCUCGAAUGUGCGGGUCUACCUCUUACAAUUGUCGUGGUAGCCGGUACCAUGAAAGGAGAAGAUAACCCUCUUAUUUGGAAAAAUGCACUCGGGGAAUUAAAAGAGAGAAUAGGGAAAGUUGAAGGAGUGGAAGCUGAGGUAAUCGAGCGCUUGAAAUUUAGCUUCGACCACUUAAAGGACGAGAAUGUGAAAUAUUGUUUCUUACAUUGCGCAUUAUAUCCCGAAGAUUUUGAAAUUGAAAAGGAUGAACUAAUUGAGUGUUGGAUUGAAGAGGGAUUCAUAGAUGAUAUGCGUACAAGACAAGAAAUGAAAGGCAAGGGCCAUGUUAUUUUGAAGAAGUUAGAAGAUAAUUGCUUGUUGGAAAAUGUCUCGAGUGGAAAAAUAAAAAUGCAUGAUGCAGUGAGAGACUUGGCAUUGUCGAUCACAAGAAUGAGUCCUCGAUAUAUGAUACAAGCAGGUUUGCAAUUAGAAGAGUUACCAGAAAAGGAGCAAUGGAGUCCGGAUAUUGAGAAAGUGUCACUUAUGUAUAACUCCAUAUCAGAAAUUUCCAUAGAUGUGCUGCCCACAAAAUGUCAACUGCUCACAACUUUGUUAUCGCAGCGUAACCCUAUAAAGAAGAUCUCAUAUUCUUUCUUCAUAAACAUGCCUUGUCUUAGUGUUCUCAAUUUGUCCUCUACGAAGAUCAAAAGUUUACCAAAUUCCAUCUCUGAACUAAAGAACCUCACAACAUUGUUGCUUCGUGGCUGUUAUGAAUUAAGAGAUCUGCCAUGUCUUUCGAUGCUUCAAGAAUUGAAGAAGUUGGAUCUUUCUGCGACUAAAAUUGAGGAAGUCCCUGAAGGAAUGGAUAUGCUAAUAAAGCUAAGAUAUCUUGAUCUUGAAGUGCUCACUCUGAAAGAGAUACCCGCUGGACUUUUACCAAAACUCGUUCACCUUCAGCACUUGGGUUUUCAUGUGAACAAUGAAAAAACAAGUCUAAAAGCAGAGGAGAUGGAACCAUUGAAGAAGUUGGGGUGCUUAACCGGAUGUUUCGAAGACAUCAAUGAAUUGAAUAAGUUCAUCUCCUCAAUGCAACAAAGUAAGAAAAAUCUCAUCAAGUACUCUUUACAGGUGGGCUUAGCUAAGUUCCUUCAUAGAAGAGAUAAAAGAGUAACAAUUGCAGGAAUCCAGAAUUGGGAAGGUGAGUUAAUUAUGCACCCAAUUGAAAUUCAAGAGUUGAAUAUUGUUAAGUGCGACUAUUUGAGAAGCUUAGUCGAUGACAAUUCUUCCUUCAAAAAUGCGAUUGACUUGAGGGUUUGUAGGAUUUGGGGGUGUGAAGGGAUAGAGUGUGUUGUUUCCCUGUCCUCUUUUGCCUCUUCUUCCGCUCAUCCAUUUCAGAGCCUGGAGAUGUUGGAUCUUAAACAUCUGCCAAAGUUGAGUGCCCUUAUUAUGAAAGAUGCAGGAAUUGGUUCAGCAACAACAUCAACAUUGGCUCCGUCUGCCUGCUUUUCCCAUCUUAAGAAAUUUUAUGUAGUGAGAUGCUCAAGUAUGAAGACGUUGCUUCCACAUUGGUUGCUUCCAAACAUCCAAAACCUGGAAGAAAUUUGGGUGUCAGAAUGUGAUGAGAUAGUAGAAAUAUUGGGAGCAGCAACAUCAGAAGUUGAAGAAGAAGGGAGUGAUGCAUUAAUCAAAUUCCAUCUUCCCAAAUUGAUAAAGUUGGAAUUGUGGAGAUUACCAAAUUUGAAGAGCAUUUGCAGCAAAAGUAGAGUGAUGGUUUGUGACUCUCUCCAACUUAUCCGGGUUUUAGGAUAUUGUACUAAACUGAAGAGAAUUCCUCCAUUUGUUCCCCUUGUUGGCAAUGGGCAGCCAUUUGCAUAUGCUCCACCUUCUCUUACCAUCAGGUCAUGGAAAGAAUGGUGGGAAUUGUUGGAGUGGGAUGACCAUCCAAACUUUAAAAAUGUUCUUCAACCCCUUUGGAAGGAAGAAAGGUAUGAACCAUUUAUAGUUUAGUUUAUUUAUUUUUAUUUUUAUAAAUCUAAUUUCUCCAUAUUAAUAAAAUUUCAGGGGUAUUUGGAGACGUCGAAGAAGAGAAAGAUGAAAGGGUUGGUGGGAAAAAAGGAGGGGGGAGGAUAGUGCAAAAGAGAGGAGAAAAGGAAUGAUGGAAGGAAGAGGUAAAAACCAAAUAAAUUAGCUUCAUAUUUUUUCUAUGUUUGUUUUGAAAGAAUGAGUAUUGAAUAUGGAUAAAAUAGAGAAAUUUGGUAGGGUUUAAAAAUAUAAUAUAUAAUUUAAAUAUCAAUUAUUCAAAAUAAUGGUAUUUUAGAUAGCAAAGGUAUUGAAAAUUUAAAGUGAUUAAUUACCUUUUUAUCAUUAUAAAUAAAUACCAUAAUUUCUUGUUAAAUAAAAUAAAAAAAUAUCAUUACUUCUUCUUUCAACAAUCAUUCUAUUCUAAAAAUAAAAAUUACCUUUUUUAUCAAUAUAAAUAAAUACCAUAAUUUCUUUUUAUUCUGGAAAAAAAUUUGAAAAUUUAUGUUGUUUUCUUGAAAAUUUAUCAAUUUAUAUUGUUUUUUACAAAUAGAAAGGAAAACGCGUCUUAUAGUUCUGAUCGUCCAUAGAAAACAUGAGACGCGUUUUAUUCUCUUUCCUAAAAAGCGCUUUGUAGGAGCAACUAAGGACAAUGAACCACGACGUUCAUGUCUUUUGUCAAUUGUGCAUAAUUUUGAUUGGUACAAUAACACAUUUAGCCCUUGAUGUUUACAUACUUUUUUAGUUUGGUCUUGAUUCUAAAAAAAAGCAACAAAUUCAGUCUCAUCAUUUACACAUUUACAAAAAUAUAACGGGCUAAAUUUGUUAUCAUAUCAAUCAAAUUUAUGUAAAAUUGAUGAAAAAUAUUAAUAUUGUGAUUAAUUGCUCACUUUCGAAAUUAGUAGGGAUUAAAUUGCUUCGAUUUGUUUAGAGGGACCAAGUUGCCGAAUAUCAUAAUUGAAAGGGAUUAGAGAGGUUAUUUUACCUAGUUUAAUAAUUAAAUGGCAUGUUAAAUAUUAUGUGACAUAAUUUAAAAUAAAAAUUUGAAAAAAAAAAAGGAAGAUUGUAAAAAUAGUUGUUUUAAAAAUCAUGGUUUUGAAGUUUUUACAAAUUUUUUAUUCAUUUUUUUAAAUUUCAGUUUUAUUUAAUUUUAGUUUCUUUAAAAUUUUCAUUUUAAAAUUAGUAGUAAAAUUUAACGUGUCAUUUAAUGAUUUUAAUAGUAAAAUGACAUGAUUAAUAUAACAUCAAUAGUUUAUAAAUGUAAUUAGAUAAGUUUGAAGUUCGAAAAUAGAUUUAAAAUAAUGGUCAUAAUUUAGGGGUGGUUGAUGUAAUUAACUCAUUUCUAAUGGUACUUAUAAUUAAGUCUGUCUGCCACCAAUCCAUAGCUCCAUCUAAUAAACGCCAUUGCUUGAAACUUGCAUUCAUGUUUCACUUUCAAUCAUUUUCGUGUCCACCUUCAACCAUCAGCCAUCACUCACCAUUGCUUAAGCUAUUUUGCAUUUUAGACCAUAAAUUACUGAGUUGAAAACUCUAGUGUCCUUCUGCAGCCUUUUUUGGUCCAGGCUGGGCUCAAAAAUUUGGGUCGACCUUGAAUAAAACAUUUAAUCCCAUAUUUCAUAUUAGGCCAAGCUUGAGCAAAAAUAACAGUUAGCAAUAUCUUGUCUAAGCCUGAGCCAAAUCCGGCCCAUGAGAUAAAGCAUUCAGAUUGAACUACCGGUAACAUUAUGAGUUUUUGGUCCAUCCUUCAUGGGGAUGCAAAGAACAAAAUUAACUAACUUUUGCCACUAUAGAAUGUUUGUUCAACUAAAUAAAAUAAAGAUUGCCCUAUAACUCUAGUUCCAUUCAAGUUAAAACUUCUUCAGGCAAGAUAAUAGUAACAUAAUGCUAAAAGAACCAGCACAACCACCCCAGCAGGAGCUGCCCAUAUCCAGUAGUUCAUCGACUCGGUUCUUUUGGUUCGAUUCCUGUACCUACUAGUAUUCUCCUUUGGUACUUUACCCUUCAUUGAAACGGUAGCAGAAACAGGUGCAUCAGUAUUAACAUCGACCUUCUCGGGUUCUGAAUCUUGUGCCACAGCUUCAAUCAGUUCCUCGGGAUUCACAGCAUUUGUCGAUCCUGCCACCUUCUUCUUAGCUCUCUUUUCACGCUCCUGAAAAAAAGAUCGAAAGAGUUUCAGUUUCAACCCACAAACUAAUAACCGAUAAAGCGAAACCAGAUAAGGAAGCAAAUGAUUUCCUUGAGCUUCUUUUCAGCUUCCAUUUGAGCUCUUCUAGCUGCUUUGGCUGCUGCUUUUUCAGCCAACUUCUUUUUUCUUUCCAUGGCUUGCUUUGCUUUCGCUAUUUCCUCUUCUCUCCAGUUCUUUCAGUUUUGCUGCAUCGACUUCCUUGUUCUUUUGCAAUUUUCCGGAUACCAAAAUUUCCUCUGCUACAACACUAAUAUCUGACAAAGGAUUCGACUCCAUUGCUAUAGUCUCGGCAUCUUUUGGGGCCUUUUUGGCUAGUUUAGUAUCUGGUUGGGGACCUGAUUUGGCCUCUUCCUUUGGUUGUCUUACACUAGGUCUCAGAAUUGUUUCGGUUUCAGAAUCCACUGGUUUCUCGGUGCAACCAGUGGUUUCUCAUCAGGAUUCCUUAUCCGACCAUCCCGACUCAAUAGCCGAUUGUCCAGGGAUGGCAGAAUUCUUUUCUCAUAAUCAUCCCUGAAGAAUUUAUUGCCAUUCCAGAGAGCCAUAAACUUCUCAACCUAAAAGGAAUAUAAAAGAUAAGUGAGCGGCUAAAUAUAAAGCAAAUGAGAUACAUUGGAAGUAACAUUAACAAGCAGUCUCAACAAACCUCCACAAUUGAUAACUCCUCAAGAGCCUUUAUAUCUUUCUGUGCAGCAAGCAGUUUGGCGUUGUGUACAAUGGUACGGCUCUGGUAAAAGUGAGAAUUCUGAAAUUUUGAGAAAGAAAGCAAUUAAAACGAAUCAUUAGUAACAUCAUGCACAGGAAUAUUGGAAGUAGACAUAAUAUGUAUCAUUUAAUAUCUUAAGUGAUACUAGUUAUUCAUGCAUAAAUGAAAAUGUUCCGACAUGGUCAAGUAUUAUACGAAACAGAUAUCUGAAGCAAAGAAAAGGCGAUACCCCCUGAUCACUUUGUUUCCUCAGCUCCUGAAUGUUUUCAAAAGCUUUGUCCCUCUUCAGGGUCACAGCUUUCAGCUCAUUUUGUAAAGACUAGAUUUUAGUCUCAGUUUCAUCCAAUUUAUCUUUAAUUUGCUUUUUUUUUUUUUGGACCAGACUGCAUGCUGCUCCUUCCUUACUCCAUUCAAAUCAACACCCAUAAGCUACAAUAAACAAAUAUAGCAUUUUUUUUUAGUGUAACACAAUGGUGCUCGAUAUUCACAGAAAAAAAGAGGAGCAAACCCCGAUGGAUAAAGCAGAAAAUAGAAUUAUGUUACUUUAACUUGAUCUUGAAUGUCUUCUUUCUGGCCUAAUGAAUCUUGAAUCUUUGAUCUCAUUGCAGCAUUAGCAAUAACUUUCUCGCGGGUUCCCUCCAGGUGUUUGAUUUCUUCAAGGAUUCGCUUCUCCUCGCUCAACGAGAUGCUUUCAUGCUGAAUGCGAUAUGGCAAGCUAUGGAUCUGCAAUUCAUAAAUUCCAUUGAAGUGACUAAAGGAGAAAAAGAAAAGCAUUAACUGCGGCAGAAAACAAUGAAUAAAUCUAAAUGCAGUCAAAGUUUAUAGAAGUAUCAUACAAUAAAAUCGAGCUCUUCCUCAGAUGCACAUAAACUAAGUCGAUUAUCAACAUCUUUAUUAUUGCGAAGCUUGCCUAAAGCCUGCUGCAGUGGUUCUAUUUCCCUUUUUUUCUCAUCUAAAAUCGUCUUAAAUUGCUCAAAAUCAACAUUCAGCGCUCUCACUUGCGAAAGCCUCUCUGAUCGUUCUGCCUGCAUUAGCAUAAAGAUAAUCACAAUUUAGCCAACUGACAGCGCCAUUAUUUUUUACUUCUUUCACAUUUUUUCUCAAAUUCUGAAGGCAAACACAACAAUAAUGAAUCAUUAUACCAAUAGCAUAUCUGUAAGUCUCAUUACAUUUCAAGGACAUAAAUUUCAAACAUUCAAAUAAAUGCUUCCGGGUUUAAUUCCCCUACAUUCAUCAUAUUACAAUAAGCACACCGUAAUGACAUAAUGAUAGGGCUAAUAAUUAUCUUAAAAGUAUGACAAUUAAUGGCUACCAUGCUAUACAUCUAAUUGAAAUUAAUAACUUUUCACUCACCCUUUUUGCUUUUAAUUCAUCGGUAAGCUUAAACCUGGCUUUAUUCCACUUUUGUAUCUCUUUAUCAGCCUGAUCAAGUUUGGCUUUUAUAGCCGGAUCUUCGUAGAAGCGAUACCUAAUAAAAUGAAAAGAGCGGAUCUGCUUAGGUGCAGGCCACUCGUCGACCGCAUCCUUCAGAAAGUCGGGAUCGGAUGCACCAUUCUCUUCUUCCUUAUCUGGUUCCUCACUAUGUGAAUCAACUUGAAUGGGGUUAUUAUAAACUGGAUCCUUAUCCAGUUUCCCAUUUUCAUGAAGAAAUGAUUUGUCUACUUCAGUCACUUUAUCAAUAGACAAUUGUGCCAGGUCUGAAUCAACAUCCUUUACACCCAUUAAACACAAAUUUGAGCUACCUGAAAACAUGCAAAAACAAAGAUUAUGAUACCAUAUAACAACAAAUAUAAAUAUAAAAUAUUAUUUCAUUCAUAAAAUAAAAAUUUUAAAACCAGACACCUGAUAGACAUGUAUAAAACAAUAUAUAUUAAAUAAAUAAAUUUUAAAGAACAAUUAAUGUAGCCAAUACAAUUUGAAAGUCAUUCCUUUAGCUAAUUUUCUCAUUAAUCAGAUCAAAAGAGUGAACAAACAGUAGAAUUGCAAAAAUAUAUGUAUAUAUUCUAAAUAAAUGAUAAACUAUAUUGGAGAAAAACAAUAAUCAGAUAAAAUCUAGAUCAAAAACUAAAUUAUAAGUACAUUAGCUCAUGCUAUAACAAAAGAUCAAGCCUUUAUCCGUCAAGAAAAUUAACAUGCAAAAUCAUAUGACACUAAUGGAAAAGAAGGGAAAAAAAACCCAGAAAUUUACAAACAUGAGAUAAAAUGAAAAACAAAAAAAAAACCCUAGAAAUAAAAACACGAGAAAUAAUUAUGUAGUUUGUAAGGCCAGAAAGCUUACAUUUUUAAAAUGAAAAUGUCAAAAUAGGAUGUUUUUGUUGUCGAGAGAGGCAUAGAUACAAAGGUUCUGAGGUUCUGGAUAAAAAAAAAAACUUCAACUUUUUUUAUUUUACAUUGGCGUAAUGCCCAAAUUUUAUGAAUUCUAGUUGUUAAACAGGUAUGAUGGUUAAGUGCCUUGAAUGUUUGCUUUAGGUCUUGGAUUCAAUGCUUUUUUUUUUGUUAAAUUUUCCCUAUUUAUUAUGGUAUUAUGUUCAACUUGAGCUUUAGGGCUUCUCUUAUUUUCAAUGAUGAAUCUACUGAUUCAGUGGUAAGAUUUUAGCUUAUCACCAAUUAAAUUUUAUAAAAUUUGGUAAGUGGAAUUUAGAUUAACAUAAAUAUUUUUAUUUAUUUAUUUUAAUUUAAUUUUACUAAAUCUCUAUUUUCACUCAUUGUUUCAACCGUUCACACUCUCACCCCACUUCGUACGCUAAUUUCUUUAUUUCCCUAUUCUGCAGUUUUAUCUUCUUUUCUCUUCCUUCUUUCUUCUCUUUGAUUGUUCCUGAAUACUACCGUUUAUUUUGUGAGUUCUAUCACUUGGAUCGUAUUCUGUUUGAAGUGUAAGUUUCAUUUGGUUACUUUUGUUCUUUUCCCAUUAAUAGUUUAGUUUUAUUUCGUUUCUUGAACAAGUUGAGUUUGCGUUGGUGUUUUAUGUUCAUUAUCAUGAUUAGUAUUUUUGUGGUUCUCGAUUAGGCAAAAGGUGUGAGAAUCCUAACCCUCCAGCAAAGUAGUCACAAUUUCCGACGUUGUUUUGGAGAAUUAAGUAUUCAAAUUCUAUUUUAGGGGCUGAAAUUUUGAUUCAACGAUGUUAUUUUGGAUAAGUAUUGUUAGUUAAUCUGUGUGGUUUGAUGAAUUUAUAGGAUUCGUGAGUUCCAAUUGAGCGGUUGAUCAAAUCAUCAAUAGGUGUAUGAAAUUAACCUGAAAACUCAAUCGAAACUCGAGAAAAUUAAGGGCCACACGACUUUGUGGGUAUUUUGGCCAAUUUUAAGCCCCAAUUAGGGGCCAAUUAAAGGACUCAAAUAUUGGGUCCAUAGCCAUCAUAUAAGCCCAAAAAAAUGUAAGUUUUAGUACGUAUAUAUACAUGGCUAAGCUUAGGAGGUAUGUUAAGUAGGUUGUAUAUAAAUCAUAUGCUAUGUUUUGUUCCUUAUAAAAAUAUGUGUAUGCAUGUCAUACGACUUAUGAUAUAUGUAUUUAUGAUAUUAUAAUUAUGAUUAUGCCUAUGUUUUGGGAUGGGUUAUGAUAUGAUGGAGGAAGUGUUAUAUGAUAGUUUUUAUCGCAAUUAUUGCUGCUAGACUAUAAAAUUUCUAUCUAACAGCUCAGUUGCAUAUUUAUGAGUGACAUACCGCCACAUAUUGGUGUGAUUGGAUGGACGGACUCUUGUAGUCCUAAUUGGUGAUAUUGCUUGGACGGAGAUGGUAUGUAGCAAUUGGGGGUAUGAUAUGAUAUGAUAUGGGAUAUGAUACAAUAAGAUAAGAUAUGAAACAUGCUAUAACAUGAUAUAAAAACCGAUAUGAUAUAAGAUAUGCUUUGAUAUGUUAUGAUACAUUCUGAUUUAUAUAUAUACUACAAUGUGUGGGUCAAAUCACACACUGGAUGUUAAGCUCACACGUUUGUUUAUUUUGUUUCAGGUGAUCUUCAGACCUAGGAGUGGACAAUGACUCUAGAGCUCGUAUUUCACUCUUUCGAUUUAAGUAUGCAUUGGACUCUCUUUUGUUUAUAUGGACCUUUUGAACUUUUGGAUAUUUUAAAUUUAUUUGGGACGCUAAAAAUUAUUUUGGCAUUUAUUUUUCAAAAGUUUUAACUUUUACCGAUACUUAAAUCAAGAUAACUAAAAAUAAACCAUAGUUAUAAGGUAAAUUUGCAAUAAUGCAUUCUGCUGCAAGUUUUAAGGUCAAUUUGCUAUAAUGUUGUCCACUGCAAGUUUAAUUGAAAUUUGCUAAGAUGUUUUAUCUCACAAACAGAGUAAGUAAAUUGAAUACAUUUUGGUAAAAUUAACAAAUAUGGCUUUCUUCAAUGUACUCACGGGUUUUCAAAAAUGGUACAUCUUCAACGGGUUAAUCAAACUUUUUUUCUUUUGACUUAAAUAGUUUUUACCAAAAUAAAGUAAUAUUGUUUUCACACGUAAUGUAAUCUCCACAAUCUGACUGUAACAUCUAGGCCAUGUUUGGGAUGUUAGAAUUAGAGUUUUAAAAAAACAAUUACUUUUUCUCUUAGAAGUUAAUGUCAUUGUAGGGUUUGAUGAGUUAUCUUCAACUUUAAUAGUUAAGCUUCCAAAGUCUAUGAUCCUAUUUAAAUAUAUAAAAAAAUUCUUUAUAUUUAAAAGAUGUUCUUAUAAGGAAACAAAGAUGUUAUAUAUGAUUGUUGCAUGCAAUUAUAUUAUUUUAUGAUUCAGGUUAUAUAUGAUUGUUGUCAUGACAUAUAAGCAUUUAAUUAAUAUUUUAAAGUUUUAAAAAUAAUAAUAAAUAAUUUUAAAUUUUAAAAAAUAAGUUAUAUAUUUUUAAAACCUUAAAAAUUAUUUAAAAACUAAUGUAUCAUCCAUAACAAAUCAUACAUCAUUAACACAUAUUGGGGCAUGGGAAGCUUUUAAAAAAUUGAACUCAAAGAGUGCUGGUUCAUCAAGGCAUGGCAAGUAAGUGAUAGUUGAAGCAAUUUGUGUCAUGAUUACCUGUAUUUCUUUCAUAAUUUCUUUAUCACUCUGUUCCCCUGACACACUGCAAAAUCUCUUACAUUUCAAAUUAACUGAUGUGAAGUAAAACAUUAAAGCAGAAGAGGAUCAACUAUUACCCUCACUAUCUAUUUCAAUUCUAAAAUUCCACCUCUCCUCUCCAACACCUCAUUGGUAGCCUUACUCAUCAUAACCAACACAACCCUAAACUUGAGUUGUCAUAUUCAAAUAUUUAUUUGCACCCUAAGCAAUAGUUUUAGAACAAUUAAAUUUGCAUAAAAUAACAAGUUUUUUACUUGACGUUAAGACUGAGUUAUUAUUCAUUGACACUGCUUUAGAACACUUAUGGUAAUAGUUUUAGUCUUUCAACUUCAUCAAUUAAUCUUUUAAAGUUAUGUGUUGCGAUUGCAGUCAAAGACCAGCUAAAAUUUUAAUUACGGUAAGUGUAUUUAUUAAUUAAAGGUAUAGUUACGGUGAACAAAGAUAUCGUUCCCACAAAGACUAAAAGUAUUAGUAAUUAUUGUCUUUCUAUUAUUUAACUGACAAAUUGGAGUGAUUGAUUAAAGCUAAAAUUAACUAAAGAACACAACAAAGAGCAUAUCAGAACAAUAAAGUAUUAACAACCAAUAAGUGAGACAAUACCUAGGAAAGAAUCCACCUAAACUUCAUCUGUCAUGAUCGAUCUAAAUUACACAAUUUCUUUGUAUCUUAAUACGGGGAAAUCCCUAAAUUAUGCUAAAAAUUUUAGCUUUUCUCUCCCAAAAGCAUUAUUGGUGCUUAAUUACUUUUUCACCCCUCCAAUAACAUAGUAUUUUCCUUUUUUUUUCUUGGUGCUUAAUUACAAAUGUGUUAAAAUCAUUAAUUAAAAAUAAAAAUAUUUUUUAAAAUACUAAUUACAAAUAUUUAAUGGUUAUAUUUAAAUAUUUAAAAUAUAAUUUAUAUAUUCUAAUUAAAUUUUAUAAAUAAUUAAUAUUUAUUGCUUAAAAAUAUUUAAAAUUUAUAUUUCAUAUAUUAAAAUAUUAACAAGUUAUAAUAUUUUUUAUAUUAUUACUAAAAUAUAAUAAUAUUAAUUAAUUUAAAUAUUAUUUAAAUGCAUAUUUGUUACUUGAUAAUAAAUGUCUAAAAUGGAUAUUUUAUUUAUCAAAAACACGUUUAGACAGUAAUGCUAAACACUCAAAUUUUAAACCAAACUUUUCAAAAGCACUUCUCAAAAACACUUUUCAAAAACACUUUUCUACAGCACUUUUCAAAAGCAAUGAAGAACUGGCCCUUAAACUGAUGAAGUUAAAUAUCAUUUAAAGAAAUGGCGCCGUUUAGAGAAAUUUUAAGACAGUUGCAACGUUUUGCAUACAAACGCCGCUAUUAAUGCCACAUUUGCGGCUUUUUAAGAAAAAACGCCACUAAAAAUUAAAGUACUAAAGAGAAACGACAUCGUUUUAUUAAACUUUAAUGCAUAGUUCUGACGUUUUCUGAAAAACGCCACUAAAAAUUAAUUACCUGAAGCGAAACGUUGAUGUUUUGAGAAACAUUAAUACAUCAUUGCGGCGUUUUCCAGAAAAAAGCCACUAAAAGAUUACAUUCAUGUUUUGAAACGGCGCCGUUUUGAAAAUUUUAAUUCAUAUUUACAGCGUUUUCAUGAAAAACGCCACAACGAAAAUUUAAUCCCUAAACUGAAACGACGCCGUAUCGAAAAAUUUUAAUACAUAUUUGCGGCGUUUUUUAUCCAAAAGCCGGUAAUGUCUACCUUUUGCGGCGUUUUUUCUGAAAACGCCACUAAGAAAUUAAAUUCUUCUAUUAAUUUGGUAGGGUUUAAAAAUAUAAUAUAAUUUAAAUAUUAAUUAUUCAAAAUAAUGGUAUUUUAGAUAGCCAAGGUAUUGAAAUUUUAAAGUGAUAAAUUACCUUUUUAUCAUUAUAAAUAAAUACCAUAAUUUCUUUUUAUGCUGAAUUUUUUUUUGAAAAUUUAUCAAUUUAUAUUUUUUGUACAAAUAGAAAGGAAAACGCGUCUUAUAGGACAUGUUUUCUCUGAUCUUCCAGAGAAAACAUGAGACGCGUUUUAUUCUCUUUCCUAAAAAGCGCUUUGUAGGAGUAACUAAGGACAAUUAAUCACGACAUUUAUGUCUUUGGCAAUUGUGCAUAAUUUUGAUUGGUACAAUAACACAUUUAGUCCUUGAUGUUUGUAUAUUUUGUUAGUUUGGUCUUGAUUCAAAAAAAAAUUAACAAAUUCAGUCUCAACAUUUACACAUUUACAAAAAUAUGACGGGCUCAAUUUGUUAUCAUAUCAAUCAAAUUUAUGUAAAAUUGAUGAAAAACAUUAAUAUUGUAAUUAAUGGCUCACUUUCGAAAUUGGUAGGGAUUAAAUUGAUUCGAUUUGUUUAGAGGGACCAAGUUGCCGAAUAUCAAAAUUGAAAGGGACUAGAGAGGUCGUUUUACCUAGUUUAAUAAUUAAAUGAUAUGUUAAAUCUUAUGUGACAUAAUUUAAAAUGAAAAUUAAAAAAAAUUGUAAAAAUAGUUGUUUUAAAAAUCAUGGUUUUGAAGUUUUUACAAAAAUUUUAUUGUUCGUUUUUUUUUAAAUUUCAGUUUUAUUUAAUUUUAGUUUCUGUAAAAUUUUCAUUUUAAAAUUAGCUAUAUAAAAUUUAACGUGUCAUUUAAUUAUAAUAUCAAUAGUUUAGAAAUGUAAUUAGAUCAGUUUGAAGUUUGAAAAUAGAUUUAAAAUAAUGGUCAUAAUUUAGGGGUGGUUGAUGCAAUUAACUCAUUUCUAAUGGUCAUAAUUUAGGACAAAGUGAGAGUGGAAAGCAGAGUUAAAAUAUGACCCAAAGACUAACCUUUUUCUAAGUCGUCUCCUAUCAUAAUUGCAUAAUAAAUGGAUGGGGCCAUUACCAAACGAUGAAGCAAAAGAAAUGGCCUUCAUGUCCACCUUCAACCAUCAGCCAUCACUCACCAUUGCUUAAGCUAUUUUGCAGUUUAGACCAUAAAUUACUGAGUUGAAAACUGUAGUGUCGUUCUGCAGCCUUUAUUGGUCCAGGCAGGGCAGGCUGGGCUCAAAAAUUUGGGUCGACCUUGAAUAAAACAUUUAAACCCAUAUUUCAUAUUAGGCCGAGCUUGAGCAAAAAUAACAAUUAGCAAUACCUUGUCUAAGCCUGGGCCAAAUCCGGCCUAUCAGAUAAAGCAUUCAGACUGAACUACCGGUAACAUUAUGAGUUUCUGGUCCAUCCUUCAUGGGGAUGCAAAGAACAAAAUUAACUAACUUUUGCCACUAUAGAAUGUUUGUUCAACUAAAUAAAAUAAAGAUUGUCCUAUAACUCUAGUUCCAUUCAAGUUAAAACUUCUUCAGGCAAGAUAAUAGUAACAUAAUGCUAAAAGAACCAGCACAACCACCACAGCAGGAGCUGCCCGUAUCCAAUAGUUCAUCGACUUCUUACGUUUCAGGAUGGCUUUUGGGAGGGACUCAGUUCUUUUGGUUCGAUUCCUGUACCUACUAGUAUUCUCCUUUGGUACUUUACCCUUCAUUGAAACGGUAGCAGGAACAGGUGCAUCAGUAUUAACAUCGACCUUCUCGGGUUCUGAAUCUUGUGCCUCAAUCAGUUCCUCGGGAUUUACAGCAUUUGUUGAUCCUGCCACCUUCUUCUUAGCUCUCUUUUCACGCUCCUGAAAAAAAGGAUUGAAAGAGUUUCAGUUUCAACCCACAAACUAAUAACCGAUAAAGUGAAACCAGAUAAGGAAGCAAAUGAUUCCUUGAGCUUCUUUUCAGCUUCCAUUUGAGCUCUUUUAGCUGCUUUGGCUGCUUCUUUUUCAGCCAACUUCUUUUUUCUUUCCAUGGCUUGCUUUGCUUUCGCUAUUUCCUCUUCUCUCUUCAAUUCUUUCAGUUUUGCUACAUCGACUUCCUUGUUCUUUUGCAAUUUUCCGGAUACCAAAAUUUCCUCUGCUACAACACUAAUGUCUGACAAAGGAUUCGACUCCAGUGCUAUAGUCUCGGGCUCUCGGCAUCUUUUGGGGCCUUUUUGGCUAGUUUAGUAUCUGUUUGGGGACCUGAUUUGGCCUCUUCCUUUGGUUGUCUUACACUAGGUCUCAGAAUUGUUUCGGUUUCAGAAUCCACUGGUUUCUCGGGUGCAACCAGUGGUUUCUCAUCAGGAUUCCUUAUCCGACCAUCCCGACUCAAUAGCCGACUGUCCAGGGAUGGCAGAAUUCUUUUCUCAAAAUCAUCCCUGAAGGCUUUAUUGCCAUUCCAGAGAGCCAUAAACUUCUCAACCUAAAAGGAAUAUAAAAGAUAAGUGAGCGGUUAAUUAUAAAGCAAAUGAGAUACAUUGGAAGUAACAUGAACAAGCAGUCUCAACAAACCUCCACAAUUGAUAACUCCUCAAGAGCCUUUAUAUCUUUCUGUGCAGCAAGUAGUUUGGCGUUGUGUACAGUGGUACGGCUCUGGUAAAAGUGAGAAUUCUGAAAUUUUGAGAAAGAAAGUGAUUAAAACGAUUCAUUAGUAACAUCAUGCACAGGAAUAUUGGAAGUAGAAAUAAUAUAUAUCAUUUAAUAUCUUAAGUGACACUAGUUAUUCAUGCAUAAAUGAAAAUGUUCCGACAUGGUCAAGUAUAUAUAUGAAACAAAUAUCUUAAGAGUUGAAGCAAAUAAAAGGCGAUACCCCCUGAUCACUUUGUUUCCUCAGCUCCUGAAUGUUUUCAAAAGCUUUGUCCCUCUUCAGGGUCACAGCUUUCAGCUCAUUUUGCAAAGACUCGAUUUUAGUCUCAGUUUCAUCCAAUUUAUCUUUAAUUUGGUUUUUUUUUGGACCAGACUGCAUGCUGCUCCUUCCUUACUCCAUUCAAAUCAACACCCAUAAGCACAAUGGUGCUCUAUAUUCACAGAUAAGAAGAGAAACAAACUCCGAUGGAUAAAGGCAGAAAAUAGAAUUAUCUUACUUUAACUUGAUCAUCAAUGUCUUCUUUCUGGCCUAAUGAAUCUUGAAUCUUUGAUCUCAUUGCAACAUUAGCAAUAACUUUCUCACGGGUUCCCUCAAAGUGUUUGAUUUCUUUAAGGAUUCGCUUCUCAUCACUCAACGAGAUGCUUUCAUGCUGAAUGCGAUAUUGCAAGCUAUGGAUCUGCAAUUCAUAAAUUCCAUUGAAGUGACUAAAGGAGAAAAAGAAAAGCAUUAACUGCGGCAGAAAACAAUGAAUAAAUCUAAAUGCAGUCAAAGUUUAUAGAAGUAUCAUACAAUAAAAUCGAGCUCUUCCUCAGAUGCACAGAAACUAAGUCGAUUAUCAACAUCUUUAUUAUUGCGAAGCUUGCCUAAAAUUAAGGGUCACACGACUAUAUGGGUAUUUUGGCCAAUUUUAAGCCUCAAUUAGGGGCCGAUUAAAGGACUCAAAUAUUGGGUCCAUAGCCAUCAUAUAAGCCCAAAAAAAUGUAAGUUUUAGUACGUAUAUAUACAUGGCUAAGCUUAGGAGGUAUGUUAAGUAGGUUGUAUAUAAAUCAUAUGCUAUGUUAUGUUCCUUAUAGAAAUAUGUGUAUGCAUGUCAUACGACUUAUGAUAUAUGUAUUUAUGAUAUUAUAAUUAUGAUUAUGCCUAUGUUUUGGGAUGGGUUAUGAUAUGAUGGAGGAAGUAUUAUAUGGUAGUUUUUACUACAACUAUGGCGAUUAGACCAUAAAAUGUCUAUCUGACAACUUAGUUGCAUAUUUAUGAGUGGCAUAUCGUCACAUAUUGGUGUGAUUGGAUGGAUGGACUCUUAUAGUCCUAGUUGGUGAUAUUGCUUGGACAGAGAUGGCAUGUAACAGUUGGAGGUAUGAUAUCAUAUGAUAUGAGAUAUGAUAGGAUAAUAUAAGAUAUAAAACAUGUUAUAGCAUGAUAUGAAAAUCGAUAUGAUAUAAGAUAUGCUCCGAUAUGCUAUGAUACAUUCUGAUUUUUAUAUAUACUACGAUGUGUGGUUCAAAUCACAUACUGGAUGUUAAGCUCACACCUUUGUUAAUUCUGUUUUAGGUGAUCUUCAAAGUUAGGAUUGGACGAUGACUAUAGAGCUCGUAUGUCACUCUUUCGGUUUAAGUAUGCACUGGACUCUCUUUUGUUUAUAUGGACUUUUUGGACUUUUGGACAUUUUAAAUUUGUUUGGGAUGCUAAAAAUUAUUUUGGCAUUUAUUUUUCAAAAGUUUUAACUUUUACCGAUACUUAAAUCAAGGCAAUUAAAAAUAAACCACAAUUAUAAGGUCAAUUUGCUAUAAUGCUUUCCGCUACAAGUUUUAAGGUCAAUUUGCUAUAAUGCUGUCCGCUGCAAGUUUUAUUGAAAUUUUCUAAGAUAGUUUAUCUCACAAACAAAGUAAGUAAAUUAAAUACAUUUUGGUAAAAUUAACAAAUAUGGCUUUCUUCAAUGUACUCAUGGGUUUUCAAAAAUGGUACAUCUUCAACGGGUUAAUCAAACUUGUUUUCUUUUGAGUUAAAUAGUUUUUUCCAAAAUGAAGUAAUAUUGUUUUAAAAAAUAAUUACUUUUUCUUUUACAAGUUAAUGUCAUUGUAGGGUUUGAUGGGUUAUCUUCAACUUUAACAGUUAAGCUUCCAAAGUCAAUGAUCCUAUUUAAAUAUAUAAAAAAUCUUUAUAUUUAAAAGAUGUUCUUAUAAGAAAACAAAGAUGUUAUAUAUGAUUGUUGCAUGCAAUUAUAUUAUUUUAUGAUUCGGGUUAUAUCUGAUUGUUGUCAUGACAUAUAAGCAUUUAGUUAAUAUUUUAAAAUUUUAAAAAAUAAUAAUAAAUAUUUUUAAUAAUUUUAAAUUUUUAAAAAUAAGUUAUAUAUAUUUAAAACCUUAAAAAUUAUUUAAAAACUAAUGUAUCAUCCAUAACAAAUCAUACAUCAUUAACACAUAUUGGGGCAUUAGAAAGCUUUUAAAAAAUUGAACUCAAGUAGUGCUCUACAUGGUUCAUCAAGGCAUGGCAAGUAAGUGAUAGUUGAAGCAAUUUGUAUCAUGAUUGCCUGUAUUUCUCUCAUAAUUUCUUUGUCACUCUGUACCCAUGAUGUAACACCCCUAUACCAUGUUCGACUUAAGGACCCUGAUAUAGGAAUAUUACAUUUGGUGCCAAAUUAAUUCUUGGCUAAUUACUAAUAUAAUUGAACACAAAACUAAUACUUAGAACAUACCUAAUAUAUUUCAUGAAUUUCAUCAAUAAUCAUUUCAUAAAAUCAUUAUUUCAUAUAUUUCAUUUAUACAUCUCAAUUCAAUAACUUAUCCUAUUUCAUAAAAUUUAUCCUUAUCUAUUUCUUGAACCAUAAUUCUUACCCUUUCACAUAUGUCAUAUCAUUCAGAUUUAGUUUUAUCAGUAACUUUAUUUUAUGUGCCCCUAUUAACUUGACUCGGACUUGGCGGGUACACGGAUUCCAACCAAACACAUCAGUAAACAGUAAUCAGUAACGGUAGCAGUAACAGUAACAAUAUUCAACACACAAAGUGCUGAAUCUGUAACAGUAACAGUAACAGUAUUCGACACACAAAGUGCCGAAUCGAUAACAGUAACAGUAACAGUAACAGUAUUCGACACAUAAAGUGUCGAAUCAGUAAUCAGUAACAGUAACAGUAGUCGGCACAUAAGUACCUAAUCAGUAAGCCGGCAAAUACCCUGUACUCUUCCAUAUCCUAUUGCAUGCCAACUAUAUCUGACUAGCCCGACUACUUAAUAGGGCAUUUAAUUUACUUUUCAGUACUAUUUCCAUCUUAGUUCAGUAUCAAUUAUAAUUCCUUAUUUCAAUAAGUUUCACAGUAUUGCAGUAAUUCAUUACUUCAGGAUUUUCACAGUUCAAUGCAGUACACAUAACAGUAUUCAGUAUUCUAUAAUUCAGUUCAGUAUUAGUCUCACAUAUAAAUUUCCACUUUCUCAAUUUCAAUUCCAAUAAAAUCCAUAUCACUCACCAAUUUCAAUAUUCCAGUUCAAUUCAAUAAUUCAAUUCAAACCAUUUCACUUUCUAUUCAAUAAUCACAUUUCAAUUCAAAUUCACUUUCCACUUUCUAAUCUACCAAUACAUAUUCCAGAUAUUCACAUGUAAUCAUACUUCGAUUCAAUUCAAACCACUUUUCAGUCGAUACUCAAUUCACGUAUUCACACUUAUUCAUACUUUAAUUCACUUUUAUUCAAUUCUGUACAAUUAGAUAAUUCAUUUUUAGUGAAGAGUGGUCGGAACUGUCAGACAGCGAAACAGGGGAAAUUUUAAAGAAUAAAAUGUACUAUUUGGCUAAACAAAAAAUUUUGGAAUUUUUAUGGUAAGAAGAUAUGUGAGUCUAGUUUCAGAAAAAAUUAACAGAUCUUAAUUUGGACUUCUGUAGCUCCGGAUAAAAAUAAUUUAGUGACCCUGACUCGGAUAAACAGUUUUGAAUAUACAUGUGAGUGAAUAGUGAAAUUAUAGUUAAUAUUGUUUAAGUGUGUUAUACACAUUAAGGAUGUGGAAUGGAGAGGAGGAGGAGGAAAAUUGGAAAAUAUAUGAAUGAUUUGUGUAUAAUUGGUCAUGUGUUUGAUUAUAAUUGAUAAACGAUGAAAUAGAAAUGAUGCUUAUAUUUGUGCAUCAUUGGUCAUGGUUUAAGCUCAUGUGUGAAAAUAAAGUUUCAUAGUAUGUGUGUAUGGUAUAUUCGGUAUAUGAUUUGGCAAGAAAUAAUGUCAUGAAUGGUUUAUCAUGUGGUUAGUUCCAAAAAGAGUUAUGUUUAAAUACACUAGCUUGUAACUAUGGUUGAAUGAUAUGUUUAUAUCUUGUGUGAUGCGCAUAGGAAACAAGUGUGGAAAGAUAAUGAAAUAGUAAGUUCAUAUGGCUGAAAUUUAAUGGUUAAAUGUUAAUUUCAUGAAUUAUAUGAUGCAUGAUGAGAUAUAUUUAUUGUUGAAAUAUGAGAAUCUUUGAAAUGUAUAUGGACUGAAAAGUAAUUAGUGAUUUGAAAUUUGAUUGGAAAAUGAAUAAAUAAAUAUAUAUAUAUAUGUAUAUAAAUAAAGUGUGGAAACAUUCACUUUCUAUUCAAUUCUUUCAAUAAAAUCAGCAUAUGAACAAUUUAAAACUCUAAUGCCAAGAUAAAUCAUCAUAUACUUCCAGCAUGUAUUCAUAGCAACUUUCAACUUCUUACAUAGAAUCAAAAACCAAUGAAUUUAACAAGUGGGCCUAGUUGUAAAAGUCACAAAAACAUAAAAAUUUCAAGAAAUAAUCAAGAAUUGAACUUACUUGCAGUAAAAAUAUGAAGAACCAGCUUGAAGAAACCCUUCUAUGGUGUUUUAGCUGAUGAGAAUGCAGAAAAAUGAAGAGAAAUCUAGAUAAUUCCACUUUGGUCCUAACUUUAUUAAGCAAAUUUUGCCCUUAAUUCUCCUUACUUUCUUGCUAAUUUCAUUCCUUUACCGUCCAGCCCAAAUAGAACUUGGGUCCAUUUUCCUUUUAAGUCAUCUUCCUUUUAUCAUUUAAGCUAUUUAAUCAUUUCCUAAAAUUUUGCAUUUGUUACAAUUUAGUCCUUUUUAUUCAAUUAAUUAUCAGAACUUUAAAAUUUCUUGACGAAACUUUAAUACUAACUUUUUAACACUCCAUAAAUAUUUAUAAAAAUAUUUAUGGCUCGGUUUAAAAUCUCCGAGGUCUCAAUACCUCGUUUUUUAUUCUAAUUAUUUUAAUAUUUAUUUCUAGUGCACUAUUCACUAUUUCAAAAUUUUUCCUAACUUCACAUUUAACUUAUAUUCACUAAAUUAAUAAUAUUUUCUACUCAUUUGUCGAAUUUAGUGAUCUCGAAUCACCGUUUCGACACCUUUGAAAAUUCAGGCCAUUACAUUUUUCCUCGUCGGAUUUGUGGUCUCGAAACCACUAUUUCGACUAGACCCAAAAUCAGGUUGUUACACGUGACACCCUGCAAAAUCUCCUACAUUUCAAAUUAAUUGAUGUCAGGUAAAACAUUAAAGCAUAAGAGGAUAAACUAUUACCCUCACUAUCUGUUUCAACGCUAUAAUUCCACCUCUCCUCUCCAACACCUCAUUGGUAGCCUUACUCAUCAUAACCAACACAGCCCUUUCUUUUAUCUCGCCACAUAAAAUAAAUUCAAAAUAAUUUUUAAAUUUUAAAAUAUUUAUAAAAUUUCAAAAUUUAUAUUUAAAAAAUUAUAAAUAUUUAAAAAUUCUAAAAAUAUAUAAAUAAAGUUGAAAUUUUAAAAUAUUCUAAAAUAAUAAUUUUAGCACUUAAGUAAGUUAAUUAAUGAUUCAAAUUUAUCAAUAUUUAUUUAAGUUUUUAAAUAUAUAUGGUUUUAAAUCUAGAUGAAAGAUUUUAAUUUGACAUGUUUAAUUUUUUAAGUUAACUCAAACAAUUUCACUUUAUUUGAAUUUCAUUUCAUUCGAUUUGAUUUGAAAAAAUUUCAUAUCAAGUUAAGAUGAUAAAAUAAAACCUGUAAACUCGAUUAACUCAAAAUGUUUUCACUGAAUUGUGAGGUAAUUGAUCAUUUUCUUAGUAAAAACUGUAAUAUAUAUGCUGAACAAAGUAAGGGUGCCUGAACUUGAGUUGUCAUAUUUAAAUAUUUAUUUGCUCAACAUUUACUUGAUUGUAUACAUUAUAUUUGCACCCUAAGCAAUAGUUUUAGAACAAUUAAAUUUGCAUAAAAUAACAACUUUUUUAUUUGACGUUAAGACUGAGUUGUUAUUCAUUGACACCGUUUUAGAACACUUAUAGUAAUAGUUUUAGUCUUUCAACUUCAUCAAUUAAUCUAUUAAAGUUAUGUGUUGCAAUUGCAGUUGUAAACCAAUUAAAAUUUUAAUUACGGUAAGUGCAUUUAUUAAUUAAUGGUAUAGUUACGCUGAGCAAAGAUAUCAUUUCCACGAAGAUUAAAAGUAUUAGUAAUUACCGUCUUUUUAUUAUUUAACCGACAAAUUGGAGUAAUUGAUUAAAGCUAAAAUUAACUAAAUUAAUUAAUUAAAGAACACAACAAAGGACAUAUCAGAAAAAUAAACUAUUAAUGACCAAUAAGCGAGAUAAUACCUAGGAAAGAAUCCACCUAAACUUCAUCUGUCAUUAUCAAUCUAAAUCACACAAUUUCUUCACUUUGUAUCUUAAUACGGAGAAAUCCCUAAAUUAUGCUAAUAUCUCUCUUCAAGACUAAGAGCAACUGAUUCUAGAUUAAUUAAUUGGAAUUUCUUUCUAAUUAAAACCCCUAUUAUCACAUUAACUCGAUCUAUAGAUCCUUCUAUUAGAUUUGACUCUAAUCCGGUAGAUUUAUGUCAUCUUAUUUUUAGGAUUACAUGUAACUCCACUUACCUAUGUUAGAUAUACUCUUAAACAAUGUCUAUUCCUCCUAUGAUUUAAGCACAUAAAACAUGGACCAAUAGUCUAGAAAUAUUAAACCAUGAAUUAAGCACACAUAAUUGAGAACAAGAUUUAAGUAUUUGUUGCAUAAAAAUAGAAAUCAAAUAAUAGAAUUCAUCCUAAGGUUCAGCUCCCUAGGUAUUUGGAAAAAAAUAGUUCAUAUAGUAAAUAAAAACAUCUCAAAGAUAGAAUAACUAUAAGGAAUAAAGAAACUCAUAAUAAACUUCAAAGAAAUCAAAAGGAGAAUUUCAAUUUUGAUGGAAAUAUGCUUCAAAGUCGGCUUCAAUGGUAUUUUUCGAGUUGUUUUCUUCAAUAUUAUAUGACGACUCACUCCCCUCUUCUUAUCUUUUUCAUAUAUGUCUUAGAAUGCUCGAAAAACUUACAAAUUAUGCUCGAAAAACUUACAAAUUACGAUUUUUUGCGUCUUUAGAGUGCAAUUGUUCUUUCCACACGGUUUGACACAUUGUUGUGUAGCAACUCAUAUGGUUCACUCGGCCGUAUGGAAUGGCCUAGCCCGUGUGGCUCCUGAAACUUGUUCUAAUUUUCUAAUUUUCGCUCUUUUUUCUUCUAAAUGCUCUCCUAAGUAUAGAGACGUGAAUUUAAAGGAUUGGAAGCAUAAAAUUCACCAUUAACAUCGAAUAAUCACCCAAAAACACAUUAAGAAUGAGAUUAAAACAUGUUACUUUUAGAACAUAUAAUGUAUAUAUAUGCAUGUCUUCUUAGAUCAUUUGCUAUUAAAAAAAAAAUUAGAACAAAUCUUCGGUGAGGAAAAUUUUGAACACACGAAUGAAACUCGCAUAGAAAAUGAAAAAAUGUGACAAGGCUUUAAGACGUGUAUCAAACCACUAUCUUUAAAGUUAUAUCCGCUGUCACCUAUAUUCAGCGUUCAAAAGAAUUUCAAGCAAAUUAACCUUGAGAAUACAAUGAAGCCGAUGACUAUUUGUGUUUUGUACUAAUGUAAAUAAUUUACUAAACACUGAGCAAUGUAUAACAAGAAAGUCAAUUUUUACAAAGAAUUUUUGCAGUAGCUCUUUAUAAAAAAAAUCUAAUAAUCUGGAAAAUGAGGAAGAAUAGGAUGAAUAUUAAAACUUGUUGGUGUGAUUUCCAAAUGAAAUACAAUUCCUAUUUAUAGGAAUUUUUAUGUCUUUCAUAGAGACAUUUUGGUCAAUCACUUUAAUAGCUUUUGGGGUGAUAAAAAUUCUAAUUUCACUUUGCACCUAAAAUGAUUUUUUUGGUAAUUUUCUUACCGAGUUGGGACUCAAUUGAUGGUUGACGCCAACUCAGUAAAAAGCUUUAACACAAUAUAGAUAAAAAAAGUUUUAAACUAAAAUUUUUAAAAGAAUUUAGGGUAAACUACAACAAUCAUUCAACUAUAGGUAAGUUUUUGUUUUAAUCACUUAACUAAAAAAAUUACAAUUUGAUCACUAAUGCUUUCGAAAUUGUUUUUCUUUUUUGUCACCCAAUUGUUAACUCAUACUUGUUUUAGUUGAUAUAAUAACAAUUUUAGUCCUCAAUUUUUAUAUUUUCUAUCAAUUUUACUCUGAUUUUGUAUAAAAUCAUAAUAAAACUCACAAUUAUUUAUAAAUAAAAAAAUGUAUAUAAAAAUUCUAGAAAAGUAAAAUCUUGAAUGUAUUGUUUCAUAACUAAAUUGGAUGAGAAAUAAAGAAAAUCAUCAUUCAAUAACAUCUGAUAACAAAUUAAAAUAAAAACAAAACAAAACAAAAAAGUUAGAUUAUUAUAUGUUUCCUUAAUAUUUCUCGAAACCAAAUUAGUAGUAUUAUCAAGUUGAGUUUCAUGCCCUUGAAGAACAUCUAGAACUGAUAUUACAAACACUUAUGAAAUUGACAUUGAUGCCAUAUUUUUAAUUAAAAGAGUACAAAAUAUACCAUGAUUUUUCUUUUUCAAAUUCAAUUCAAAAUUUCAUUACAUUUUUUUUUCAAAACUCAAAUUGUAAAAUGAAAAUAUAUUCAGAAAUUUAUCUUUUCUUAUAAUGUAAAAGCUAUAUCAAGUAAUUGAUGAGAUAAAAAAGCAUAGAACAAAUAAAUUUGCUUAAUAGUUUUUUCUAUGUUUGUUUUUAAAAUAAUGAGUAUUGAAUAUUUCAAUAUAGAUAAUAUAGAGAAAUUUUGUAAGGUUUAAAAAUAAUUAUCCCUAAUUUUCUCACUUUAUUUAUUUUUAAAAUUUUUAUUUUACUUUUAUUUAUUUUUUAAUUUUAUAAUGUUCUAAAAUUUUAAAAAUAAUUUCAACUUUUAAAUAACAUCCGAUAACAAAUUAAAAUCAAAUCAAAACAAAACAAAAAACGUUAAAUUAUUAUAUGUUUCCUGAAUAUUUCUCGAAACCAAAUUAGUAGUAUUAUCAAGUUGAGUUUCAUGCCCUUGAAAAACAUCUAGAACUGAUAUUACAAAUACUUAUGAAAUUGACCUUGAUGCCAUAUUUUUAGUCAAAAGAAUACAAAAUAUACCAUAAUUUUUCUUUUCCAAACUCAAUUCCAAAUUUCAUUACAUUAGAAAUUAUAUUCAGAAUUUUAUCUUUUCUUAUAAUAUUUGCUUAAUAUUUUUUCUAUGUUUGUUUUUAAAGAAUGAGUAUUGAAUAUAGAUAAUGUAGAGAAAUUUUGUAGGGUUUAAAAAUAAUUAUCCUGAAUUUUCUCACUUUAUUUUUUUUAAUUUUAUAAUGUUUUAAAAUUUUAAAAAUAAUUUUUAACUUUUUACCAUUUUAUAUAUUAUCAAAAUCAAAUUUACUAAAAGUAUACAAAUUAAGGACUAAAACUGUCAUUAAAUCAAUUAAAAGUUCCAUGCCAACAAUGUCCAUGUCAAUUAAACCAAGACUUAAUCCACAAUAACUACAUAUAUUUUUUGUUAUACCUAUUAAUACAAGUCAUUUACUAGUAUAUUAGACAUUCUUAUACCCUGCUUUCCCAUACUUUCCUAUUAUUUUCAUCAUGAUGAUGAUGAUUGUUGACACCAUUUUUUUGAUAAAACAGGGUCGACUUGGGUUUUGUAAAAUGAAAACAAAAAUGAGAGUCGCCACCAAUCUUUUUUGAUGAGGUGUGAUCGGGUCACCGAACUUUUAAUAAACGAUUUAAUUUUUAUUAAAACAAUGAUUUUGGUCCACGUAAUUCAGAAAAAUGGGUUCGGGGGUCGGUUACGCACGAGGAAGGAUUAGCACCCUCGAUAUGCCCAAAAUUGGUACCUAAUUGAUUACUUAGUGUCCUAGUGUCGAAAAUUGAAAACUUUGAAGAGUUUUAAAAAUACGAUCCUUAAAAGAAACUCUGAUAACAUGAAUUGAAAUAUAAGAUUCUCUUGUUCCGAAGGAAUAUCACAUCCAGCACGUUAGGACACGAUACUUUAAACCAUCGAAACCAAGAUCACCUUAUAGUUUAAUGAAACCAUACUUCGAAGUUUUAAGAGGAUAUUUGGCUAUUUAGUCGAACGAGAAAUUGAAACCCAGCACGUUAGGGCACGUUUUCUCGAGUUUCCAAACACAAAAUAUCGCCUUAUUUAGAAAAUCUUAAAAGGAUAUUUGGCUAUUUGGUCGAACGAGAAAUCGAAACCCAGCGCGUUAGGGCACAUUUUCUCGAUUUUCCAAACAUGAAAUAUUGCCUUAUUUAGAAAAACCUUCCUUUUAAUGUUUGGUGUUAAUAUGCAUGACAAAACAAUAAUGAAUACGACAAGAUAAGCAUAGUAAUGGAGUACGUAGAACCUGUUGUUGGCAUUGCAAAUUGUCUCGGCACUCCUGUUUGUAAAUAUUUGCGAUAUCGCAGAAAGCUGAACGAUUAUGUGAGAAACUUCAAGAGGACCAGAGAUGAAUUGAAUUGCAAAAUGGAAGAUAUAGAGCUGCAAUUGAAAGCAGAGCUUCUUCGUCCUCUGGGGAAGAUACCGAAGAAGGGAGUUGAAAAUUGGUUGAAAGCUGUGAAAGAGAUGAUUAGGGUAGCACAAGUUGUUGAAAACAACGUCAGUAACGGGAGAUAUUUCUGUCGUGCUUGCAACGGGAAGCUGGUUGAUGAAAAGACUCGAGAAAUGAAGGAAUUUCUUGAUAACGCUCCUAAUGCCUCUGAAGGUCUUGCCAUGGAUGGUCCAAGUGCUGGGUUGCCACUGUCAACAUCAGAACUAGUUGGAGAAGAAGCUGUCAGAAAUGAGAUUUGGGCAUGUUUGAUGCAGGAGGAGGUGAGCAAGAUUGGAUUUUGGGGGAUGGGCGGUGUAGGUAAAACCAUUAUCAUGAAGCACAUCCACAAUGAUCUUUUGGAACAACAAAGAUUCGAAAGGGUAAUCUGGGUUACCAUAUCAAAGGAGUUCAAUGUAAUGAAGGUACAAGAUAAUAUUGCAAGUGAGUUGGAGGCGAAGGAAUUUUUAGACAAAGAAGAGGACAAGCUCAGACGAGCAGCAAUCUUGUCAGAAAAGCUGAAGAAGGCAGGAAAGCAUGUUCUAAUCCUAGAUGAUGUGUGGGAUAAAGUUUCUCUAGAGGAAGUUGGGAUCCUCGAGCCGAGUGGCAGCAAUGGCUGCAAGUUGGUGUUAACAACCCGUUCGGAGCAUGUCUGUAUAUUGGUUGUAAGGUGAUAAAAGUGAAGCCCCUUUUAGAAGAAGAGGCAUUGAUACUAUUCUUGAAUAAAGUUGGACCUAACAUAGUUCCAAAAUACUUCUAGCAGCGCUUGUAAGCCUUAAAAAAUAUCGCUAAAAGUCUGUUUUGCAGUAGUGCAGUGACCAAAACUAAAAUACUCAUAGUUUAGUAACUAAUAGUUAAUAGUGUAACUUUUUUUAAUAAAAUAAAAAAUUUACCUUAAUUUUGUAUUAAAAAACUUAAAAUUAUUUAUAAAAUAGAAAAUGUAUAUUAUUCAACAUAGGGAUUCUUUUCCAAAUCAUACAGAAAAUAAUUAAUUACGGAAAUAGUAUGAAAAAUAAAUUAAUUACAAAAAUAAGACAUUUGUUACGAUGUUCUGCUGGUGUCACCUGGCAUAUUGGCAACAUCAGACUAAAAUGUGAGAACAAAAAAUAUUCAAAGACUUGAUAUGUAAAUUUCUCAUUUUGAUUGACCGUUGAAAAUAAGCUCUAAGGUUGUUGUGUGGCAGUGUGGCGGCACAAAAUCUUAAAUAGGGUUAAUUUUUUUGUAAACUCUCAUUGUUUAUUAUUUUGUUUUUAUUCCUCUUUAACACCAAAACUAAAAAGUUUUCUUACCCAUUGGUCCAGUUUAAAUUAUGUCUGGCAUAACAGUUAACAUUAUUGAUAGUAAUUUCCCUUUUUAAACAUUUUCCUUCUAAAAGACUUCAUUUCUUUUAAAAUAUAUAUGUAGUUCCCAAAAUAACCUUAUAUUCAUAUUUAUAAUUAAAACAUUUAAGUUAUAAACUUAUUUUGAUAUGAUAUAGAAUCAAAUAUUAUUUUUUUGAAUUUCUGAAAAUUUAAAUAUCAAAAUAUGUUUUAAAUCUUUAUAUUCUUCUUAUAUUUUAAAUUUAAUCUCUAUUUAUUUUUAAGAAUUUAGUCUCUUUAUUUUUUGGAUUUAAAAAUUUAGGUCUAGUUAUUAAAAACAUUAAAAUUAUUUUGUUAAAUUCGCUGGUAGGACAAGUUAAAAUUAAAAAAAAAAAUUCUUAUUUGGUAGCCAUGUAAUAAAAAAUAAUGACAAUCCAAAUAACUUGAAUUUAACAGAGAAUUUUAACAAUGUUGUCAAUUCUUAAAAAUUUACAUCAAUAGUUUAAUUAGAUACGAUGUUUAGACUAAUUAAUGACAUUAAAAAAAUUGAAGUACCAAAUUAUGUCAAACAUUAAGACAUAGAGAUUAAAUUUCCAAUUUGGGCAUAUUAUAAGGACUAAAAUUGAAAACUAACUAUUGUUAUAUAAUUUCAAAAAGAAAAAUCAAUAAUUUAGUCGAAAUGAAGUAUUUAAAUUGACCAAAAAGUUGAGGUAUCACAUUAUGUUAAAAAUUAAAAUUAAAAUAUUAAAAUUUAAUUUUAAGCUGAAUAUAAGAAUCAAAACUAAAAUUUGAUAUAUAAUUUCGAAAAAGAAAUAAUAAAUUGUGUAUUUGGAUAUGUAUAUGUCAAUAAAUCCGAAUGAAACAUUUAAUGAUAUUAUAAAAAUUAAAGUACAAAAUUAUGUUAUAAAUUAGUAAUCUUAAAGUAAAUCUCUUAAAAUAUCAUACUUUACUCACUUUUAUUUCCCUCAGUAAAGAAGGUUAGAUGCAUAAAUUGUUUGACCAUUAAUUUUGUUCUUUUUUCCUUUUUGAAACAAAACAUAGUUUUCAAAUUUGUAAGCUUCAAGUAAAUAUCUUAAAAUGAUUUACUUCCCUCACUUAAAAGGUUAGAUGCAUGAAUUGUUUGACCAUUUUUAUUUUUAUUUUGUCCCUCAUUUAAAAUAUAUUAAAUUCUUUAUCACUCAAAUAACAGUAAGAGUAAACUAGAGGUGAUCAUGGGUUGGGCUACUCGGCCCGGCCCGACAGCCCGCCCGAAAAAUGGGAGGAUUCGGGUAAAAAUAUAGGCUCGAAAUAUGGAUUUGGGCAAAAUAAUAAGGCCGUUUUUACAGAAUAUUGGGAAUUUACCUCCAAUCUUCAUGCAUAAUUUCCUGUUCUUUCGCCAUCCUAAUAUCAAUCUUAUGGUUCUUCACCGAGCCCAUAUUGAUCUUCCUUCAACAAGACGCCGAAAUCUCGAAAAUGGCGGCGUUUUACAUCAAAUAUCUCAUCCCAGGCUUAUUUGCUUACGGAUUGGUACAAAACAUACUGAGAUUCCUUCAGUCGCAAAGUAUUUUAAUGCCUCUGGUGUGGUUUUCGGUUCUGCUAUUGGCACUUCAUUUAGGCAUCGUUUACACAUUGGUUAAUUGGACGGAUCUGGGUUUCAAAGGAGCUCCAUUGGCAGCUUCGAUUUCGCUGUGGAUUUCACUUGUUUUGUUAUCGUCUUAUGUGGUUUUGGCCCAGAGAUUUGAGGAAACAUGGCCGGGAUUGUCGUCGGAAACGUUUCGUUUGGUCUUCGCGAACCUGAAAUUUGGCAUCCCUUCUGCGGCAAUGGUUUGGUGAGUUCAUUUUUUCCAAAUUAAGUUAUAAAAUUUUGAAGAGUCAAACAAAAUUUGUCAUUGUAUUAUUUUAUAAUUUUGCAUUUUUUAAAGGACUAAACUUCUAAAUUUAUUAUUUUUGGGUUAAAGACUUAAGUCUAAUUAUUUUGAGUUGGGUUAAAUCUCAAAAUUAUACAUUGACUUUGAUUUAACGUGUAAUUGUAUAUAUGACCUUUAAUUUAGUACAAUUAUACGAGUGAAACUUUAAUUUUGGUUCAAAUAUAUAUUUGAAACUUUAAUUUUAAUUUAAUCAUACACAUUUAAAGAAAUAAACUUAUUUAUUUUUAUAUUGAAUAAAUAUAAUUAUUUAUGCAUGCGAUAUAUAAACAUAAAAUGAUGUUAUAUUAAUAAUGGUAUUAAUAAUUUACAAGAAUUGGAUCAAAUCAGAAUUUUAAAAUUUCAUGUAUACAAUUGCACAUUAAACCAUAGUUUGUGUAUAAUUUUGGUACAUAUCCUUUUUGAGUUUGAUUCAAAAGUAAGCAUUUGAUUAUUUUAAUCGGUAUAAUAUUUUUUUUUCUAAUUUAACCGACUUAAUUGGUCUUAAUAUAAAAUAACCGAACCGAUCGAUUAAGAUAUUGUUAACCGAUUUAAUGAAACUGACUAAGAUGUCAUUAAUUAGGUUUGGGUCGAUUUUCGGGUUGGGUUAGGUUAGAUAAUUGGAUUUUAAGUUUGGGUAAUUUAAAUUAUAUCAAAUAUUACAAAUAUAUUUAAAAUAAUUUAAAAAUAAUACAUAGAUAAAUAUAAGUCAGUUAAGUUGAUCAAUUCAAUAAAUUUAGUAAUCGGUACUCCACUGUCCAAAUCGACAAAACUGAAUUAAUUAAAAUUAAUUAAAUCAUCAAUUAAGUCGAUUAAAUCAAUCAUAACUGAAUAAUACUCUUUUCUAAUUUGAGUUAUUUGGAUUUUGUGGUCAAAUUUUAAGUCGGAACAAUUAGAAGUAAGUUCUUUUGAAUUCAAAUUAGUCUAAAUUAGAGCCAUUUUCAUUUCGGAUUUGAAUUUAACUUUUAAAAAUAAUAAUGCGAACUAAAUUAAAAUUUAGAUAAUUUUUUAAAAUUGUUUUGAGCAAUUUGGAAUAUUGGGCAUUCGAGCUUCUGGUACUCUUAGCAGGAUUGAUGCCUAAUUCAAAAGUAACUACUUCCUUGAUUGCCAUGUGGUAAGAUUGCCUUCAGGGGUGAAUCCAAAAAAUUUUGUUGAGGGGAUCGAAAUGAAAUUUUGAUUUUUAAUAGUCUAUAUCUUUAUAAUUUUUAAAGGAUUAAAUUAAUUUUUAUAAUUUUAGGGGAUUAAAGAAUAAUUUUAUCUUUAUUAAUUUAAAAUUUUAUUUUAGGGAGCCAAGCCGCCCAUGGAUUCUCAUCAGCUUCCACUUUUAUAAUUUUCACUGGAUCCAUUUAAAGAUUUUAAAAUUAAUGGGAUUUGAGUAAAAUAUUUUGUUUCAGUGUGAAUACAAAAUCAAUUGCUUACAUGAUUACUCACGGACUUAGUGCUGCAGCAAGGUGAGUUCAAUUUUAUUAUUAUCUUAAUUAGUUUACGGAUUUUAUGCUAAUUUUAUUGAAACAGCACUAGGGUUUCGAAUGAAUUGGGGGCUGAGAAUCCGAGGAAGGCAAAGACCGCCAUGGCUGUGUCACUCAAGCUUUCAAUCCUUCUGGCUUGCAUUAGCAUUUGGGCAUAACAGCUUCCUCAGAUUGAAUACAAGAAGGUGUCUUGUAUUGGUUGAUAGAAGCUCCCUUUGAUACAUAAAAGUCCAUAACCGCAUCAAAUGUUCCAUGCUUUACCACUCUUAACUCUAAUGCUGCAAUUUUAUUAGCCUCUCUAAGGCACUUAUAUGUGAAAUCCAAUGAUUCUUCUUCUAUGGAGCAGCAUUGUUCCAUUAUCUUGGCAUCAAGUUUUAGGCAUCUAUUCCUUUCUUUGAACUUGAGUUCCCAAAACAAUACAUACCGGCCUGGUAUCGAUGAAGUCUCCGCAUAGCUACUGAAUGUCAUCAGUACGAAACCAAGUGGUUCACGAUGGCGUUUUGCGUUCCUGAUGGCCUUCAAGAGGUCUGCCUCGCUUGGUUUGUCCAUAUCAAUACUCAAAACAGUAUUCCGUCGUUCGACAAAUUGGAACUGCAGAGAGUUGUUAUGGAAACCGGUUAACUUGAGAACGUCUCCAACUCGGUAUCGAUACAGGCCUGGAAAGACAAUUAAGACACUUUAUUACCAAAAGAAAUCUAAUAUUUCAAAUCUAAAACAGGAAAUGAGAAAUAUUACCCGUCAAAGUUGUGACGACAACCUCGUAAUAUUGACCAAGUUUCACAUUUGCAAAAUCAACAGGUUCAACAUUUCCAUUUACAUUUGUCAUUUCCGACAACCAUUGGCUUGAAACACCAUCAAGAUUGGAUUCUCGAGCCUUCUCUUCCCAAUCUUUAUCCACAGGGAGAAACUCAAAGUAUGCCAUGUUGAUAGAACAAGAUCCUCAUUCCACAUAUUCAUAUUUGUGUCAAUCAAAUCAACAACCUAAUUAAUACCGUUGACUCGUUGUGACUCCACCAGAAAUGGUCGAUCACUAGAGCGCCAUGACUUGUCACAAACUAAAAUCUCAUUCUUGUUCCCCAUCAACCAACUACAACCUUUGACAAGUAGGCCUUUUGUCGCCCAGAUGCUCCUCCUAAUAAAAGAAGGUUUGCUCCCUAAUGUCGACAGUAGGAAAUCAUCACGCAAAAAAUAUUUUUCCUUGAGAACCCUUGCCAUUCACAAAAAUGAUCCCCAUUUAAAUUUUUCUUAGUAAAAAUGUUAAUAAGAGGAUUAUAAGACAUAUUUGAACUGAAAAAAAUAAAGAUUCAUUAAUUACUAUCUUUGUAUUAAGUAAAUAUUUUCAUUUCAGCAACAUAUCAAGAAUGCAGUAUGAUGCAUGCGUCUUGUAUUAAAAUCUUGAUAAUAUUUUUUUUUAUUGCUACGAUCAUUCUCACACCCAUCAAUCAUGUCGCUUUGGGGUCUCAUGAUUAACUAGUAAGAACAUGGAAUCAGUUCAUGAAUCUUAAUUCUCAAGACUCCACAGGAACCAACGAUCGUUUAACGUUUAGCCAUUGCCUCUAGCUUAAAUAUCGUUUUUUGGGAAACUAUUUCAUAAGAAGUUCUUAAGUAUGUAACUAUUGACUCAACACCCAUCAUGAACAUGCUUUCAUUUGUGAGUCAUCUUGGGACAAUUUCACUAAGAUUCAUGCACAACUACUUAUCCUGAAAAGUAAAUCUCAUCUAGUGAACCCAAAUGAUAAAGUUUAUCUUGGGACAAUUUUUUUUUCUUUCAAUUAUCAUGUUACCAUUUAAGGGCCAUCAAUGGAGGUCGUAGGUCUUGUUAAAUGACCAUCUCCCACUCAAUAUUUUAAAAUAAUAUGAAAGGUUUUUUAUCUCAUAUUUAAAGAAUGAUCAUACAAUAGUCCUAGUGACAUUCUUAGAUUAUGACAAUUUUACAAUAUUCAAGAUUUUUGAAAAAGCGCCGCGAAUUCUUGGGGCUUUAGCAACAUUUUUGAAAAAGCGACGCUAAUUCUCUAUUUUUAGCGGCGUUUUUGAAGAAGCGCUGUGAAUGCUCUAUUUUUAGCGGCGUUUUUAAAAAAGCGUCGCAAUAAACAUUUUAUCUGUCUAUUUAUUAUUUAAUUGGUUUAUUUAUAUUAAUUAAAAUUAAAAUUAUUUUUAAUUGAAUAGUUAAAAUCUUCAGAAAAAAUAAUGACAUGUAGAAAUAAUUUAAAAUAAAAAACAUAGAAAAAUAUUUGUUAAAAAUGGAAAAAUUAAAAUACUAUUAUUUAAAAUAAUUUUAAAGUUUUUUGGGUACAUUACUAAUUUUUUUAAUUUAUAUAUUAAAUAAUUUCUUAUAUAAUCGUAAAAGAGAUAGUAUUUGUCAAAACCUUUUUUUUUGUGAAAAUGGGAUCGACUUGGAUUUUAAAAAUGAAUACGAACAUGGGAGUCACCACCGAUCUUUUAUUGAGUUGUAAUCGGAUCACCUUAAAAAUGAUUUUGGUCUACAAGUUUCAGAAAAAAUGAGUUCAGGAGUCAAUUACGUACGAUGAAGGAUUAGCACCCUCGUAACGCCCAAAAUUGGUACCGAAUUGAUUAUUUAAUGUCUUAAAUUCGAAUGUUGAAAAUUCGAAAAGAUUGAAAAGCGAUUCCCCUUUAAAAAAUCUUUAUUGAAAUUUAUUAUUUUGAAAACUAAAAAAAUCAGUCUUCUUGCUUCAAUGAAGAAAUCGAAACCCCGUAAGUUGGGGCACAACUCCUUGAAGUUUCAAAGACGACACACGAGUUUGCCUUUAUUUAAAAACCUGGUCUCGAGAUAACAGGAUGUUGUAUCCAAUAAGUUAGGACACAACAUUUUGAAUCUUCGAGAUAAGCUUUAAUUUGGAAUCUUUGCUUUAAUUGAAAAAGGAAUACUCGGUUACUUAAAUUCAACGAGGAAGAUUGAGGCCCAGUAAGUUAGGGCACAAUCUUCUCGAGAACCUUGGAUACCGAGUCUUAUUUUAUAAAUCCUUGAAUGAAAAAUGUAAGGUGAUUAAAUGACAAUAUGCAACGCGAAAGGAUAAUUUGUAAAUAAAUUAUACAUUAAUCAAAUGAAUGGUAGAUAAAUACAAGCAAGUAAUACACAUAGCAACAAUAAUCUCAUGUAAAUACCCACAUUGGCUAAUAAGUGGAAACUAAUUAAAAUCAAGCAAUUUUACAUAAACACUAACGAAAUAUACAAAUUUAAGCAUAAUUUAAGAAAUAAAUAUAAUAUAUAUAUUAAAAUAUUAAAAUAAAUUAACAAUAUUGAAAUAAGUUGAAAUGAAUUAAAGAUGUUAAAAUAUUUGAAAGAAAUAAAAUAUCUAUAUAAUAAUUAGAAUGAAACUCAAGGAAAAUUUUAUCAUAGAAUCUAACCUAUGAUUAAGAAGAAAAAUCAAGGUAAAGCUUGUGGUUUUUUUGUCUUUCCGUUCCUUCUCUAUCCACGGUACGGGUUUCAGAAAAAGAGCUUCGCUCGCUCUUGCUAUUAAAGUCGGGUUAGUUUCCUCUUUGAUCUUCUAAUUUUCCUUCUUUGAUUCGUGUUUUUUUUGUGUUAAACUGUCUGCAAUUUUGUUUGUUUUUGGAGAAAUCUGGGAUUAUUGUUGUACUUUCUGAAACUGAUCUAUUAUUGAUGGAAGUCAACCCUUACAGUUGUUAGUGAUAAACACAUAAAUUUGAAUGUUGAUAAAUUAUUGAAUUAUUAAUUUCUGUUAAUUUAUUGCAUAUAAUCAUUGAAUUAUUUAUUUUUACUAAUUAAUUAUAUAUAAAUAAUUAGAUAGUUGAUUUUCGAGCAAUAGUAUUUGAUUGGCUCAUUUUUGGUAUGGCAAUGUAAAGAGAUUAAUAAUUGUACUUUUUUUAAAAAGUUUUUCCCCUGACCAACUAUAAAAUUAAAGUUAAUCAAUUGAAAUAGAUGUAGAUCAGAAGGUAUUUAAGCUGCUGCAAUGAGUAGUAUGUUUAGUUUACUAGAGUUUCUUUGGACUUUGGUUUGAUUCAAUUAUCAAAUUUUUCGCUCAGCAUUUGAUUGGUCAGGACUCGAGUUUUCAAAGUUCCUCAAUCAUUUUCUUCCUUUUUUUCAGAAUCAUAUUUGCUUUUUUGCUUGAAUCUUGACUUUAUAGUCAAUUUGGUGGGUCGGGUUUCUUGAAGCUUUAAGGUUGUAUGGUCGUGGCUAGUGCCAAAUAGAAGGUAAGUGCGCAAUGAGUUGAACUGAUUUACUUAUCUUUGCCAUGUUCACUAUGGUUUGAACAAUUUAAGUUACUCUUAUUUUCAUGCAGAGCAUGUAGGCACUAAAUCUGCAAUUCAAAUUCGAAGCCAUGCUCAAAAGUUUUUCUCUAAGGCUCAUUGCUUUGAGUUCAUUACAAGAUUUCCUUGAUUAAGUAAAUGUAUUAUAUCUUUUAUUACCAAGAUUUACUUGAUUAAGAAAAUGCAUUGUAUGUUUUAUUACCUUGCAUAUGUAUUAUUUAUUUUAGUUUUGAUUCUAAAUUUUUAUUUUUACUUUAAUAUUUACGCUAACUUAGAGUUCUAACUUUUGGAUUUUAAUUGUGUUAUUAAUUUAUUAUUUUAAAUUCUAAAUUUAAAUUCAUUCAUUUUUAUAUUUAGUUUUAAAGUUAAAAUAUUUGUAGUAAAUUUAAUUUAAAUAAUAUUUUUUAUUUAUCCUUAAAACAUAAUAUAAUAUUUAUCAUAGAAAUAAAUAUUAUUUGAUAAAAAUGAUUUUUUUUAAAGAUAUGUUUUUAGCGGCGUUUGUGUGAAAAGCGUCGCUAAAGGUCUAUCCAUGUUCUUUAGCAGUGAUUGUGGUAAAGCGCCACUAAAAGUCAUGAUCUAUAGUGGCACUUAUAAUAAAAACGUCGCUAAAGGUCAUGUUCUUUAGUGGCGUUUGUGGUAAAAUGCCGCUAAAGGUCAUGCUCUUUAGCGGCGUUUUUGUCAAAAGUCCCGCUAAAGGUCAUGUUCUUUAGCAGCAUUUUUUCAUAUAAACGCCACUAAAACUAGCGACGUUACAAGCACGGCUAAAAGUCUGUUUUGCUGUAGUGGUCUCGAUUCCUUCUUAAUGCUACAUCGGUUUGAAGAUCUACGUUAAUAGUCGAUCAACAAUAAUGAAUGUCACUAACCAAGCUAAGAGGGUUCGAUCAAGGGGUGAGAAAUAAUGAUGACAAGAUGAGACUUAGAUGGGGCAGCAAUGCAGAAAUUAUGAAGGCAACAAAAACUUCAAUGUGCAACAACAGGAGAAGGAGAAAUGGACAUCAAUGGAAAAUAAAAAAUGGCAGAAGCUUCUAAACAAAAUAUUGAUAUUAAAAAGGCAAUGAUUCAGCCAAAUAAAUUGGAGAAGGGAUAGGCAAAGGGGCAACACAAAUAGAAAAUAAAACUUGUGUUUUAGGUUGCAAUAAUGGUGGGUUAUGAGAGAAAAUUGGAGAAUAAUGGAGAGGAAAAAUGAAGGGGACGACAAUAGCUUGAGAAAAAUAAAUAAAAUAGGCUAAACAUAAAAUAAAAUGCAAUUUAUACGUAGGUUAAAAAGGGCUUGGAAGGCAACAAGGUUUUAAGGAGCAGAAACGUUGAAAAAAUAAAAAUUUACAAGGGAAAGGAAUUAAACUCAAGUCUUAAGGUCAAUUUCACUAACUCUUUACCACUAGGCCAAUUAAUCAUUCUUUUCAUAAACGCUCAAACAAAACCUUAAAAAUUAGGGCAAGACAACUCUCAGUUCACUAAAUCUAUUUCUUCUGACCCAAUUUUUGGGACAUGACAAAACUAUUAGUAAGUUUAUGUUUAGUUUUAGUUACUUAACUUCAAAAGGUUACAAAAUGGUCAAUAAACUAUUCAAAAGUUUUCAUUUAAGUCAUUGGUUUGUUAAGGUUUUUUUUUUAAGUUUGACUAAUGAGCUCCAAGCGAUGAUUCGACGAUUGAUGUAGUGAAUCUAUACCCAUUAAUGAGUGGAACAUAUCUUAGAUCCAAGUUAACCUGCCAUUUAGUAUAGGAGAUUGGAGAAAAAAAGUCGUUCGAAUUUUGGUUCACAGAUUUGUGACAUUCAAAACUGUUUCAUGAAUAUAAAUUAUGUUGUAAAAGAGAAGGGAAAUGUGAGCUUUCAAUUGAUACAAACGGUGCAAACAAAGGUCAUAUAGUAACAAUUUUAAAAGUCUGAUGACUUAAAUGAAAAUUUUUGUAUAGUUCAGUGAUCAUUUUAUAAUUUUAAUAAGUAUACUUACAUUUGUCUUUAGAAUUUGCAAAACAAAUAGAAAAUUCACUUUAAAUGUAUAAAAAUGAAUAAAGAAAACUCACCUUCAUUUCUGAUAGCAAAUAAGAAAUAUGAAAAAAAAACUCUACCACUUUAAUAUUAAAUCUACCACUUUUCCCUUAGAUAUGCAAUUGCAAUGGGUGAUUUUGGGAAACUAAACCAAAGGCCUAUCUUAAGGCUUGCUAAACUUCAUCAGAUACUAUAAAUCAACUGUACAAGGAAAGAUUUCUUAUGUGGAAUUAAUUAAUCAUCUAUAAGAAUUAUCUCAACAUCUGUAGAAAAGAAAAUUAAAAUAUCUGAAUUUUUUUCUCAAGAAACAAAUAGAAAAAGUAAAUGGAAUAUAAGGGUUUUAAAGUUGAGGAAGGGAAAGAGUGGUGAAAAAAAUUGUUUACUGUUAGUGUCAAACAAGAAAAAGAAAAUUGGGUUGAAGGAAGAAGAAGAAAAAGAAAGAAGGAAAAGAAAAGGAACAUAAAAAAAAUGUUGUAAAUUUAACGGGGUUAAACUUAGGGAUCGGUUUAGUUGAUGGAAAAAAAGUUCGAGACAAAAAAACAUAAAUAUCAAUUUGAGAGAAGUGGAUAAGUUCAGAUACUAAUUUAAUAUUUAACUGUUAUAAAUAUUAUAGAUUAAGUUACCAGCAGUGGGCUUGACUUGCGAUUGAUAUAGAGGUGGCCCACUUUGUUUGUCGAAAACUUACAUUUUCAGCUAUAGCAAGUCUCAACCGCACAACCAAGUCCAAACGUAUUAAAAUUAAAAUUUGAAAAUUUAAUAAUAUUUUUUCUCCCAAUAAAAUAAUAAAUACAUGUAUCAUUCAAAAUGGAAGUAGGCAAUUGGAAAAAAAUAAGAGUGGGAACAUAUUUAUGAGAAAUGGGCAACCGCGUUUUGGGUUGGGUCCUAGACUUUUUCUUAAUUUGUUUGAACACUCCUAACAGGUAACAGCUCUUGAGGGGCCAAGCCGAUAGGCAUCGUGUUUGACCCAAUGAAAUUUCUGGCUUACAAAACUCAACCAAUUUUACAAUCACUCAACUAAAUGAAGUUUUUUGGUUUAAUCAUUUUUUUUAUAUGAUGAUCCAAGGCAUCGAAUUAGAGCCUUCGGUAAAAGUAAAGAAAAUUUCAAAGUAAAAAAUAAUUUUCAAGAAAUGGGGCCUUAAGAUGUGGACUGCAAAGCUGCGUAGGGGAUGGGAUAAUAAGGCAAAUUAGAGAGCAAAAGUUGGAAGCAAGGUUUAAUGGUGGUGGCCCCCCUCAUUUUGGGCAUAUGUUUCAGCACUUAUCCAUUUUCAGACAAGGAAAUUAUUUAAUAAAGAAAAAGAAAAAUGGUGCACAUGGGAGCAUUUUCAAGCCCACCUUUGAGUUAUGAAAGACUGGGGUAGGUGGAAGUAAUUAACGGGCAAAGUGGGGUUAAGAAGGGUAAUUAAGAAAUGGUGCAGUGGAUGGAGUUAGAAUGAAGAGGAUACUCACGGGCAAGACAGGGGGUUUGGUUUUCUCAGCAAAAACACGUGUGAAGAUGUGGAAUUGUCAAGCUUUUUGAAUUAUUUUACAUAAGGACAAAGCAGAUAGAGAUAAAUCUGCUCAUGAUGAAUCACCCACAUGAAAAAUGUCAAAUAUUAUUUGAUUGGCUGGAAGGACCACUUCACCCAUAUCUUCGUACUUGCUUGGUUGAUCAAAGGUUAAAAGGAGAGGAUGGCCCUGAAAUUCAGAAAAGAAUCGGUUCCCUUCCCCUUUCCCCUGCAAUUCCUAUUGUUUUGUUUUCUUGAUUUCCAAAUCCAUGUAGUAAUAAAUGAAAAAAAGAAGAUCCACACAGACAAUACCCUGUACAAUAUCUACUUUGCUUUUAAGCGCGUUCUAUCUUCGUCCUUAAUAACUCUUAUUUAUUCACAGUUUAAACCCCCAGAUUCUGGUUCGAUUUCAGUAUCAUUCUUAGUCCAUUUAUUUUAUUUUUUAUUUUAAAAACUCUUUUAUUAUUAUUUGUUUUAAGUUUUUUUAUUUAUCAUUUAUUGUAAACUGUUUUACAUGCUAUUUAUUUAAUUCUUUUAAUAUGUUAUUCAUUUUAAACCAUUAUAUGUACAUAAUCUUUUAAAUUCCUAUAUAUGUAUUUUUUUUUAAAAAUGUUGUAUGUCGUUUAUUUAUUUGUUUUAAACUAUUAUUAUUCACUUUAAGUUUUUAUAUACUGUUUAUUUGAAGCCUUUUAUUAUUUAUUUUUGAAUUGUUCUUGUAAAUUAUUUAUUUUAAAUUAUUAUUUGCUUUAAACUGUUUUGCAUAAUAUUUUGUUUUGUUUUCUUCAAUUGUUAAUGUUAGUAUUACAACUAACAUACAUUGUGUGAUUAUUGCCAUCAUGUGUACUAUAAUUAGCUUUUUCGUGUUUUAAUAUUAUUGUCUUUCAUCAAUGUAACAUUUUAUUCAUAAAUCGUUAUUUCAUGUUAUACAUUAUCAUUCCAUUUCAUUUCAUCACUUCGAAAGUUGCGUUCAAUUUUUAUAUACCCAUAAUAAACCGUUCUAUUUUAUACCAAAUAAAACAAAUGCACCUCGUUCAAGUAUUGUACUCACUAUGAUUCAAAAAAGGGAAAAGUUUUUUAAUAAGGCAAUAUUUCGCGUUUUGGAGAUUCGAGAAAUUGUACACUAAUUUACGGGGUUUCAAUUUUCUCGUUAAAUCUAAAUAGCAAAAUAUCUUUUUAAAUUUCAAGAUAUACAAUAAAAAUUAAAGGCAAGCUUAUUCUCUAAAGUUCCAAAUAUCGUGUCCUAACUUACGGGACAUGACAUUUCGUUACCUCGAGACAAGUGGGUCUUUAACUCUCUUUUCGAUUUAUUCAAGCGUUUUUUUUAUUAACAUUAAUAAAAAAGGGAUCGUAUUUUAAAAUAUUUUCAAAAUUUUAACUUUCGACAUUAAGACAUUAAUUAAUCAACUAGGUACCAAUUUUGGGAGUAUCGAGGUUGCUAUUCAUUCCUCGUGCGUAACCGACUCCCGAACCCAUUUUUUGGAUUUUGUAGACUAAAAAUUACCGUUUUAGUAAAUUUAACUUUUAUUAAAAUGAUUAAAUUAUAAGGUGAUCUGAUCACACCUAAAUAAAAAGGAUUGGUGGCGACUCCAUUUUCGUGAUGCAUUAUUCUAAAAAGUGAUGCAUUAAUUAUAUCUUUUAUCUUUUAUAUAUUGUUUCGAUUAAUACCUAAAUUAUUUGUACGAAAAAAAAUCAAAAUGAAAUGCAACAUGUUCUGAACUUUUAUUAAAGCUCAUCUUUUUGUUGAAGAUACCUCAAUCCAUGAUUUCAACAUUGGAAUUUUUGAAAGUCCCUAGUAAUAGUAUGAAUUAUGAAAUUUCAAAAAAGCAUAUUCUUAUUUAUUGUUAAUUUCAAGGUAUUUUUAAUAGCUAUACUUACAUUUGUCUUUAGAAAAUAGAAAAUUCACUUUAAAUGUAUAAAAAUGAAUAAAGAAAACUCAUCUUCAUUUCUGACAGAAAAUAAGAAACAUGAAAAAAAAACUAAAAAAGAAAUACAUAUUUUCUUGAAAGACGCUUCAAAUGAAACAAAUAUGAAAAACAUAGUUGUAAGAGUGUUCAAUUACUUUAUCGAUCGGUCAACCAAAUCAAAUUAGUAUUAACUAAAUCAAAAUUAUCAUGAAAAAGUGAAAAAGUCAUAAUUUAGGGGUGGUUGAUGCAAUUAACUCAUUUCUAAUGGUGCUAAUACUUAAGUCUGCUAUGGGACAAAGUGAAAAAGUGGAAAGCAGAGUUAAAAUAUGACCCAAACACUCACCUUUUUCUAAGUCGUCUCCUAUCAUAGUUGCAAAAUAAAUGGAUAGCAGUAAACCAAAUCCUUUGCUACUAAACCAAGAAAACCCAGUUGUCUUAAGAGUUCAUAUUUGUGAAGGUUUCUUAACAUUUUAGUGCAACCUUGAUUUUUAUUUUUAUUUAUUUCCUUUCCCUUAAAGAGAAAAAAAGAUCUUCAAGUUUUUUUUCUUUUUUAUUCUUCAGUUUUGCUUACUUUCUUUUGCUCCCAAAAACCAAAAAAAAAUAUCCCUUCAAAUCCCAUUUGAUGGUUUUGAAGUAGCAACGAUCUUCUCAGCACCUAGUCUAGUUUGAUUUUGAAGUUCCCAAGUGAGGUCAAUGUAUUUAUGUAUGCUUAAUUUCUAUAUUUUCGGUUUUUUUAUAUAUAAAUUUGUUAUAUAUUUCUUCAUCUAAUAUUAUGUUUUUAUGUUUUUCUUGAACUAAAUCAGAGCAAAAUAGACUGUUUGGAUUUGCUCUUUUUUUCCACACUCAAAUUCUUGGAAUCAUUACUUCAUUUUGAAGGGGUAAGUGGGUAUGUUUCUUAUGUUUUCCAUCAUUAUAUGCAUAAUAUUAAAUGGAUACCAAGCAGUACCAACAUCAAUAAUUUAGAUCCCCAUUUUGUAUAAAAUUAUUAAAAAAAACUCACAAUUAUUUAUAAAUAGAAAAAUGUAUAUAAAAAUUCUAGAAAAAUAAAAUCUAUGUUGUUUCAUAACUAAAUUGGAUGAGAAAUAAAGAAAAUCACCAUUCAAUAACAUCCGAUAACAAAUUAAAAUCAAAACAAAACAAAACAAAAAAUGUUAGAUUAUUAUAUGUUUCCUGAAUAUUUCUCGAAACCAAAUUAGUAGUAUUAUCAAGCUGAGUUUCAUGCCCUUGAAGAGUAUCUAGAACUGAUAUUACAAAUACUUAUGAAAUUGACCUUGAUGCCAUAUUUUUAGUCAAAAGAAUACAAAAUAUACCAUAAUUUUUCUUUUCCAAACUCAAUUCGAAAUUUCAUUACAUUUUAAUUGUUUUCAGAAUUUUAUCUUUUCUUAUAAAGUAAAAGCUGUCAAGUAAUGAAGAUGUAAAAAACAAAUGAAUUUGCUUAAUAUUUUUUCUGUGUUUGUUUUUAAAGAAUGAGUAUUGAAGUAAUAGAUAAUAUAGAGAAAUUUUCUUCCUUUUUUCUAUGUCAGGACUCGGGUCUUUAAAGUUCCUCAAUUAUUUUCUUCCUUCUUUUCAGAAUUAGAUUUUCUCUUUUUGCUUGAAUCUUGAUUUUAUAGUCAAUUUGGUGGGUUAGGUUUCUUGAAGCUUUAAGGUUGUAUGGUCUUGACUAGCGCCAAAUAAAAGGUAAAUGCACAAUGAGUUGAAUUGAUUUACUUAUCUUUACCAUGUUCACUAUGGUUUGAAUAUUUUAAGUUACUCUUAUUUUCAUGCAGAGUUUUUAUAUUUUUCUUUUCAAACUCAAUUCAAAAUUCCAUUACAUUUUAUUUUUUUUUUCAAAACCCAAAUUGUAAAAUGAAAAUAUAUUCAAAAAUUUAUCUUUUCUUAUAAUGUAAAAGCUAUGUCAAGUAAUUGAUGAGGUAAAAAAGUAUAGAACAAAUAAAUUUGCUUCAUAGUUUUUUCUAUAUGUUUGUUUUUAAAAUAAUGAGUAUUGAAUAUUUCAAUAUAGAUAAUAUAGAGAAAUUUUGUAGGGUUUAAAAAUAAUUAUCCCUAAUUUUCUCACUUUAUUUAUUUUUAAAAUUUUUAUUUUACUUUUAUUUAUUUUUUAAUUUUAUAAUGUUCUAAAAUUUUAAAAAUAAUUUCAACUUUUUAUCAUUUUAUAUAUUAUCAAAAUGAAAUUCACCGAAAGUAUAAAAAUUUAGGACUAAAAUUUUUAUUAAAUCAUUUAAAAAGUUCCACUUAAUAGUUGAGUGACAAAAAAAUAAUAAUUUCAAAAACAUUAGUGGUGAAAUUGUAAUUGUUUUUAAUUGAGUGAUUAAAACAAAAAUUAGUAAUAGUUUAAUGACUAAUAAUGUAGCUUUUUUUUUUUGGGUACAACGAUAACUCGAAAUUUGGUUAUUCCUAAAAAGGGUGAACAUCCGAUCAUAUUUAUUCACAUAUUACAAACAUCCAUAUGCAAGCUCAUCUUUUUAUCUUUUAUAUAUUAUUUCGAUUGAUACUUAAAUUAUUUGUACGAAAAAAAAAAUCAAAAUGAAAUGCAACAUGUUCUGAACUUUUAUUAAAGCUCAUCUUUUUGUUGAAGAUACCCCAAUCCAUGAUUUCAACAUUGGAAUUUUUGAAAGUCCCUAGUAAUAGUAUGAAUUAUGAAAUUUCAAAAAACCAUAUUCUUAUUUAUUGUUAAUUUCAAGCUAAUUUUAAUAGCUAUACUUACAUUUGUCUUUAAAAAAUAGAAAAUUCACUUUAAAUGUAUAAAAAUGAAUAAAGAAAACUCAUCUUCAUUUCUGACAGCAAAUAAGAAAUAUGAAAAAAAAAAACUAAAAAAGAGAUACAUAUUUUCUUGAUAGACGCUUCAAAUGAAACAAAUAUGAAAAACAUAGUUGUAGGAGUGUUCAAUUGCUUAAUCGAUCCGUUAACCAAAUCGAAUUAGUAUUAACUGAAUUAGUAUUAACUAAAUCGAAAUUAUCAUGAAAAAACUCAAACUUAUAAAUCCCUAUCCCCAAAAAAAAAAAAUUGAAGCAUCCAGAAAAUACAUCAAGCAUUGAACUAAAAAAGAACAUAUCACUAUUCAUAGUUGUAGAGGAGGAUUAGACACUGCUGCUAACGAUGGGUGAAGAAAUAUGCCAACCAAAGACAUAUUGUUGUGUCUGGUGGGGUUAUUCAACCUAUACCAAAAACAUGUUAUUUCAACAUUACAAUGAAAAUUUUGAUACAGUGAUAAUAUAAUGAAAUAAAUUUUAUCAUGUUAUGAAUAAGAAUUCAUAAGGGGAAUUUCUAUUGCAUUCUAUAUUUUUCAUAAUCUUUACAGGUAGUAUACUCCACUAUAUAUAGAAAGAUUAGACUCUUCAUAUUCUAAUACAUAAAUAAGAAAAAGGGGUUAUAAGGAGAUGAAAGUUUAAAAAUUAAAGAAAAUGAAAGAUUAAAGUCAAGAGAGAUGAAAGGUAAAAGGUUGAACAUCCACUUAAUAAUAUUAAUAAUAAAUAUUUUAAAUGUAGCAAAAGUCAUAAAAAUAAUAGAAACACCGCUCCAAAUGAACCAAUUCCACUCAAGCAAUUACUAAAACUUCAAGGAAAACAUGAGAGCAUAGAUUAAUUAUUUUUUAAUAAGUUAAUUGCACCAAAUAUUUUUAAAUUAUUACCUGCAUUCUAAAUUAAUUCACUUUCGAAAUAUUGUGAGUAAUUGCUCACUUUCGAAAUUGGUAGGGAUUAAAUUGUUUCGAUUUUUUUAAAGAGACCAAUUUACUGAAUAUCAAAAUUGAGAGGGACUAGAGAGGUCAUUUUAUCUAGUUUAGUAAUUAAAUGACAUGUUAAAUCUUAUGUGAUAUAAUUUAAAAUGACAAUUUUAAAAAUUGUGGAAAUAUUUGUUUUAAAAAUCUUGGUUUUGAAGUUUUUACAAAAUUUUUAUUGUUCAUUUUUUUUAAAAUUUCAAUUUUAUUUAAUUUUAGUUUCUUUAAAAUUUUCAUUUUAAAAUUAGCUAGAUAAUGAUUUUAAUAAUAAAUGGCCUGAUUAAUAUAACACCAACAGUUUAGAAAUGUAAUUAGAUAAGUUUGCAGUUUGAAAAUAGAUUUAAAAUAAUGGUCAUAAUUUAGGGGUGUUUGUUGCAAUUAACUCAUUUCUAAUGGUGCUAAUAAUUAAGUCUGCUAUAGGACAAAGUGAAAUAGUGGAAAGCAGAGUUAAAAUAUGACCCAAAGAUAUGGAUGGGGCCAUUACCAACAUCAAUAAUUUAGAUCCCGAUUUUGUAUAAAAUUAUUUAAAAAAAAACUCACAAUUAUUUAUAAAUAGAAAAAUGUAUACAAAAAUUCUAAAAAGUAAAAUCUUGAAUAUGUUGUUUCAUAACUAAAUUGUAUGAGAAAUAAAGAAAAUCAGCAUUUAAUAACACCCGAUAACAAAUUAAAAUCAAAACAAAACAAAACAAGUUAGAUUAUUAUAUGUCUCCUGAAUAUUUCUCGAAACUAAAUUAGUAGUGAGUUUCAUGCCCUUGAACAACAUCUAGAACUGAUAUUACAAAUACUUAUGAAAUUAACCUUGAUGCCAUAUUUUUAGUUAAAAGAGUACAAAAUAUAGCAUGAUUUUUCUUUUCAAACUCAAUUCAAAAUUUCAUUACAUUUUAAUUUUUUUUUUCAAAACCCAAAUUGUAAAAUGAAAAUAUAUUCAAAAAUUUAUCUUUUCUUAUAAUGUAAAAGCUAUGUCAAGUAAUUGAUGAGGUAAAAAAGCAUAGAACAAAUAAAUUUGCUUCAUAGUUUUUUCUAUGUUUGUUUUCAAAACAAUGAGUAUUGAAUAUUUCAAUAUAGAUAAUAUAGAGAAAUUUUGUAGGGUUUAAAAAUAAUUAUCCCUAAUUUUCUCACUUUAUUUAUUUUUAAAAUUUUUAUUUUACUUUUAUUUAUUUUUUAAUUUUAUAAUGUUCUAAAAUUUUAAAAAUAAUUUCAACUUUUUAUCAUUUUAUAUAUUAUCAAAAUGAAAUUCACCGAAAGUAUAAAAAUUUAGAACUAAAAUUUUUAUUAAAUCAUUUAAAAAGUUCCACUUAACAGUUGAGUGACAAAAAAAUAAUAAUUUCAAAAACAUUAGUGGUGAAAUUGUAAUUGUUUUUAAUUGAGUGAUUAAAACAAAAAUUAGCAAUAGUUUAAUGACUAAUAAUGUAGUUUUUUUUUUGGGUACAACGAUAACUCGGAAUUUGGUUAUUCCUAAAAAGGGUGAACAUCCGAUCAUAUUUAUUCACUUAUUACAAACAUCCAUAUGCAAGCAAUUCUCCCGAAUUAAAAUCAAAUUUUAAUAUCAACAACUUCAACAACUCAUAAAUAGGAAGAUAAUAUGUUUCGGUACACUUAAAACCACAUCCUUCUAUAUUGACAGCAAUUAUUAUGACAAUGAAGCUAAGACUUUAUUCACAAUACCUAUAUAUUUUUGUUAUACCUAAUUAAAGUCAUUUACCAGUAUAUUAGACAUUCUUAUACCCUACUUUCCCAUACUUUCCCAUUAUUAUCGUGAUGAUGAUGAUGUAACACCCCCUAACCCCAAACCGUCACCGGAACAGGGUUAUAGAGUAUUACCAGACAUAUCGGAUAACUUAUAACUAAUUCACAAAUAAAUAACAGACAUAGCAUACUUUAAUCAAAUAUGUCAUAUUAGUUCCAUUUCAUACUUAUAAUCAAUUUAAAACAUCGUUCUAAAACCACAAUCACAAAACUCUUAUACUUAACCUAUAUAUCACUUAGGUACAUGCCACAUUAUCAAAACAAAAGUACAUCACCAAAAUUUCUCUGAGGUCGGGAUUACUCUGGAUGCUGGACCGAGCACUGGCUUCCUACUAACCUGCGCACGGAAACAACCGUAUUGUCACUUUCGAACUGGNNNNNNNNNNNNNNNNNNNNNNNNNNNNNNNNNNNNNNNNNNNNNNNNNNNNNNNNNNNNNNNNNNNNNNNNNNNNNNNNNNNNNNNNNNNNNNNNNNNNAACUUUGAGAUAAAUCUGACGCGAUCUGCUCCACUACAACUUUAGAGAGAUGAGAUCUGCGGUUUUACUCCAUACCAUUACAACUUCAAGGAGAUAGGAAUUCUGGCUUCAAUGUACUCCACUGUAACCUCAAGGAGGUAAAAUCUGCCAUCCUCGAUCUACUCCACUACCGUCUAGGGAGAUAAGUUUUAUUAUCUUUAAUCUAUUCCACUGGUGCCCAGUGAGAUAGAAUUACUGGCUUCAAUAUACUCUAUUGUAACCUCAGGGAGGUAAAAUCCGCCAUCCUUGAUCUGCUUCAUUACUGCUUAGGGAGAUAAGAUCUGUUAUCUUUGAUCUACUUCACGCCAAUACAUGAAGACAAGAUCUGCUUUCUUCGAUCUGCUUCGCCACCAGUAUGGGAAGACAAGAUCUGGUAUCUUCGAUCUACUUCACGCCAAUACAUGAAGACAAGAUCUGCUUUCUUCGAUCUAUUUCACCACCAGUAUGGGAAGACAAGAUCUGCUAUCUUUGAUCUACUUCACUCCAAUACAUGAAGAUAAGAUCUGUUUUCUUCGAUCUACUUUGCCACCAGUAUGGGAAGACAAGAUCUACUAUCUUUGAUCUACUUCACGCCAAUACAUGAAGACAAGAUAUGUUUUCUUUGACCUACUUCGCCACCAGUAUGGGAAGACAAGAUCUGCUAUCUUUGAUCUACUUCACGCCAAUACAUGAAGACAAGAUCUGCUAUCUUUGAUCUACUUCACACCAAUACAUGAAGACAAGAUCCGUUUUCUUUGAUCUACUUCACGCCAAUACAUGAAGACAAGAUCUGCUAUCUUUGAUCUACCUCACGCCAAUUCAUAAAAAUAAGAUCUGCUGCUUUUCAACCUGCUCCACUGUUGCUCAAGGAGAUAAGGCUUUAUGAUUUCACCGAUCUGUUCUCUGUGGAACAUGGCCUGUAUCAUUCAAUUUAUGAACCUAAUUAUGUCUAGUGAAUAGGAUGUCAUGAUCAAAUGAAUCAAAUACUCCUAACUGGACAUGUAUGAAUGACAUUUGAAUGAAUGCAAAAUGUCAUUUUUCGAGAAUGAUCCCUCCUUAUCACUUAGGUUAUCAUUACUCAAAGUUUAUCAAAGUUUUAUUGCCAAUGUGCUAUAACGCCUCUUACUCGGCUGACGUCUCCAAAGAAACACUUGACCAGAUUGCCCCCACUGUAAACCUCCAAGUUUGAUCCACUAGGAUGCAAAAUUUACAUUAUCUUUCUCCCGUUGUAACCCAAGAGUAAAAGAUUUGGCCUUUUCUCAAUCCUCUGUUAUCACAAUUUAAGGAUAAAGGAUGUGAAACUUUUUGGUCUCUUACACCAUUCUCAGGGUGUCACACAAAAUGCUCAUGAAAAAAUGAAGAAUUUUCCUCUCCAAGAACAGCUUCUUCUUAUUAUUCGAUGAUCAUUGCUUGCUUGUUCAUUGAAGCUUUAUCACCAACACGGCAUCUUGCCAUUUUGUUUAAUCAAUACUUUAGACAAGAAAAUUCAAAGGGAUAGUCUUAAUUUAGACUCUUCUUUAUCAAAUUUCCAACCUUUGAACCUGGUACGUUUUAGAUAAUAGUUAUGUUUGAGGUUCCUAUAUUAUUUAGAAGCUUCUAGACUAAUAUGCAAAACUUCCCUUGUGAAGGUUUUAUUGGUCCAUUAAUUAUUAUUCUAAUGCAACACACUUGCAAAGAGAACAAAAUGAUGGAUAAAAUUGAAUUGGUUCUGAGCAUAGCUCGAAAUGAAAUAAAUUAUCAAAGAUAAUAAAGAUGGAUAACAAAGACAUUGAUUCAGGAAUGCGUAUUUUUGGAAAUAAAUGAAGCGUUCCAAGUAUAACAAAGUAUAAGGAUUAGGUACCUCAGAUAUCGCAGCUUGAACUUCUCUGUACAGACUUUCUGAAGACCAUUCUGAGUUUAACACGUGUUUAGGAGAUCGAUACCCCAGGAUGUCGCCUACACUUUCCUAUUGAUUCAGGUAUAGAAAGAUCAUUGCAUGCCCCAUUCUGGUCAUAUUUGAGCUGCUCUGAUAACUUCAAGCGCCAUUUUGAUCAACAUUUGAGCCGCCAUUUUCGGGUUUUCAACUCAAAUCCCCUUUGGUCUAAGGUGCCAUUUGCGGGUUUUCACCUUGGCCUCUCCAUUUCUUUUUCUCUUCUCUUUUUUGACUCAAGGCUCCCUUUGUAGGGUUUCACCCUGGGUUUUUUUUUAAGCGGAGUAUUUCCUGACUGAAUCCGAGUUUGCAGGACUUUGCAAGUUUAUUAUCUAUCUCCCUCAAAAUCAAAGCUCAUUUAGAAAAGACCUUCUCUAUAACACAAGGUUCUUCCCAAUUUGGCAUUCGUUAUAUUUUUUGUAGAGUGAGGAUCUUCUUCGGCAUUAGGUCACCAUCGUGGAAUUCUCUUGGACAAACCUUUUACUAUAGGCUCGCAUAAUUCAUUUCUUGGUACAUCUGACCCUGAUGAAUAGUUUCUAGCCUUUUUCUUUAACUAGGUUCAACUAAUUGUACCGGGAUUGGAUUUUCAUCCUACUUCAACUCAGCCAAAACUUAAAGAGAAAGAAUUUCAACUUCAAUGAAAAUCGUGAUAAACUGGAAAGAGUGGCAUUGCCCCGCUAGAGUUUUCAUUGCACCAUUCAUGAUAUUCACCUUGAACAUACUGUAAAAUUUUGAUAUCGUGCUAUUGUUCAGAUUGCAAUGACAUCACUUAAAACGGGCACAUCCUGGUAUGACCAUGCGAAGCCAUCUUUGAAUGCUUGAAGUAACUCAACAUCGUUUUGCUUUGUUUUUUCGGUCAUGCAUGUUCCCUCAAGGUCACAACCUCUAUUGUCUCAUUUAUUUCUCUUAUUGCUUUACCAUCAUCAACAAGUCAGGAGAUAAGCUACAAUUUAUGACAUCUUCAAAGUCAUAAGAUCCCUCUAAAUACAUGGCUCACUCAAAAAGGGAUUUUGAGUCCGUAGUAGCGUCACUCAUGUCAUUGAUAUCUAGGAACCCAUAGUAAAUACCAAAAAAUGUACAAAAGAAUGUAUGAAUAAUAUGAAUGAAUGAACAAAUGGUUUGGUAGAAAAAAAAUUCAUAAGAAUGAAAGAAGUGCAAAGAAUGAAAGAACAUUUACUCCAAGAUGAUUGCAAUAAUGUAUUUCAUUAAAAUAAUCAUGUUCGGACAUGAGCCAAUUUCACAAAGGCAUUCCUAUUGCUUUUAGGCUAAAAGCAACAAGCGUGUUCUGAAUAUUACUCUAACAGACCCUAAAUACUGUAGGGGUUUCCUCUGCAGUCCCAUUAUUUAUAACACCUCCCAGGCGAAUAUCUAACCAGAGCCCUUUUAAUUAUGUCUGCACAUAUGGCGUCGAUGUGAAAAUCUCACCACUUCCAUACAUUGUCCUCCCCCAUUAUCACUCGUGAUUAGGUAGCGGAUUUUCUGCACUAGACGAGUCACCAAACUUGACAAUACCCAUGUCGAUGAGUCUUUCAACUUGCUUCUUGAAGGUAGUGCAGUUCUCAAUCGAGUGUCCCAUAAUUUCUGCGUGGUAUUCACAUUGUGCAUUCGCAUCAUACCAUUUGGGAUACGGAGGUUGUAGAGGCUUCACAGGAAAAGGAGAAACAACACGUGCAUCAAACAAAUUCUAAUACAGUUCUCUAUAUGACACUGGAACUGGCGUAAAUUGGGGCCUCUCUGUGUUUUGUCCUGUACCAACUUCCUGUCUCAAUGGACCUUGUUGGUUAGCAGCCAUCUUUCUUGGCUGACUCACAGUAAAUGAUUUAAAGUAACCCGUGUUGUUCACCUCAUCUUCUCUUCUCCUUGAGACUGACCUCUUGUUACUCUCCUCUGCAUCAAUUUUCCCGCUUCUUAUAGCAUUUUCAAUCAUUUCACCAUUCAUAACUAUGUCAGAAAAAUUUUUGUGGCACUUCCUAACAUAUGUGAUGAACGGGGCUUUCAAUGUAUUUAUAAAAAGCAUCGUCAUUUCUUUCUCUAAGAGCAGUGGUUGAACUUGGACUGCGUCUUCCCUCCAUCUUUGUGUGUACUGCCUAAAGCUUUCGCUUGACUUCUUCUCCAUGUUUUGAAGGGUAAUUCUAUCAGGAGCCAUAUCUGUCACAUGACUAUACUGUUUCAUGAAUGCUUGUGCCAAGUCCUUCCAUGAACCAAUUGUGGUGCAGCUCAGUUGAUUGUACCACUUAGAUGCUGCCUCUGCUAGGCUAUCUUGGAAACAGUGUAUUAAUAGCUGGUCAUUAUUAACGUAUCCAGCCAUUCGCCUGUAGAACAUGGUGAUAUGAGCCUCUGGGCAAGUCGUCCCAUUGUACUUCUCGAUUUCCGGCAUCUUAAACUUAUGAGAGAGUACCAAAUCAGGAACUAAGUUCAGCUCUUUAGCGUCAAUCCCACGACAGCUUUCAGUGACUUCCAUUGCCCUGAAUUUCUCCUCGAGCCAUUUGCACAUUUCCUCUAGCUAUUUUGGUAACUCCUCCUUUAUUCUUUCCCUCUUGGCCACUUCAACAAAGUCAGGAAUGGUAGAGUUCACAGGGUUGUUUUCGGGAUUAGAACCCGAUCCAGCUUGAAAGUUCGAAAUACCAGCCCGAAACUGCUUAAGCAUGAUGGUGACAGUAGACUUACACGAGUAUUCAGCUUGAGUUCGCAUAUGUGGAGGGGUGAAACCUGGUGGAUAGAGAGGUUCAUCAUCAUUUCCCUCAUCGACAUUUGCCAUGGGGCCCUUUCCUUUAUCACUUCCCUUAGUUAUCAGUUGGGCUAACUUUGCCACUAUAUCUUCGUGGGAUUCUCACAUCUUCUCAGACAUCUCUUGUUUCAUCUUGUCUAACCGCUCCUGCACCUGUAGCUGAAGUCGGUCCUGCAUCUUCUUUUGACACUGUUCGAGUUUUUCCAAUCUCUGAUCCAUGUCUUUAAUCUUUGCUUGAGUGUUGUAACAAUGUUUGGUUGAUUGGUUGGUUUCCAGGUUAACUGAGCAGUGAUUUUAAUUAAUUAGGAUCAUUUAAAGGUGUCUAAUGCACAUGAUGUAAUGAAAUGCAAAUGCAUGAAAUGAAUGUAAAAAAAAACGUUGAUUCAGGUUCAAUUUUUUUACUAGAAAACUUCUUUAGAAAGUAAAUCUCUUUACACAAAGUGGAUAUAUAUAUACGGCUUCGUCCUCGAGCUCCAAGCGAAGACAACGACCAUUAAUAUGCAUCUUGCGAAUCUUCUAAUAAGCAUCUACUAGCUCUUUUUUACUUCAUCCAGGUUGCAACUCCUUGAUCCUAUGCUUGUGAGCUUCUUUAAAAAGGUUGGGAUGUUUGACGACUCUUGAAUAAUCUUUGCUAAUCUUGAAUCAACGCAGCAAAGUCGUAUACUCCUAUUGUUACACUUCUUGCAUCACGCUUUCUUGGACUAUAUUCGGAGAACCGUAUUAUCUUCCACUUUAUCAAGAAACCCGUUUUCCAUGACAAGCUCUCUAUUUAGCAACCGAACAUGAAUCAACACCUCUUUUCUAUGAUGAAAUGCAAUGCAGUCAAAAUGUCAUGCAACCAAAUCAAAACAUAACAAGUUAGUAUCAGGUAUAAACAUUAUAUCCAAUACAAUCAAGAAAUAAUAAAAACUCCUAGUCAGGAAUCUACUAAGGUUUAGAGUACUUCUACCUAGGGUAAGUUCCUAAAGCUCACUAUAUGAGGUUUAGUUUCUAGAGUAAGGGUACCCGAACCAGCAAAUUCCUCGAUCCUCACCCAUUAUAGGCUCAUGUGGAUCGAGUUCAGUUCAGGGGGAUGCAUUUUCCUAUGGCUGCACGGAGAUGAAAAUCUCACGAAGACAUAGGUACAGAUAUAUCCCGGAAGCGGUCCACUACCCUGCACGGAGGUGAAAACCUCACGAAGGACUAGUUUCUCGCUCCCACUUAAGGGGGUAACACUGACCAUGCAAUGCAAAAUGCAAAUACAGAUCACCCAACUUGAUUCAAUCAUGCAAAUGAUGAAAAUCAAUCAAUGCGAAAGGAAAUCAUGAUUUUUAAAAAACUUUUGACUUUCGAUAAAAAAGACAAAGCAUAAUCAAUUCAUGGCUCGACUCUCAAAUGUCCUCAGCGGAGUCGCCAAGCUGUCGAAACCGCUUUUUUGGAAACAAAAAAAUUUUAGUUUCGUCUUAAAAAUAAAAACUGGAGUCGCCACUGGUCCUUUAUUAAGGUGUGAUCGGCCCACCUUAAAAAUAAUUUUGGUCUGCGAAAUUUGAGAAAACAGGUUUAAUGGUGGUGGCCCCCCUCAUUUUGGGCAUAUGUUUCAGCACUUAUCCAUUUUCAGACAAGGAAAUUAUUUAAUAAAGAAAAAGAAAAAUGGUGCACAUGGGAGCAUUUUCAAGCCCACCUUUGAGUUAUGAAAGACUGGGGUAGAUGGAAGUAAUUAACGGGCAAAGUGGGGUUAAGAAGGGUAAUUAAGAAAUGGUGCAGUGGAUGGAGUUAGAAAGAAGAGGAUACUCACGGGCAAGAGACAGGGGGUUUGGUUUUCUCAGCAAAAACGCGUGUGAAGAUGUGGAAUUGUCAAGCUUUUUGAAUUAUUUGUCCCCAAAAAAUAUAGAUGUGAAGAAAACACAUGCACCUUGUCGAAACCGUUUUUUUAGAAACAAAAAAAUUUUAGUUUCGUCUUAAAAAUAAAAACUGGAGUCGCCACCGAUCCUUUAUUAAGGUGUGCGGCCCACCUUAAAAAUAAUUUUGGUCUGCGAAAUUUGAGAAAACAGGUUCGGGAGUUAGUUACGCACGAGGAAGGAUUAGCACCCUCGUAACGCCCAAAAUUGGUACCAAAUUGAUUUUUUUAAUGCCUUGGUNNNNNNNNNNNNNNNNNNNNNNNNNNNNNNNNNNNNNNNNNNNNNNNNNNNNNNNNNNNNNNNNNNNNNNNNNNNNNNNNNNNNNNNNNNNNNNNNNNNNCAUGGGAGCAUUUUCAAGCCCACCUUUGAGUUAUGAAAGACUGGGGUAGAUGGAAGUAAUUAACGGGCAAAGUGGGGUUAAGAAGGGUAAUUAAGAAAUGGUGCAGUGGAUGGAGUUAGAAAGAAGAGGAUACUCACGGGCAAGAGACAGGGGGUUUGGUUUUCUCAGCAAAAACGCGUGUGAAGAUGUGGAAUUGUCAAGCUUUUUGAAUUAUUUGUCCCCCAAAAAAUAUAGAUGUGAAGAAAACACAUGCACCUUGUCGAAACCGUUUUUUUAGAAACAAAAAAAUUUUAGUUUCGUCUUAAAAAUAAAAACUGGAGUCGCCACCGAUCCUUUAUUAAGGUGUGCGGCCCACCUUAAAAAUAAUUUUGGUCUGCGAAAUUUGAGAAAACAGGUUCGGGAGUUAGUUACGCACGAGGAAGGAUUAGCACCCUCGUAACGCCCAAAAUUGGUACCAAAUUGAUUUUUUUAAUGCCUUGGUGUCGAAAAUUUGAAAAGAUUUUAAAAUGAAACUUUUUAUUUCAUGAAUGAAUCAAAAUAAUAAGACAUUCUUAUUUCAAAGAAAUGAAACACCACACCCAGUGAGUUAGGGCACAAUGUUUUUAAAUUUUCAAAAUACCCGAAUAUUGCCUUUUGCUUUUGAAAAUUCUUAUUUCGAGAAAUCAAAAUAUAAGGACCAGUAAGUUAGGACCCAACAUUUUGAAUCCCCGAGAAUAAGCUUUUAUUUAAAAUUUGUGAAUUUAAUGCAAAAUGAAUACUUAGCGUUCUAAAUUCAUCGAAGAAUAAUCGCAAUCCAGUAAGUUAGGACACGGUCUUUCUUGAGAAUCAUGAACGCCAAAUACUUUGAAAAUUUAUAAAAUAUGAUGAUUUCAAUGUUUUGACAAAACCAAAAUAUGUCUUCUUUAAAAGCAAGAUAAAAUGUUAAUAAACAACAUGGAACACGUACUUUAAUUUAAAUUAUAAAUAUGCAUGUAUUUACAAAAUAUAUAUACAAAUACAAUACACAAGUAAAUUUGAAAAUAUGUGCAUGCGUAUGUUUAACACACAUAUACAAGUAUACAUAUAAAAAAACAUGUAUAGCAGAACUUAUAAUAAUCUCUAAAAAUAUGUACGUAUAUUUCAUAAAACAUGUAUAUGUACAAAAAAUAGGAAAAAUACAUAUGUAUUGUAAAAUAUAUAUAUUUAUUUAUUUAUAAAAACUAUGAAAACAAAAAAAAACAAAUAUAUAAAUUAUGCACGUAUUAAAAUAUGUAUAUGUAUGUGUACAUAUAUGAAUGCAAAUAACUAGAAGAACAAACUAAUAUAUGAAAAAAAAGAUAGGUAUAAAAGUAUGUGGAUAUGUAUGCAUUUUAAAAAAAUAAAAGAAAUGUAUAAGUAUAUAUAUAUAUAUAAUGUAAAAUAUAUGAGUAAAAAAAUAAAAAAAUAAAAGACGUAUGUAAAAUGCAUGCAUUUUAAGAAUAUAUAUAUAUUAUAUAAAGAAUUAUGCAUAUAUGUACUAUAUAUAAAAAAAUCGUAUAUGAAUAUAGAAAUAGUAAUAAAUGAUAAUAAAUAAUAUAGUAAUAAUUUUAAAAAUAAAAAUUUUAAAAAACGAAUUGCAACAAAAACAAAAUAGCCAAAAAAUGAAAUUAAAAUAGAACAUGGACCAAUUUGCAACACACGCAUUAUAUGAGGGGCCCAAAUGGAAACAAUCCGCCUCCUUAAAAUGCUGCGCUGCAAUGGGGACCGAUUUGAAAUGAGGAAAAAACAUUCGGGCCAAAUUAAAAAGAGAUAACUGGCUUAAUAAAACAUGGCGCAAAGGGGAAGGACUUAUUUCGAAAUUAUCCCAUUUAAGGUUGAUAUGCGUGAACCCCCAAAUAAACAGCGCCAUCCUUGCUCUGCUCUGUUUUAAGUUUAAAAAAAACAAAUUUAGGGAAAUAUUUUGCCUUUCCCUUUGAAGCAGAAACUGCUUCUUUUAGGGUUUCCUUAACCCUUUGGCCGCCGUUCAGCCCACGGCCUUCGUCGACGGAGAAGACGCCGGCCCGUCGACUCCGAUGACCAGGUAAGUUUCUUCCUCCUUUCUUUUUAUUUUCAAUGAAAAAUAAAACAAUAAAAAAGGCUAAAAGAAAAAAAAACAAAAUGAAACUCAAAAUGCUGAGAAAAUGAAAAAACACCUUUUGUAUUCGGAAAAGAAAAUUUGUUUGUUGAUAUUAAAUCUUUUUUAUUGAUUCUUCCCAAAAAUCUCCCCUUUUUACAGAUUUAAAUCACCCUUAUAUAGCCGAAAAUUAGAGAGGAAAAUAAUCAAAAAUCGAAUCUAUAUCUUUUCUGUUAUUUCCCCUUAUUUUCCUAUUAUUUUAUUGUUUCGUGGUUGUUUAUUGUUUGUUGCAGGAGCCAACUGGAGGAGAACGUGUGGGGAAGGCGCGCAAAGGGCGGCGAUGAACGUGGCUGCUGUUGAGGAUGGCGGCUGGUGGUUUUUUCUACUUAGGGCUUCUGUUAUUUUUGUUUUUGGGCUAGGUUUAGUUUAUUGGGUUUGGGCCCAGGCAUAUUUGGGACUAUUACACACCUCAUGAAAAAUGUCAAAUAUUAUUUGAUUGGCUGGAAGGACGCGGAUUGGCAAGGACCACUUCACCCAUAUCUUCAUACUUGCUUGGUUGAUCAAUGGUUAAAAGGAGAGGACGACCCUGAAAUUCAGAAAAGAAUCGGUUCCCUUCCCCUUUCCCCUGCAAUUCCUAUUGUUUUGUUUUCUUGAUUUCCAAAUCCUUGUAGUAAUAAAUGAAAAAAAGAAGAUCCACACAGACAAUACCCUGUACAAUAUCUACUUUGCUUUUAAGCGCGUUCUAUCUUCGUCCUUAAUAACUCUUAUUUAUUCACAGUUUAAACUCUCAGAUUCUGGUUCGAUUUCAGUAUCAUCCUUAGUCCAUUUAAUUUAUUUAUUAUUUUAGAAACUCUUUUAUUAUUAUUUGUUUUAAGUUUUUUUAUUUAUCAUUUAUUGUAAACUGUUUUACAUGCUAUUUAUUUAAUUCUUUUAAUAUGUUAUUCAUUUUAAACCAUUAUAUGUACAUAAUCUUUUAAAUUCCUAUAUAUGUAUUUUUUUUAAAUGUUGUAUGUCUUUUAUUUAUUUGUUUUAAACUAUUAUUAUUCACUUUAAGUUUUUAUAUACUGUUUAUUUUGAAGCCUUUUAUUAUUUAUUUUUGAAUUGUUCUUGUAAAUUAUUUAUUUUAAAUUAUUAUUUGCUUUAAACUGUUUUGCAUAAUAUUUUGUUUUGUUUUCUUCGAUUGUUAAUGUUAGUAUUAAAAACGAUAUACAUUGUGUGAUUAUUGCCGUCAUGUGUACUAUAAUUAGCUUCUUCGUGUUUUCAUAUUAUUGUCUUUCAUCAAUGUAACAUUUUAUUCAUAAAUCGUUAUUUCAUGUUAUACAUUAUCAUUCCAUUUCAUUUCAUCACUUCGAAAGUUGCGUUCAAUUUUUAUAUACCCAUAAUAAACCGUUCUAUUUUAUCACAAAUAAAACAAAUGCACCUCGUUCAAGAAUUGUACUCGCUAUGAUUCAAAAAAAGGGAAAAGUUUUUUAAUAACGCAAUAUUUCGCGUUUUGGAGAUUCGAAAAAUUGUACCCUAACUUACGGGGUUUCAAUUUUCUCGUUAAAUCUAAAUAGCAAAAUAUCUUUUUAAAUUUCAAGAUAUACGAGAUUUCAAUAAAAAUUAAAGGCAAGCUUAUUCUCUAAGGUUCCAAAUAUCGUGUCCUAACUUACGGGACAUGACAUUUCGUUACCUCGAGACAAGUGGGUCUUUAACUCUCUUUUCAAUUUAUUCAAGCGUUUUUUUAUUAGCAUUAACAAAAAAAGGAUCGUAUUUUAAAAUAUUUUCAAAAUUUUAACUUUUGACAUUAAGACAUUAAUUAAUCAACUAGGUACCAAUUUUGGGCGUAUCGAGGGUGCUAAUCAUUCCUCGUGCGUAACCGACUCCAGAACCCAUUUUCUGGAUUUUGUAGACUAAAAAUUACCGUUUUAGUAUAUUUAAAAUUUUAUUAAAAUGAUUAAAUUAUAAGGUGAUCUGAUCACACCUAAAUAAAAAGGAUUGGUGGCGACUCCAUUUUCGUUUUUAAAUAAAAAGUUGACCCUUUUUUCAAAAAAAUGGUUUCGACAACCCUUAUGUCCGUUUUCGGAUCACAAGAAUUCUAUGAAUUAAAAAAAUAAUCCUACAUGGAGAUGAUAGUCCAUGGUCUAUUUCCUAAGAACCACAACAUUAACAAAGCAAACAAUUAGAUAACAAAUAUAUAAUAUCGCAUUCAUUCCUACAUAUAACACAAAAAUAUGUAUAAGAUCUAAAGAAUGUCACUUUCUAUGUAAUCAAAUCAUUCAAGAAGUGAAUUUUAUUUUGAUUAUCUGUUUAUACUUAUCGAUAGAGCAAAACCUGGUUCUGAUACUAAUUGUUCAAAAAUGAGUUUUUGAAAAUGCAGCAAAAAUCAAUUUAGGGAAAAGCCUAAGUUUAAAAAAAUUCUAAAAUAAGAAUUUAGUUGUGAUAUCUAAAGUAAUAAACACUUAAUAAAAAUUGUACCUUUUCGAUUCGUCUAUGAUGAAUGCUUCAUUGAGUAGUCUUUUCUAUUAUCCUCAAACUCACGUUUGCCGAGUCACAAUAACAUUAAACAAGUGCAACAACUAAACCAAUGCUGAUAGCACUUAAAGGCAAUGGUUGAAGCAAACAACAAUUGAAAAAAAAAUGAAAGAAUCGGUGUUGCAAAUUUUUAAGAUUAGCACAAUGGCCACAAGGUAAUUGACGGCUAUAAUAAAGGGUUGAUCGACAAAUGCACAGCAGGCUAAAACAACAAGAAAUUGAAGCUAAUCAGCACCCAAAUAACAGGCAACACAUUUAGAUGGCAAACAGUAGAAGGUUAAGCAACAAAAUUGAAGCAAAUUAAAUAGCAAGUCAGUAACAAAAGGAACCAGUAGCAGCUAAUUGGAAGUUGAUUGAUAAGUAUUUGGUAAAACAACGUUAUUUGACCAACAUGCAAAAUAGUACACAUGCAUACACCACUCACAAUUGAUUUGAAUCCCACACCUCAAUUACAAUCCAUAGAACAUUAACAAUUGACCGGAGCACCACUACAACUCGGAUUCGUCUCGAUUCCUUCUUAACGCUACACCGGUUUGAAGAUUUGCGUUAAUAGUCGAUCAACAAUAAUGAAUGCUCACUAACCAAGCUAAGAGGGUUCGGUCAAGGGGUGAGAAAUAAUGAUGACAAGGGCAACAAAAACUUCAAUGUGCGACUACAGGAGAAGGAGAAAUGGACAUCAAUGGAGAAUCAAAAAUGGCAGAAAAUUCUAAACAAAAUAUUGAUAUUAAAAAGGCAAGGAUUCAGCCAAAUAAAUUGGAGAAGUGAUAGGCAAAAGGGCAGCACAAAUAGAAAAUAAAACUUGUGUUUUAGGUUGCAAUAAUGGUGGAUUAUGAGAGAAAAUUGAAGAAUAAUGGAGAGGAAAAAUGAAGGGGACGACAAUAGCUUGAGAAAAAUAAAUAAAAUAGGCUAAACAUAAAAUAAAAUGCAAUUUAUACCGAGGUUAAAAAGGGCUUGGAAGGCAACAAGGUUUUGGGGAGCAAAAACAUUGAAAAAAUAAAAGUUUGCAAGGGAAGGGAAUCAAACUCAAGUCUUAAGGUCAAUUUCACUAACUCUUUACCAGUAUGCCAAUUACUUAUCCUUUUUAUAAAUGCUCAAACAAAACCUUAAAAAUUAGGGCAAGACAACUUUCAGUUCACUAACCCGAUUUCUUCCGACUCAAUUCCUUCUGACCCAAUUUUUGGGACAUGACAAAACUAUUAGUAAGUUUAUGUUUCGUUUUAGUCACUUAACUUCAAAAUGCUACAAAAUGGUCAAUAAACUAUUCAAAAGUUUUCAUUUAAGUCAUUGGUUUGUUAAGUUUUUUUUUUUUUAAGUUUGAUUAAUGAGCUCCAAGCGAUGAUUCGACGAUUGAUGUAGAGAAUCUAUACCCAUUGACGAGUGGAACAUAUCUUAGAUCCAAGCUAACCUGCCAUUUAGUGUAGGAGAUUGGAGAAAAAAAGUUGUUCGAAUUUUGGUUCACAAAUUUGUGACGUUCAAAACUGUUUCAUGAAUAUAAAUUAUGUUGUAAAAGAGAAGAGAAAUGUAAGCUUUUAAUUGAUACAAACGGUGCAAACAAAGGUCAUAUAGUAACAAUUUUAAAAGCCUGAUGACUUAAAUGAAAAUUUUUGUAUAAUUCAGUAAUCAUUUUAUAAUUUUUUAAAAUUAACUAAAACAUAAACUUAUUAAUAAUUUAAUAACCUCAAUUGCCAUUUACCCAUAAAACUAUUGAGACCAUUCUAAAAAGUGAUGCAUUAAUUAUAUCUUUUAUCUUUUAUAUAUUGUUUCGAUUAAUACCUAAAUUAUUUGUACGAGAAAAAAAUCAAAAUGAAAUGCAACAUGUUCUGAACUUUUAUUAAAGCUCAUCUUUUUGUUGAAGAUACCCCAAUCCAUGAUUUCAACAUUGGAAUUUUUGAAAGUCCCUAGUAAUAGUAUGAAUUAUGAAAUUUCAAAAAACCAUAUUCUUAUUUAUUGUUAAUUUCAAGCUAAUUUUAAUAGCUAUACUUACAUCUGUCUUUAGAAUUUGCAAAACAAAUAGAAAGUUCACUUUAAAUGUAUAAAAAUGAAUAAACAAAACUCACCUUCAUUUCUGAUAGCAAAUAAGAAAUAUGAAAAAAAAAAACAAAAAAAGAAAUACAUAUUUUCUUUGAAGACGCUUCAAAUGAAACAAAUAUGAAAAACAUAGUUGUAGGAGUGUUUAAUUGCUUAAUCGAUCCGUUAACCAAAUCGAAUUAGUAUUAACUGAAUUAGUAUUAACUAAAUCGAAAUUAUCAUGAAAAAAUUCAAACUUAUAAAUCCCUAUCCCGAAAAAAAAAACUGAAGCAUCCAGAAAAUACAUCAAGCAUUGAACUAAAAAAGAACAUAUCACUAUUCAUAGUUGUAGAGGAGGAUUAGACACUGCUGCUAGUCAUGGGUGAAGAAAUAUGCCAACCAAAGACAUAUUGUUGUGUCUGGCGGGGUUAUUCUACCUAUACCAAAAACAUGUUAUUUCAGCAUUACAAUGAAAAUUUUGAUACAGUGACAAUUAAAUGAAAUAAAUUUUAUCAUGUUACGAAUAAAAAUUCAUAAGAGGAAUUUCUAUUGCAUUCUAUAUUUUUCAUAAUCUUUACAGGUAGUAUACUCUACUAUAUAUAGAAAGAUUAGACUCUUCAUAUUCUAAGACAUAAAUAAGAAAAAGGGGUUAUAAAGAGAUGAAAGUUUAAAGAUUAAAGAAAAUGAAAGAUUAAGGUCAAGAGAGAUGAAAGGUGAAAGGUUGAACAUCCACUUAAUAAUAUUAAUAAUAAAUAUUUUAAAUGUAACAAAAAUCAUAAAAAUAAUAGAAACACCGCUCCAAAUGAACCAAUUCUACUCAAGCAAUUACUGAAACUUAAAGGAAAACGUGAGAGCAUAGAUUAAUUAUUUUUUAAUAAGUUAAUUUCACCAAAUAUUUUAAAUUAUUACCCGCAUUCUAAAUUAAUUCACUUUUGAAAUAUUGUGAUUAAUUGCUCACUUUCGAAAUUAGUAGGGAUUAAAUUGUUUCGAUUUUUUAGAGGGACCAAUUUGCUGAAUAUCAAAAUUGAGAGGGACUAGAGAGGUUGUUUUACCUAGUUUAAUAAUUAAAUGACAUGUUAAAUCUUAUGUGACAUAAUUUAAAAUGAAAAUUUAAAAAAAAAUUGUAGAAAUAGUUGUUUUAAAAAUCUUGGUUUUGAAGUUUUUACAAAAAUUUUAUUGUUCAUUUUUUAAAAUUUUCAGUUUUAUUUAAUUUUAGUUUGUUUAAAAUUUUCAUUUUAAAAUUAGCUAUAUAAAAUUUAACAUGUCAUUUAAUAAUUUUAAUAAUAAAAUGAUCUGAUUAAUAUAACAUCAAUAAUUUAGAAAUGUAAUUAGAUCAGCUUGAAGUUUGAAAAUAGAUUUAAAAUAAUGGUCAAACUUUAGGGGUGGUUGAUGAAUUAACUCAUUUCUAAUGGAGCUAAUAAUUAAGACUGCUAUAGGACAAAGUGAGAAAGUGGAAAGCAGAGUGAAAAUAUGACCCAAAGACUCACCUUUUUCUAAGUCGUCUCCUAUCAUAAUUGCAUAAUAAAUGGAUGGGGCCAUUACCAACAUCAAUAAUUUAGAUCCCGAUUUUGUAUAAAAUUAUUAAAAAAAACUCACAAUUAUUCAUAAAUAGAAAAAUGUAUAUAAAAAUUCUAGAAAAAUAAAAUCUUGAACACGUUGUUUCCUAACUAAAUUGUAUGAGAAAUAAAGAAAAUUAUCAUUCAAUAACAUUCGAUAACAAAUUAAAAUCAAAACAAAACAAAACAAAAAAACGUUAGAUUAUUAUAUGUUUCCUGAAUAUUUCUCGAAACUAAAUUAGUAGUAUUAUCAAGUUGAGUUUCAUGCCCUUGAAGAACAUCUAAAACUGAUAUUACAAUUACUUAUGAAAUUGACCUUGAUGCCAUAUUUUUAGUUAAAAGAGUACAAAAUAUACCAUCAUUUUUCUUUUUCAAACUCAAUUCAAAAUUUCAUUACAUUUUAAUUUUUUUUUCAAAACCCAAAUUGUAAAAUGAAAAUAUAUUCAGAAAUUUAUCUUUUCUUAUAAUGUAAAAGCUAUGUCAAGUAAUUGAUGAGGUAAAAAAGCAUAGAACAAAUAAAUUUGCUUCAUAGUUUUUUCUAUGUUUGUUUUUAAAAUAAUGAGUAUUGAAUAUUUCAAUAUAGAUAACAUAGAGAAAUUUUGUAGGGUUUAAAAAUAAUUAUCCCCUAAUUUUCUCACUUUAUUUAUUUUUAAAAUUUUUAUUUUACUUUUAUUUAUUUUUUAAUUUUAUAAUGUUCUAAAAUUUUAAAAAUAAUUUCAACUUUUUAUCAUUUUAUAUAUUAUCAAAACAAAAUUCACCGAAAAAUUUUAGGACUAAAAUUUUUAUUAAAUCAUUUAAAAAGUUUCACUUAACAGUUGAGUGACAAAAAAAUAAUAAUUUCAAAAAAAUUAGUGGUGAAAUUGUAGUGAUUAAAACAAAAAUUAGCAAUAGCUUAGUGGCUAAUAGACCUGUCCAUGGGCCGGGCGGCCCGCCCAAAAUAUGGGAGGGUUUGGGUAAAAAUAUAGGCCCGAAAUAUGGGCUUGGGAAAAAUUUUAGGCCCGUUUAAAAAAUGGGCCGGGCCUCGGGUAAGAUUUUUUGGGCCCGGGCCCGGCCCGAAAAAUAUUAAAUAUAUAUUUUUUAUUUUUAAAAUAUAAUAGUUUUUUAUUUUAAGUUUAUUUACUUUCAUUUCCUUAACUAGUGUUACAAAAUAAUAAUAAUAAAACAUCAAGUUUGUUUUACUAAUCAAAUGUUAGAUUUUGUUACAACAAUUAAUACAAUUAAUACAAUUAAUAAUUUGAUAAAUUUAGUAAUCAAAUGUUAGAUUUUAUUACAACAAUUAAUACAAUUAAUACAAUUAAUAUUUUGAUAAAUUUACUAAUCAAAUGUUAGAUUUUAUUACAACAAUUAAUACAAUUAACAAUUAAUAAUUUGAUAAUUUUACUAACAAUUAAUUUUAAUAACAAUUAGUUUUAAUUUUAUUAAAAAAAUAAUUUUAAUUUUAAUUUUAAUUAAAAACGGGCCGGGCCGGGCCGGGCUCGGGCCCCAUAUUUUUUCUUCGGGCCGGGCCUGGGCAAAAUCUCAGGCCCAUAUUUCGGGCCGGGCCCGGGCCUAGUAAACGGGCUGAAAUUUUUUGUGGGCCCAGCCCGAACCCAGCCCGGCCCGGCCCAUGGACAGGUCUAGUGGCUAAUAAUGUAACUUUUUUUUGGUACAAUGAUAAUUCGAAAUUUGGCUAUUCCUAAAAAAGGUGAACAUCCAAUCAUAUUUAUUCACAUAUUACAAACAUCCAUAUGUAACCAAUUCUCCCAAAUUAAAAUCAAAUUUUAAUAUCAACAACUUUAACAACUCAUAAAUAGGAAGAUAAUAUGUUUCGGUACACUUGAAACCACAUCCUUCUACAUUAACAACAAUUACUAUGACAAUGAAGCUAAGACUCAAUUCAUAAUACCAAUAUAUUUUUGUUAUACCUAAUAAAGUUAUUUACCAGUAUAUUAGACAGUCUUAUACCCUAGUUUCCCAUACUUUCCCCUUAUUAUCGUGAUGAUGAUGAUGAUGAUGUUACAAUUGAGCACCAAGAUCACUGUAAUACUUGUUUUAAUUGGUAUAAUAAUAAUAAUUUAUUCCUAUUUUUUUUAUAUAUUUUCUAUCAAUUUGACUCUGAUUUUGUAUAAAAUUAUUAAAAAAAACUCAAAAUUUUAAAAAUAAAAAAAUGUUUAUAAAAAUUCUAGAAAAAUAAAAUCUUGAAUAUGUUGUUGAAUAACUAAAUUGUACGAGAAAUAAAGCAAAUUACCAUUCAAUAAAAUAUGAUAACAAAUUAAAAACAGAACAAAACCAAAAAAAGCUUCCUCAAUGUUUCUCGAAACCAAAUUAGUAAUAUUAUCAAGUUGAGUUUCAUGCCCUUGAAGAACAUCUAGAACUCAUAUUACCAAGGCUUAUGAAAUUGAUCCUAAUGCCAUUUUUUUAGUCAAGAUAUAUAACAAAAUUUCCUUUUUCAAACUUAAUUCAAUUUUUCAUUGCAUUUAAAUUAUUUUUCAAAACUCAAAUUAUAAAAUUAAAUUAUAUUUAGAGAACAAAUUUAUAAUGUAAAAACUAUGUCAAGGAACAGAGAACAAAUAAUUUUACUUAAUGUUUUUUCUACGUUUUUUACUAAAGAAUUUGUAUUGGAUAUUUCGAUACAAAUAAUAUAGAGAAAUUUUGUAGUGCCCAAAAACAAUUCUCUCUCAUUUUCUCACUUUAUUUAUUUUUGAAAUUUUUAUCUACUUUUAUUUAAUUUUUUAUUUUAUAAUGUUCUAAAAUUUUAAAAAUAAUUUUAAUUUUUUACCAUUUUAUAUAUUUUCAAAUUCAAAUUGACUGAAAGUAUAAAAUUUGAGGAUUAAAAUUGUUAUUAUAUCAAUUAAAAAAGUGUCACUUAACAUUUGAGUGACAAAAAAAAAACAAUUUCAAAAACAUUAGUGAUGAAAUUGUAACCUUUUUAAUUAAGUGACCAAAAAAAAAAUACCCAUAGUUUAGUGACUAAUAGUGUAGNNNNNNNNNNNNNNNNNNNNNNNNNNNNNNNNNNNNNNNNNNNNNNNNNNNNNNNNNNNNNNNNNNNNNNNNNNNNNNNNNNNNNNNNNNNNNNNNNNNNAAAACUCAAAAUUAUUUAUAAAAUAGAAAAAUGUAUAUUAUUCAACAUAGGGAUUCUUUACCCAAAUCAUAUAAAAAUAAUUAAUUAUGAAAAUGGUAUGGAAAAUAAAUUAAUUACAAAAAUAAGGCAUUUGGUACAAUGUUCUGCUGGUGUCGCCUAACAUAUUGGUAGCACCAGAUUAAAAUGUGAUGAUCUAAAAUAUUCAAAGACUUGAUAUGUAAAUUUCUCAUUUUGAUUGACUGUUGAAAAUAAGCUAUAAGAGUGAUGUGUGAUAGUGUCGCGGCACAAAAUCUUAAAUAAGAUUAAUUUCCUUGUAAACCCUCAUUAUUUAUUAUUUUAUUGUUAUUCUCCUUCAACACCAAAAUCAGAAAGGUUUCUUACCAAUUAAUCUAGGUCAAAUUAUAUUGGCAUAAAAGUUAACACUAUUGAUAGUAAUUUUCUUUGGCUCAUAUUAUAUCUAAGAAACUAUAAAUUUAACUAAUAAUUAUAAUUUAUAUAUAGUAAAUAUUNNNNNNNNNNNNNNNNNNNNNNNNNNNNNNNNNNNNNNNNNNNNNNNNNNNNNNNNNNNNNNNNNNNNNNNNNNNNNNNNNNNNNNNNNNNNNNNNNNNNNNNNNNNNNNNNNNNNNNNNNNNNNNNNNNNNNNNNNNNNNNNNNNNNNNNNNNNNNNNNNNNNNNNNNNNNNNNNNNNNNNNNNNNNNNNNNNNNNNNNNNNNNNNNNNNNNNNNNNNNNNNNNNNNNNNNNNNNNNNNNNNNNNNNNNNNNNNNNNNNNNNNNNNNNNNNNNNNNNNNNNNNNNNNNNNNNNNNNNNNNNNNNNNNNNNNNNNNNNNNNNNNNNNNNNNNNNNNNNNNNNNNNNNNNNNNNNNNNNNNNNNNNNNNNNNNNNNNNNNNNNNNNNNNNNNNNNNNNNNNNNNNNNNNNNNNNNNNNNNNNNNNNNNNNNNNNNNNNNNNNNNNNNNNNNNNNNNNNNNNNNNNNNNNNNNNNNNNNNNNNNNNNNNNNNNNNNNNNNNNNNNNNNNNNNNNNNNNNNNNNNNNNNNNNNNNNNNNNNNNNNNNNNNNNNNNNNNNNNNNNNNNNNNNNNNNNNNNNNNNNNNNNNNNNNNNNNNNNNNNNNNNNNNNNNNNNNNNNNNNNNNNNNNNNNNNNNNNNNNNNNNNNNNNNNNNNNNNNNNNNNNNNNNNNNNNNUUUCAUCAUGUUUCUGUCUGCCACCCAUCCAUAGCUCCAUCUAAUAAACGCCAUUGCUUGAAACUUGCAUUCAUGUUUCCUUUUCAUGGUUACACAGACAUAUCAAUACUUCAUCCAAUACAUUCAAAGAUUUUCAUUAUCUGCUACUGUUAUAUAUGAUUGCAUUGCAGGGACAUAGCAAUGGAGUACGUAGAGCCUGUUGCUGCCAUUGCAAAUUGUCUCGGAAGUCCUGUUUGUAAAUAUUUGCAAUAUCACAGAAAGCUGAACGAUUAUGUGAGAAACUUCAAGAGGAUCAGAGAUAAAUUGAAUUGCAAAAUGGAAGAUAUAGAGCUGCAAUUGAAAGCAGAGCUUCUUCGUCCUCUGGGGAAGAUACCGAAGAAGGGAGUUGAAAAUUGGUUGAAAGAUGUGAAAGAGAUGAUUAGGGAAACACAAGUUGUUGAAAACAAAGUCAGUAAUGGGAGAUAUCUCUGUCGUGCUUGCAACGGGAAGCUGGUUGAUAAAAAGUCUCGACAAAUGCAGGAAUAUCUUGAUAAAACUCCUAAAGCCUCUGAAGGUCUUGCCGUGGAUGGUCCAAGUUCUGGGUUGCCACUGGAAACAUCAGAACUAGUUGGAGAGGAAGCUGUCAGAAAAGAGAUUUGGGCAUGUUUGAUGCAGGAGGAGGUAAGCAAGAUUGGGGUUUGGGGGAUGGGCGGCGUGGGUAAAUCGACCAUCAUGAAGCACAUCCACAAUGAUCUUUUGAAAGAACAACGAUUUGAAAGGGUGGUUUGGGUUACUAUAUCAAAGGAGUUUAAUAUUGUGAAGUUACAAAAUGAUAUUGCAAGUGCAUNNNNNNNNNNNNNNNNNNNNNNNNNNNNNNNNNNNNNNNNNNNNNNNNNNNNNNNNNNNNNNNNNNNNNNNNNNNNNNNNNNNNNNNNNNNNNNNNNNNNNNNNNNNNNNNNNNNNNNNNNNNNNNNNNNNNNNNNNNNNNNNNNNNNNNNNNNNNNNNNNNNNNNNNNNNNNNNNNNNNNNNNNNNNNNNNNNNNNNNNNNNNNNNNNNNNNNNNNNNNNNNNNNNNNNNNNNNNNNNNNNNNNNNNNNNNNNNNNNNNNNNNNNNNNNNNNNNNNNNNNNNNNNNNNNNNNNNNNNNNNNNNNNNNNNNNNNNNNNNNNNNNNNNNNNNNNNNNNNNNNNNNNNNNNNNNNNNNNNNNNNNNNNNNNNNNNNNNNNNNNNNNNNNNNNNNNNNNNNNNNNNNNNNNNNNNNNNNNNNNNNNNNNNNNNNNNNNNNNNNNNNNNNNNNNNNNNNNNNNNNNNNNNNNNNNNNNNNNNNNNNNNNNNNNNNNNNNNNNNNNNNNNNNNNNNNNNNNNNNNNNNNNNNNNNNNNNNNNNNNNNNNNNNNNNNNNNNNNNNNNNNNNNNNNNNNNNNNNNNNNNNNNNNNNNNNNNNNNNNNNNNNNNNNNNNNNNNNNNNNNNNNNNNNNNNNNNNNNNNNNNNNNNNNNNNNNNNNNNNNNNNNNNNNNNNNNNNNNNNNNNNNNNNNNNNNNNNNNNNNNNNNNNNNNNNNNNNNNNNNNNNNNNNNNNNNNNNNNNNNNNNNNNNNNNNNNNNNNNNNNNNNNNNNNNNNNNNNNNNNNNNNNNNNNNNNNNNNNNNNNNNNNNNNNNNNNNNNNNNNNNNNNNNNNNNNNNNNNNNNNNNNNNNNNNNNNNNNNNNNNNNNNNNNNNNNNNNNNNNNNNNNNNNNNNNNNNNNNNNNNNNNNNNNNNNACCAUAAUUUCAUCAUGUUUCUGUCUGCCACCCAUCCAUAGCUCCAUCUAAUAAACGCCAUUGCUUGAAACUUGCAUUCAUGUUUCCUUUUCAUGCUUACACUCACAUAUCAAUACUUCAUCCAAUACAUUCACAAAUUUUCAUUGAUUUUAUUUGUUUUUUUUUUGUUUUUUUUAUUUUUAUUUUACUUUUUUUCCAUUUAUUAUCUUUUGAAUUAUAUUUUUAUUUUUAUGAUUAUUUCUAGUUGAGUUGUAACAUUUUAACCUUCUUCACUAUUUGUGUUUAUUUUCUUAUUAGUUUGGUCAAAACCAUGCAUUCCAUUUUCAAUUGCCUACAAUUCCGAUUUUCACUAUUAUGGUAAUUUCAUACAUAUUUAGGAUAGUUUCAAUUUUCUCCCUCUCUUAUGAUAUUUUAUCUUUUUAAUUAACCCUUAGUAAAUCCCAUUGAGCCUAACACACCAUUACUUGAUUUACCUAUUAAUGUUAACUUAUAACUCAUUUUUUCGUUGAGACUUUUUUCCGUUUUAUUCACUCCCUUUUUGUCGAGAUUUGAUUUGGUUAGUUUCUUAGCUAUGCUCUUUUGGUUGAUUUACUAAAUUAUUUCUUAUUGUUCUUGUAAAAAAAAGAUUGAAAAGAAAAAAAUAUAUUUAUUAUUAAUUAGUUUUAUUUGUUGAUUGAGAAUAAUUAAAUUCAUAUUUUGAGAAUAAGUUGGUUUUUGUUCAUGAAUAGUUUAAAUUACAUUGGUAAAAAACAAAACUUGCUUGUACAAGUGUCCAAGCUGUUAAAUCAGCUUAAUGACAACCUAAAUGACUACUAAAAACAGCUAAGUACAUCAUUAAACCUUAGCUGAACAAAAAAUGAAUACAAACAACUUGUAAAAGAGAGAGUCAACUAAUACAAAAGCUUUUCAAUCGAGUUACACCUUGGACAUUAGCAUGCAGCUACUGUAAUGUUUGGUUACUUGCAUGCUGCAGUUGUGUUGCUUGGUUUCUUGCAUGCUGCUGCUGUGUUGCCACCUUUUAACAGUAAUGAACUGUUGCACACUUGAAUUUAGCAUUUUAUAUACACCGAGAGCCUAAUUCUGGUGACCAGAAUUUCAUGAUCAUGUUUCUGUCUGCCACCCAUCCAUAGCUCCAUCUAAUAAACGCCAUUGCUUGAAACUUGCAUUCAUGUUUCCUUUUCAUGGUUACACAGACAUAUCAAUACUUCAUCCAAUACAUUCAAAGAUUUUCAUUAUCUGCUACUGUUAUAUAUGAUUGCAUUGCAGGGACAUAGCAAUGGAGUACGUAGAGCCUGUUGCUGCCAUUGCAAAUUGUCUCGGAAGUCCUGUUUGUAAAUAUUUGCAAUAUCACAGAAAGCUGAACGAUUAUGUGAGAAACUUCAAGAGGAUCAGAGAUAAAUUGAAUUGCAAAAUGGAAGAUAUAGAGCUGCAAUUGAAAGCAGAGCUUCUUCGUCCUCUGGGGAAGAUACCGAAGAAGGGAGUUGAAAAUUGGUUGAAAGAUNNNNNNNNNNNNNNNNNNNNNNNNNNNNNNNNNNNNNNNNNNNNNNNNNNNNNNNNNNNNNNNNNNNNNNNNNNNNNNNNNNNNNNNNNNNNNNNNNNNNUCCUAAUGCCAUUUUUUUAGUCAAGAUAUAUAACAAAAUUUCCUUUUUCAAACUUAAUUCAAUUUUUCAUUGCAUUUAAAUUAUUUUUCAAAACUCAAAUUAUAAAAUUAAAUUAUAUUUAGAGAACAAAUUUAUAAUGUAAAAACUAUGUCAAGGAACAGAGAACAAAUAAUUUUACUUAAUGUUUUUUCUACGUUUUUUACUAAAGAAUUUGUAUUGGAUAUUUCGAUACAAAUAAUAUAGAGAAAUUUUGUAGUGCCCAAAAACAAUUCUCUCUCAUUUUCUCACUUUAUUUAUUUUUGAAAUUUUUAUCUACUUUUAUUUAAUUUUUUAUUUUAUAAUGUUCUAAAAUUUUAAAAAUAAUUUUAAUUUUUUACCAUUUUAUAUAUUUUCAAAUUCAAAUUGACUGAAAGUAUAAAAUUUGAGGAUUAAAAUUGUUAUUAUAUCAAUUAAAAAAGUGUCACUUAACAUUUGAGUGACAAAAAAAAAACAAUUUCAAAAACAUUAGUGAUGAAAUUGUAACCUUUUUAAUUAAGUGACCAAAAAAAAAAUACCCAUAGUUUAGUGACUAAUAGUGUAGCCUUUUUUUGGUAAAAUGAAAAUUUGACCCUGAUUUUGUAUUAAAAAAACUCAAAAUUAUUUAUAAAAUAGAAAAAUGUAUAUUAUUCAACAUAGGGAUUCUUUACCCAAAUCAUAUAAAAAUAAUUAAUUAUGAAAAUGGUAUGGAAAAUAAAUUAAUUACAAAAAUAAGGCAUUUGGUACAAUGUUCUGCUGGUGUCGCCUAACAUAUUGGUAGCACCAGAUUAAAAUGUGAUGAUCUAAAAUAUUCAAAGACUUGAUAUGUAAAUUUCUCAUUUUGAUUGACUGUUGAAAAUAAGCUAUAAGAGUGAUGUGUGAUAGUGUCGCGGCACAAAAUCUUAAAUAAGAUUAAUUUCCUUGUAAACCCUCAUUAUUUAUUAUUUUAUUGUUAUUCUCCUUCAACACCAAAAUCAGAAAGGUUUCUUACCAAUUAAUCUAGGUCAAAUUAUAUUGGCAUAAAAGUUAACACUAUUGAUAGUAAUUUUCUUUGGCUCAUAUUAUAUCUAAGAAACUAUAAAUUUAACUAAUAAUUAUAAUUUAUAUAUAGUAAAUAUUUUUUAAAGUUUUUAUAAUUAUAAUUUUAUAUGGUGCCCUUAAAUUAAAUUGAUAAUAAGAAUAUGUGUAAUGGCAAAUAGCAAAGAAAAAAGCUAAAAGAAAAAGUAAUAAAAAUAGGAUUUCAUCCUAAUAAUUCUGCCUUUGUACGGAUCCUACCAGAGGCUUCAUAAUUUGCCUGUUUUUGUUGGAUCUUUCAGCAAGCAAAAAAAAGCAAAACCAAAAUGGAAGCAAAAGAAAACUAAAAAUGAAAAAAACUUCAAAAAAUUGUAACUGAAAAGUCAUUAUAAUUUCAUUCAAAUUUUGAAUAUAUGAGGGUUACAAACAAUUUGACAGUUACCUACUGAUUUUAACUGCUCCUACUUAAUACUUACUAAAAAUAUAGCAACUUGUAUACAAAAGAAAGUUGGCAUACCAGCUAUUACAUCAAUCAAUCUUUCCUACUAACUUAGCUAACACAUUACAAAGAUUUGGACUAAGUUCUGUAAGAACAAAAUAUUCAAAACAUAACUCUAUAACAGAACCAACUCAAUUUCUUUACUUCAAAACAGUAUGGCAGCUCAAUUGUCCAAUUUGCUACUACUGGUCUUUGAUCAGUUUGCUGCUGUUGGUUCUCUGUUGCACUGCAGGCCACGGUUUCAACACUCCUCCUUGGACUGUAUGCAACAGACACCAAUCUUUUCUUUCAAGGCAUUAAAUCGGUUAGCUCCCAAUGGUUUAGUUAAAAUGUCAGCUAACUGAAUCUCUGAACUACAAUGAACUAAGCUAACCUCCCUCAAUUGCUCAACUUCUCUAACAAAAUGGAAUUUGAUUUUGAAGUGUUUAGUCUUACCAUGGAAGACUGGAUUCUUGGCUAUGGCCACAGCUGAUUGAUUAUCCACACUAAUCUCAGUAGGCUGAGUUUGAUUUUCAUUCAAAUCAUCCAAAAUCUUCCUAAGCCAAAUGGCUUGAUUUACUGCUGCUGCAGCUGAGAUAUACUCAGCCUCUGCUGUAGACUGUGCAACAGUUUGUUGCUUCUUUGAACUCCAGUUGAAAACACUCGAGCCUAAAGUAAAGAAGUAACCUGAAGUGCUCCUCAUGUCAUCAACUGACCCUGCCCAAUCGCUAUCAGAAUAGCCUGCAAGUUUCAGCUCCUUUGUCCUCCAAAACUUUACACCAGCAUCGAUGGUUCCUUUGACAUACCUUAACACUCUUUUUGCUGCCUUCAGAUGUGCCACAUUACUGCAGUGCAUAAAUCUUGAAAGUAGACUAACAACAUAGACAAUGUCUGGUCUAGUUGCUGUUAAAUAAAGCAAGCAGCCAAUUAAGCUUCUAUAUGCUUUCUCAUCUACUCGAUCAUGCUCACUUGUACUUGACAAUUUUUCCCCCAAUGCAAUUGGUGUAGUGACUGAUUUGUAUAUAAAAUUUGACCCUGAUUUUGUAUUAAAAAAACCCAAAAUUAUUUAUAAAAUAGAAAAAUGUAUAUUAUUCAACAUAGGGAUUCUUUACCCAAAUCAUAUAAAAAAUAAUUAAUUAUGAAAAUGGUAUGGAAAAUAAAUUAAUUACAAAAAAAGGCAUUUGGUACAAUGUUCUGCUAGUGUCGCCUAACAUAUUGGUAGCACCAGAUUAAAAUGUGAUGACCUAAAAUAUUCAAAGACUUGAUAUGUAAAUUUCUCAUUUUGAUUGGCUGUUGAAAUUAAGCUAUAAGAGUGAUGUGUGAUAGUGCAGCGGCACAAAAUCUUAAAUAGGAUUAAUUUCUUUGUAAACCCUCAUUAUUUAUUAUUUUAUUGUUAUUCUCCUUCAACACCAAAAUCAAAAAGGUUUCUUACCAAUUAAUCUAGGUCAAAUUAUGUCUGGCAUAAAAGUUAACACUAUUGAUAGUAAUUUUCUUUGGCUCAUAUUAUAUCUAAGAAACUAUAAAUUUAACUAAUAAUUAUAAUUUAUAUAUAGUAAAUAUUUUUUAAAGUUUUUCUAAUUAUAAUUUUAUAUGGUGCCCUUAAAUUAAAUUGAUAAUAAGAAUAUGUGUAAUGGCAGACAGCAAAGAAAAAAGCUAAAAGAAAAAGUAAUAAAAAUAGGAUUUCAUGCUAAUAAUUCUGCCUUUGUACGGAUCCUACCAGAGACUUCAUAAUUUGCCUGUUUUUAUCUUCACUUUCUUCUUAUUUCUUCUUCNNNNNNNNNNNNNNNNNNNNNNNNNNNNNNNNNNNNNNNNNNNNNNNNNNNNNNNNNNNNNNNNNNNNNNNNNNNNNNNNNNNNNNNNNNNNNNNNNNNNNNNNNNNNNNNNNNNNNNNNNNNNNNNNNNNNNNNNNNNNNNNNNNNNNNNNNNNNNNNNNNNNNNNNNNNNNNNNNNNNNNNNNNNNNNNNNNNNNNNNNNNNNNNNNNNNNNNNNNNNNNNNNNNNNNNNNNNNNNNNNNNNNNNNNNNNNNNNNNNNNNNNNNNNNNNNNNNNNNNNNNNNNNNNNNNNNNNNNNNNNNNNNNNNNNNNNNNNNNNNNNNNNNNNNNNNNNNNNNNNNNNNNNNNNNNNNNNNNNNNNNNNNNNNNNNNNNNNNNNNNNNNNNNNNNNNNNNNNNNNNNNNNNNNNNNNNNNNNNNNNNNNNNNNNNNNNNNNNNNNNNNNNNNNNNNNNNNNNNNNNNNNNNNNNNNNNNNNNNNNNNNNNNNNNNNNNNNNNNNNNNNNNNNNNNNNNNNNNNNNNNNNNNNNNNNNNNNNNNNNNNNNNNNNNNNNNNNNNNNNNNNNNNNNNNNNNNNNNNNNNNNNNNNNNNNNNNNNNNNNNNNNNNNNNNNNNNNNNNNNNNNNNNNNNNNNNNNNNNNNNNNNNNNNNNNNNNNNNNNNNNNNNNNNNNNNNNNNNNNNNNNNNNNNNNNNNNNNNNNNNNNNNNNNNNNNNNNNNNNNNNNNNNNNNNNNNNNNNNNNNNNNNNNNNNNNNNNNNNNNNNNNNNNNNNNNNNNNNNNNNNNNNNNNNNNNNNNNNNNNNNNNNNNNNNNNNNNNNNNNNNNNNNNNNNNNNNNNNNNNNNNNNNNNNNNNNNNNNNNNNNNNNNNNNNNNNNNNNNNNNNNNNNNNNNNNNNNNNNNNNNNNNNNNNNNNNNNNNNNNNNNNNNNNNNNNNNNNNNNNNNNNNNNNNNNNNNNNNNNNNNNNNNNNNNNNNNNNNNNNNNNNNNNNNNNNNNNNNNNNNNNNNNNNNNNNNNNNNNNNNNNNNNNNNNNNNNNNNNNNNNNNNNNNNNNNNNNNNNNNNNNNNNNNNNNNNNNNNNNNNNNNNNNNNNNNNNNNNNNNNNNNNNNNNNNNNNNNNNNNNNNNNNNNNNNNNNNNNNNNNNNNNNNNNNNNNNNNNNNNNNNNNNNNNNNNNNNNNNNNNNNNNNNNNNNNNNNNNNNNNNNNNNNNNNNNNNNNNNNNNNNNNNNNNNNNNNNNNNNNNNNNNNNNNNNNNNNNNNNNNNNNNNNNNNNNNNNNNNNNNNNNNNNNNNNNNNNNNNNNNNNNNNNNNNNNNNNNNNNNNNNNNNNNNNNNNNNNNNNNNNNNNNNNNNNNNNNNNNNNNNNNNNNNNNNNNNNNNNNNNNNNNNNNNNNNNNNNNNNNNNNNNNNNNNNNNNNNNNNNNNNNNNNNNNNNNNNNNNNNNNNNNNNNNNNNNNNNNNNNNNNNNNNNNNNNNNNNNNNNNNNNNNNNNNNNNNNNNNNNNNNNNNNNNNNNNNNNNNNNNNNNNNNNNNNNNNNNNNNNNNNNNNNNNNNNNNNNNNNNNNNNNNNNNNNNNNNNNNNNNNNNNNNNNNNNNNNNNNNNNNNNNNNNNNNNNNNNNNNNNNNNNNNNNNNNNNNNNNNNNNNNNNNNNNNNNNNNNNNNNNNNNNNNNNNNNNNNNNNNNNNNNNNNNNNNNNNNNNNNNNNNNNNNNNNNNNNNNNNNNNNNNNNNNNNNNNNNNNNNNNNNNNNNNNNNNNNNNNNNNNNNNNNNNNNNNNNNNNNNNNNNNNNNNNNNNNNNNNNNNNNNNNNNNNNNNNNNNNNNNNNNNNNNNNNNNNNNNNNNNNNNNNNNNNNNNNNNNNNNNNNNNNNNNNNNNNNNNNNNNNNNNNNNNNNNNNNNNNNNNNNNNNNNNNNNNNNNNNNNNNNNNNNNNNNNNNNNNNNNNNNNNNNNNNNNNNNNNNNNNNNNNNNNNNNNNNNNNNNNNNNNNNNNNNNNNNNNNNNNNNNNNNNNNNNNNNNNNNNNNNNNNNNNNNNNNNNNNNNNNNNNNNNNNNNNNNNNNNNNNNNNNNNNNNNNNNNNNNNNNNNNNNNNNNNNNNNNNNNNNNNNNNNNNNNNNNNNNNNNNNNNNNNNNNNNNNNNNNNNNNNNNNNNNNNNNNNNNNNNNNNNNNNNNNNNNNNNNNNNNNNNNNNNNNNNNNNNNNNNNNNNNNNNNNNNNNNNNNNNNNNNNNNNNNNNNNNNNNNNNNNNNNNNNNNNNNNNNNNNNNNNNNNNNNNNNNNNNNNNNNNNNNNNNNNNNNNNNNNNNNNNNNNNNNNNNNNNNNNNNNNNNNNNNNNNNNNNNNNNNNNNNNNNNNNNNNNNNNNNNNNNNNNNNNNACAACAUUGUUGUUUUGUGGCUGUCGAGGAUUAAGAGAUCUGCCAAGUCUUUCGAUGCUUCAAGAAUUGAAGAAGUUGGAUCUAAGUCGGACUAAAAUUGAGGAAGUCCCUGAAGGAAUGGAUAUGCUGAUAAUGCUAAGAUAUCUUGAUCUUAGAGUGCGCACUCUGAAAGAGAUACCCGCUGGACUUAUAUCAAAACUCGUUCACCUUCAGCACUUGAGUUUUGAUGUGGACAGUGAAAAAACAAGUCUAAAAGCAGAGGAGAUGGAACCAUUGAAGAAGUUGGAGUACUUUACCGGACGUUUCGAAGACAUCAGUGAAUUCAAUAAGUUCAUCUCCUCAAUGCAACAAAGUAAAAAAAAUCUCAUCAACUACCAUUUACAGGUGGGCUCAGAUGAUGCGGGUGGUGCAAGAGAUAAAAGAGAUAAAAGAGUAACAAUUGCAGGAGUCCAGAAUUGGGAAGGUGAGUUAAUUAUGCACCCAAUUGAAAUUCAAGAGUUGUAUAUUUUAAAGUGCGACUAUUUGAGAAGCUUAGUCAAUGACAAUUCUUCCUUCAAAAAUGCGAUUGACUUGAGGGAUUGUAGGAUUCGGGGGUGUGAAGGGAUAGAGUGUGUUGUUUCCCUGUCCUUUUCUGCCUCUUCUUCCGCUCAUCCAUUUCAGAGCCUCCAGGUGUUGGAUCUUCAAUUUCUGCCAAAGUUGAGUGCCCUUAUUAUGAAAGAUGAAGGAAUUGGUUCAGCAACAACAUCAACAUUGGUUCCGUCUGCCACCUUUUCCCAUCUUAAGGAAAUUACGAUAUACAGCUGCUCAAGUAUGAAGACGUUGCUUCCACAUUGGUUGCUUCCAAACCUCCAAAACUUGGAAAAAAUACGCGUGGAGUAUUGUAGUCAGCUAGUAGAAAUAUUGGGAGCAGCAACAUCAGAAGUUGAAGAAAAAGGGAGUGAUGCAUUAAUCAAAUUCCAUCUUCCCAAAUUGAGGUAGUUGUUAUUCUGGGAUUUACCAAACUUGAAGAGCAUAUGCAGCAAAAGUGGAGUGAUGGUUUGUGAUUCUCUCCAACUUAUCCAAGUUGUUGGAGAUUGUGAUAAACUGAAGAGAAUUCCACCAUUUGUUCCCCUUGUUGGCAAUGGGCAGCCAUUUGCAUAUGCUCCACCUUCUCUUACCAUCUGGUCAUUGAAAAAAUGGUGGAAAUCGUUGGAGUGGGAUGACCAUCCAAACUUUAAAAAUGUUCUUCAACCCCUUUGGGAGCUUUUAAGGUAUGAACCAUUUAUAGUUUAGUUUAUUUUAUAAAGCUAAUUUCUCCAUUUUAAAACCAUUUCAUGUUAUAUUUUAUUUUUGUUUGAAGAUGAUGUGGCCUCCAUUGGUGCGAAAGAAGUAGAAGAGAGUAGCAGGGCGGAUGAUGGUGCAAAAGAGAGGAUAAAAAAGGUGGGAAUAAAAGGAAUGAUGGAGCAUUGAGGAAUUGAGCAGCCACCAUAAUAAUCGACUCCUUUUCCAUUUUAAUAACAAAUAAUUUUAUUGUAUUUUUAUAUAAAACAAUUAAAUUAUAGACUUAUUUUAAUAUGGCGUAGAAUCAAAUAUUAUUAUGGUCUAUUAUUUAAAAAAUCUUUAUAUGUUCUUAAAUGGAGAUGUUAUUUUUAAAAUUAUUUGUCUUUAAAAUUAUUAAACUUAUUAUUCUUCUAUCAAUCAUUUAUGCAUUUUUUUUUACUAACGAUUCUAAUAAAAGUUUUAACAUUCAAAAGCAUAUAAGUUGAAAUAAAUUUUUUUUCAAAUUUAAAAUAUGCAACUUAAAAAAGUACUCCAUUAUUUUCAUAAAAUAAUAUCAAAUUAUGACUACCUUUAAAGUAUAAUUUAUUGGAUAAACUACACCGUAGGUCAUUCUAAACUAGUAUUAUUUCUAUUUUGGUCACUCUAUAAUUGCUCAAAUUAGUCACUGACAUGACUUUUUUUUUUACUUUUGACUAAAGCCAGGGACUUUGCUAUAAUUAGCCCAAAACAUUUGUUUUUGUUUAUUUGCAACAUAAGAACCACAUAUCCUUGUCACCACUCAUCCCUUGCUUUCCAUCUCUAUUGCUCCUCACUGCACCAUAAAAACCACGUUUCAUCACUGUAUAGCCCAAAUUUCGCCCGGGCCCAAUAACAGUCCAGAUUACAAAAAACAAAAUAGCAGGCCCAAACCCGGAGCCCAAAACAAGGCCCAACUGGCCCAACCCGCUCAAAGCUAAGCUAGGGUUUCAGAAGAGAAACCCUAGCGCCGCACCUAAGGUCUUUAGACCUUUAGUCUUCCGGCGCCGCCUUCACCAGCACUGUCACGCCACCACCUCACGUCCCAUCGCCACUUGCCUGCAACACCAGAGAAGGAAAUGACAAGAAAAAAUAAUAAUAAUAGAAUACAAGUUGUAAAUGGCUAUAAAGCUAUAACAGAAAUCAAAAAAAGGGGGGACCGAACUUCAUUCUUGUAACGGGGGGGUUUCUUUUUUUGUUAACGUUUUCAGAAAUAAAAAGCAAAAAAAAAAGAGUUUAAAGGUGAUUGUCGGUUCCCUUUUAUUUUCGUUUUCUUCUCAGAUAUUUUAAUUUUUUUUGUUUAUUUAUUUAUAUAAACAUAUAAUAUAAAGAGAAAAGUGCAAAAAAAAAUACCUUUCUUGAAUUUUCUGGCCAACGUGUACGGUGGCAGGCGCGGCGGCGUCAACGGCGACCCUCCAUGCCGGAUUCUGGGCUGAGGGAGGGAGAGAGAAACUUGAGAGGUUUUUUUUCAGUUUUUUUUAGAAGGAGAAGAAGAAAAUGAAGAUUUUAAAAAAAUUUUGGGUUUAAAUCACCCUCACAAAACGACGCCGUUUUGGCCCUGACCCGCGUGGUGACCCGACCCAGGGGGAGGAUCCGCGCAUUUUCUUCAAAGGGAUUAUUUUCGCAAAUAGUCCCUUUGAUUUUGUAGCACUUUCAUGGAAGUUUUUCGCUUAUUUGCAAUUUGGCCAUAAAGUUUUAUUUUGGAUUCAUUUUAGUCCUCAUCUAAGCGCAGCGUUUUGNNNNNNNNNNNNNNNNNNNNNNNNNNNNNNNNNNNNNNNNNNNNNNNNNNNNNNNNNNNNNNNNNNNNNNNNNNNNNNNNNNNNNNNNNNNNNNNNNNNNNNNNNNNNNNNNNNNNNNNNNNNNNNNNNNNNNNNNNNNNNNNNNNNNNNNNNNNNNNNNNNNNNNNNNNNNNNNNNNNNNNNNNNNNNNNNNNNNNNNNNNNNNNNNNNNNNNNNNNNNNNNNNNNNNNNNNNNNNNCAUGAAAUUUUUAAAUAUAUUUGUUUUAAUAUAUUAUUAUUAUACAAUUGUUUUUAUAUACAUAUACGUAUAUAUAUAUAUUUAACUUAUUUAAUAUACCUACUCAAUUUUAUAUGCAUAUAUAUAUGUUUUUAUAUAUAUUAAAAUACGUAUGUUGUUUAUAUAUAUUAUGUCAUUUCAUUUUCCACAUAUGUAUAUAUCUUUUCAUCUAUAUGCAUAUAUUCCUAUAUUUUGCAAUAUUUAUGUAUACCUUUCUUAUAAUAUAUAUGUACAUAUUUUAAUUUAUGUCCAUAUACAUAUAUAUACACAUAUAUAUUUCUUUGUUUUUUUAUUGUAUUUACUCUUUAUUUAUUUCAUUUUCAUUAUUUAUUUUGAAUGAAUGAUUUAAUUUUAUUCGUUUUUAUGUUUUACUUGUUUGGAUGUUGUAGGUUCGAUCUUAUUUUAUAUUGUUGCUAUAAUACUUUUGCGUGCAUUAUAAUUUUACCAUGCAUAACAACAAUGUAAUUUGCUUUCGCAUUUCCGUUACGAUUUUCGUGUUUUAUUAUACUUUAUUUAACAAAAUUUGUUUUGAAUAAAUAAUAUUUCGUGUAUAGAUUCGAGAGGAUCGUACCCUAACUUACUGGGUUUCGAUUUUCACGAUAAAUCUAAAUGCACGAAUCUUUUUAAAUUCGAAUUUUAAAUGAUCUCGGGAUUAAAAAUCGCGUCCUAACUUACUGGUCGUGAUUUCGUUUUUUAAAUCCGAGAUGGAUAAAAUAUUUUUAAAAUAAGCAUUUUUUAUUCGCGUAUCGGGAACUCGAGACAUUGUGUCCUAACUCACUGGAUAUGAUUCUCUUUCUCGAACAACGUAAAAUAUGCUUCUUUUCUAUUUUUCUAUUAUUUUAAUACAAGGAUCGUAUUUUUAAAAUUCUUCAAAGUUCUCAAUUUUCGACAUUAAGACAUUAAGUAAUCAACUAGGUACCAAUUUUGGGCAUAUUGAGGGUGCUAAUCCUUCCUCGUGCGUAAUCGAUUCUCGAACCCGUUUUUUUGGAUUUCGUGGACCAAAAUCGUUGUUUUAAUAAAAAAAAUAAAAUUGUUUAUUAAAAACAACCAGUUUUCAAGGUGAUCCAAUCAUACCUCAUCAAAAAGGAUUAGUGGCGACUCCCGUUUUAUUCGUUUUCGUCAAAACCCAAGUCGACCCCGUUUUUCAUCCAAAAAAUGGUGUCAACAAUCACAAUGGUGUACAAAGAGUGUUGGUUGUGUUUUGACUAUCGUACAAAUUAGUGUAGAAAUACAACCGGACAAACUUCCGAGCGGAUACUAUUGGGAAACUGUAGGUGAAGCUGGAGCGAAAAACACAAGCCGUCAUGUAAGGACCUACAGCUAUCGUUGGAUCUUGCAUGGCGACUGGGGAUAUGACAGAUUUUUCCAACAUGGAACUUGGAUCCAAUAUCUGGAGUCCAUUUUCACUUGAUCACUUGAUCAAGUGAUUUUUUAUUUUUGGGGCUCUCCGGACUGUUGGUUUUUAUUUUGGUUUUGGAUGCGGUUUUUUAUUCUUUCAUUGCAUUGUAUUAGUCAUUCAACCAUGAGUAAGUUUUCAUUUUGAUCAUUUAACUAAAAAAAGUUACAAUUUAGUCACUAAUAUUUUGGAAAUUGUUUUUUUAUCACUUAAGGGGUACUUGUUUUAAUUGGAAUAAUAAUAAUUUUAGUCCUCUUUUUUUUAUAGUUUCUAUCAAUUUGACUCUGAUUUUGUAUAAAAUUAUUAAAAAAAACUCAAUAUUUUAAAAAUAGAAAAAUGUUUAUAAAAAUUCUAGAAAAAUAAAAUCUUGAAUAUGUUGUUGAAUAACUAAAUUGUAUGAGAAAUAAACCAAAUUACCAUUCAAUAAAAUCCGAUAACAAAUUAAAAACAGAACAAAACCAAAAAAAAGCUUCCUCAAUGUUUUUCGAAACCAAAUUAGUAAUAUUAUUAUCAAGUUAAGUUUCAUGCCCUUGAAGAACACCUAGAACUCAUAUUACCAAGGCUUAUGAAUGACCCUAAUGCCCUUUUUUUAGUCAAAAGAAUACAAAAUAUACAACAAAAUUUCUUUUUUCAAACUUAAUUCAAUUUUUCAUUACAUUUAAAUUAUUUUUCAAAACUCAAAUUAUAAAAAUUAAUUAUAUUAAAAAAAUUUAUAACGUAAAAGCUAUGUCAAGAAACAGAGAACAAAUAAUUUUGCUUAAUGUUUUUUUCUAUGUUUUUUUACUAAAGAAUGGAUAUUGGAUAUUUCGAUACAGAUAAUAUAGAGAAAUUUUGUACGGCUUAAAAAUAAUUAUCUCUCAUUUUCUCUCACUUUAUUUAUUUUUAAAAUUUUUAUCUACUUUUAUUUUUGAAGCUUUAAAAAUAAGUCAUUUACCAUCCAUAAAACUACAAAAGUGAAGUUCAUAUAAGACAAACGAAAGCACGAUUCAUCAAUAUACCAAGUAAAAAAAGUUAAGUCAAGAGUUAGAUUCAGUUCAAUGAUACCAUCCACAGUAUGACACUUAAAGGUAUCCAUCCACAGUAAAGGCACCCUUCUACCCAGAGGUGAAACUAGGAAACUUUUUUAGGGGACGAAAUUAAAUUGUAAUUUAAAAAAAAUAUAAUUUUACCAUUUUAAUAGCCUAUAUCUUUAUAAUUUUUAAAAUAUUAAAUCAAAUUUUUAUAUUUUUAAGGCGGCAAAGUGCAAUUUUACCUUUAUUCAUUUAAAAUGUUAAAAAUUUUAAAAGAGACUAAAUGAAAAUUUUUCUAUUUUAAGAGGCCGGCACCUGCCACCACCCAGGUUCGCCCUUGCUUUCACCAAGGGUUUAUUUUCAUUCCACUAAAGGUUCAUUGAUCGAGCGGUGGCUUGCCUUAUUACAUUAGCAUAAUCCUGAAUAGUUUCUAUCGCCUUUAAGGUGAACUUAAUUUCAAACGAUUGCUUUAUCUUCAAGGUUAACAUAAUUUUAAAUACUCAUAAACGAUUGCAAUGCCUACAAUACCAGCAAAAUUUUAAAUAUUUGUGAAUUACAACAAUUUUUGUAAAAAAAAAAAAUACAAGCAAAUUUUCCUAAAUCUAAUUGACCUGUUCAAGACACAAAGAUUCGAACAUGUAAGAUCUGAUAUUACAUCAGAUUUUCGAAAAACAAAGACUGGCUUAAACUAAAAGAAAAAAAACUCUAGAUAAUGAUUUUUUUUAAAAUUAAGAUGAGAGGAAGGAAUUAUCGACAACUUAACAACACAAGUCAUUUACUUACUAGAACACUAUAAUUAGUUAAUUAAAAAUUUAGCUAUAGCUAGUUGGCUGUUAGGAUUUGUUAAAUUAGUGCCAUUGUACAUCUUUUAAAUUAAUGUUAUCUUACAUCUAUUAAAUCUUUAACUUUUUCCACUUUCAUCUUACUCUAAUUUCAACAUUUCAUUACCACUCUCCAUUAUUUAUACCUCCUCUUGCAAGGGCAGCUGCAGGUUUCAGAGAUGCCAUAAAUAAGGAUUUCAUAGCUCAAGAACUUGACAAUGACAGGGAAGAUGACUAAGAAGAAGAAGGGGUUGCUAUGGGAAGAUAGGGUUCACUGAUGGGUUGUCACAGUCUUCUUCUCAAGUAAAGAAAUCCAAGCUCAGUUUGUCGGAUGCAUUUAACCGCAAUCAAAAGGGAGUCAUUGCAGACAUAAUCAGCUUAUGGUACCAAUCUUAAGAACCAAAACAUCAACUUACUAUACUAUGAUGAAGGAUUUUAUAACAACGUCAGAGGGAAUCUAAGGGAUAACAUCUGAAGGAAAUUCAGAUUGUUAAACACAAAAUUUGAAAUUCAUGGCAGAUUAGGUAUCUGAUCAGCUGAACCGCUAAAGCGAUUGAAAGCUUGGUAGAUUAUUAUGUUCCGAUGCUACAAAUUCAACUUUGGUUUCCUUACUUCAUUAGACAGUUUCAUUAUAGUUUGCCUAUGUGUAGAAAGCUUAGGAUACGACACAAAAUAUGCAUAACAUUCUAUCCAACAUUAGAACGGUACAAAAAAAAGUUAGUUAUUAUGAUGGAAAUGUCAUCCUUGUUCCUCUUAACAGCUUCCUUAGUUAGGUGCUUUGCUGCAGAUCGAGCAUCCUUAAUGCCUUUGAUAGCAUCGACAGCUUCUUGGUAACGGACCAUUAAAUCUCAGGUUCAACAUGUAGGUUCAAUAAAAGAAAAAUGUGAUUAGAUAGGGCUUACCUUCCAUAAACCAUCACUAGCCAAUAUUUUAAGGUCGGUAUCAUCGUCGGUUGUUUCAAUGCUCACAUCUGGCUCCGAAGUAAGAUGUUUCUUUAAACUCUUGUCACCAAAUGAUCUUGCCACCGCCAGCUGACCAUCAACACGCGCGACAUCCCCUGAAACAAAAACAAUAUCAGGAAAAGAUGGUGUAACCUUGAGCGUCAUCCCCAAAAGAUCAGGCACCCAUUACCUGGAAUCCAAUAUAUAUUUUUUUGGACCCAUAUCAUGGUUUCAAACAGGUCAUUAGAAAAUUUUGUAAAACCUUAAAAAGAAUAACCAGUACCACACUAAGGUAUCUCUUGUUCUUAAAAAGAAUAAACAGUUCAUUGAAUAACUAAAUUGUAUGAGAAAUAAAGCAAAUUACCAUUCAAUAAAAUCCGAGAACAAAUUAAAAACAGAAUAAAACCAAAAAAAGCUUCCUCAUUGUUUCUCGAAAUCAAAUUAGUAAUAUUAUCAAGUUGAGUUUCAUGCCCUUGAAGAACAUCUAGAACUUAUAUUACCAAGGCUUAUGAAAUUGAUCCUAAUGCCAUUUUUUUAGUCAAAAGAAUACAAGAUAUAUAACAAAAUUUCCUUUUUCAAACUUAAUUCAAGUUUUCAUUACAUUUAAAUUAUUUUUCAAAACUCAAAUUAUUAAAAUAAAUUAUAUUUAGAAACAAAAUUUUAUAACGUAAAAGCUAUGUCAAGAAACAUAGAACAAAUAAUUUUGCUUAAUGUUUUUCUACGUUUUUUAACUAAAGAACGUGUAUUGGAUAUUUCGAUACAGAUAAUAUAAAGAAAUUUUGUACGGCUUAAAAACAAUUAUCUCUCAUUUUCUCUCACUUUAUUUAUUUUUGAAUAUUUUAUCUACUUUUAUUUAAUUUUUUAUUUUAUAAUGUUCUAAAAUUUUUUUUAAAAAUUAAUUUUUACCACUUUAUAUAUUAUCAAGAUCAAAUUGACUGAAAGUAUAAAAUUUGAGGAUUAAAAUUGUUAUUAUAUCAAUUAAAAAAGUGUCACUUAACAUUUGAGUGACAAAAAAAAUAAUUUCAAAAACAUUAGUGAUGAAAUUGUAACUCUUUUAAUUAAGUGACCAAAACAAAAAUACCCAUAGUUUAGUGACUAAUAGUGUAGCCUUUUUUUGGUAAAAUGAAAAUUUGACCCUAAUUUUAUAUAAAAAAAACUCAAAAUUAUUUAUAAAAUAGAAAAAUGCAUAUUAUUCAACAUAGGGUUUUUUAUCCAAAUCAUACAAAAAUAAUAAUUAAUGACGAAAAUGAUAUGGAAAAUAAAUUAAUUACAAAAACAAGUCAUUUGUUACGAUGUUCUGCUGGUGUUGUCUGACAUAUUGGCAACACCAGACUAAAAUGUGAUGACCAAAAAUAUUCAAAGACUUGAUAUGUAAAUUUCUCAUUUUGAUUAUCUGUUGAAAAUAAGCUCUAAGGGUGUUGUGUGACAGUGUGACGGCACAAAAUCUUAAAUAGUUUUAAUACUUGCAAAAUCAAUACUUCAUCCAAUACAUUCACAAAUUUUCAUUGGUUUUAUUUGUUUUGUUUUAGCUUCUUCUUUUUUUAAUUGUUUUAUUUUUAUUUUACUUUUUUUCCAUUUAUUAUCUUUUGAAUUAUAAUUUUAUUUGUAUGGUUGUUUCUAAAGUUGUAACCUUUUAAUCUUCUUCACUAUUUGUGUUUAGUUUCUUGUUAGUUUGCUCAAAACUAUGCACUACACCUUCAAUUGCCUACAAUUCCAGUUUUGCAAUUAUAUAUAUAUUGAGGUAGUUUCAAUUUUCUCCCUCUCUUAUGAUAUUCUACUUAGUUUGUGUUUAUAUCUGGUUGUACAUUGAGCACAAUGUACAUUUUAAGUGUGGGGAGGUUAUUUAUAUAAUUAUUAGAAAAUUCUUGAAUUAUUUGUGGUACUUAAGUAAUUUUCUCAUGCUUCCAUUAGAAUGAAUUUUUAUCGAUUUGAGAUUUUUAUUGAUAUUGUUUUGGAUUAAUUUGUAGAUACUUGUGUAUUGGUUGAUUUAAACUUUAAGACAUAAGAGAAUCAAGCACGAUAAGUUAUUUUUUAAAAAACAAAUUUCAGUUGUUUCCCUAAAUUUAAUAUUAUUUUGAAGUUUGAGAUUUGCAAGUUUGACGUCAAAAACUAUGAUUUUUUUUUUUUUGAGAUUUUGAGAUUUUCAGCCACUAAGUCAGGUAAUAAGACUGAAGCUAUGAUUUCCUCUGCUGAUUAUCAACAGUUUUAGAUUUCAAGACUGGAUGAUCAGCAGACAUAAUCUACUUUAGAUAGAAAUUAAUACCAAAAGAGCUACCCAGAAGCAAUAUAAUGUUGAAAUCCCAAACUGUUGAACAUUUUACCUCUUUAAUGUUAAAACUCAUUGCUAAUACAACUCAUUGACUUGUAUAUUUAAUUUCAAGUUGUAUAUUCAAUACUGACAACUUCAACGAUGCAAAUGAUUUAGUAAUGGGGUGCGAAUAACUAUACCUAAUGCAACUCCUUUACUUGUAUAUUUAAUUUCAGGUUGUAACUUAUAAUUAUGCAUUUUUAUACCCUGCCAACUAUUAUUAUUAAAUAUUAUUUAUUGCCAUCUUCAAUGAUUUUGUUUUGAUGUCCAACGUCUAUCACAACAUUUCAAGCAUCCUGUCAAGGUAAUUUUCUUUCAUUUGCUUAAUCCAUCACAUGCUUUUCUUUGCUUGAUUCAUGACUUUGCAAUGAUUGUUUCUGAUUAUCUGCUACUCUUAGCCGCUAGCUUUGUAAGACAGUCAACUUCACUGCUUCAUUUUCAGUUCUAUUCUCUCGACACUUUUCAGCCACUAAGUCUGGUAAUAAGAUCUGAAGCUAUGAUUUCCUCUACUGAUUAUCAACAGUUUUAGAUUUCAAGACAAGAUGAUCAGCAGACAUAUUCUACUCUAGAUUGAAAUUAAUACAGAAAGAGCUACCCAGAAGCAAUAUAAUGUUGAAAUCUCAAACGGUUAACAUUUUAGCUCUUAAUAUUCUGUAAUGAACUGUUGCACACUUGAAUCUAGCAUUUUAUAUACAUCGAGAGCUUAAUUCUGGUGACCAGAAUUUCAUCAUGUUUCUGUCUGCCACCCAUCCAUAGCUCCAUCUAAUAAACGCCAUUGCUUGAAACUUGCAUUCAUGUUUUCCUUUUCAUGCUUACACUGACAUAUCAAUACCUCAUAAAUUAUUCAAUUCAUUCACAGAUUUUCAUUCUCUGCUACUGUUAUAUAUGAUUGCAUUGCAAGGACAUAGCAAUGGAGUACGUAGAGCCUGUUGUCGGCAUUGCAAAUUGUCUCGGAACUCCUGUUUGUAAAUAUUUGCAAUAUUACAGAAAGCUGAACGAUUAUGUUAGAAACUUCAAGAGGAUCAGAGAUGAAUUGAAUUGCAAAAUGGAAGAUAUAGAGCUGCAAUUGAAAGCAG
RNAcentral lists this long non-coding RNA (117069 nucleotides) under Gossypium raimondii (Peruvian cotton). Its description in RNAcentral is "long non-coding RNA (GRAI_LNC007626)". Lineage: Eukaryota; Viridiplantae; Streptophyta; Magnoliopsida; Malvales; Malvaceae. The record is from RNAcentral.